GUCAACAGGGGUGAGGACGUAUGACUGUUCAACGAAGACGAAUUUUAUGAUGCGAGAGAUGCUUUUGUGGACCAUAAGUGACUUUCCUGCCUAUGGGAUGUUGUCUGGAUGGACUACACAUGGGAGAUUAGCUUGUCCAUAUUGUAAUGGAACGACAAAUGCGUUUCAACUGGAGAAUGGUAGGAAGACAAGUUGGUUUGAUUGUCACCGUCGAUUUCUUCCCAUUGGCCAUCCGUACCGAAGAAACAAGAAUUUGUUUAGACACAAAAGAGUUGUGAGAGACACCUCCUCCAUAUCUAACUGGAGAACAAAUUGAAGCGCAAAUCGACUACUACGGAGCUAACGAAACAGUUCGUUGGGGUGGUAAUUGGCAUGUCCCUCGUAAUAUGCCUGAUUCUUACGGUGUCCAUCACAAUUGGCACAAGAAGAGUAUAUUUUGGGAGUUGACAUAUUGGAAGGAUCUUCUUCUGCGCCACAACCUCGAUGUGAUGCAUAUAGAGAAGAAUUUCUUUGAGAAUAUCAUGAAUACAAUAUUGAAUGUCCCAGGGAAGACAAAAGACAACAUAAAAUCAAGGUUGAACUUGUCGGAUAUUUUCUCAAGAAGCGAGUUACAUAUAAAAAGCAAUGGACAAGUUCCAGUUCCGAUAUUCAGAUUGUCUUCGGAAAAAAAGUCGGUGUUGUUCAACUGGGUGGCAUCAGAAGCGAAGUUCCCCGAUGGGUAUGUUUCAAAUCUCUCUAGAUGUGUUGAAAAUGGUCAAAAGUUCUCUGGGGUGAAGAGUCAUGAUUGUCAUGUCUUUAUCCAACGACUACUGCCCUUUGCAUUUGUGGAACUACUUCCAACAAACGUGCAUGAAGCACUUGCAGGCAGUGUUUUAUAGCGCAAUAAUUUUAUAACGGUUUAGUUUGCAAAAUAAUAUAUGAGUAAAAAUGUGUUUAAUUGUUUUUGGAAUAUAAAAGGCAUUGGAGCAUUUUUCAGGGAUCUGAGCACACGCACUCUUAAAGAAGAAGUUGUGGAACAGCUUCAGGAGAACAUUCCCAUCUUAUUGUGCAACUUGGAGAAGAUAUUUCCUCCCGGAUUUUUUGACGUCAUGGAGCAUCUAGCUGUCCACCUCCCAUAUGAGGCGUUGCUUAUUGGACCUGUACAUUACGGAUGGAUGUAUCAGUAUGAGCGAGCCAUGAAAUAUUUGAAGGGAAAAACAAGGAACCUCGCCAAAGUUGAAGGUUCUAUAAUUGCUGGAAGUUUGACGGAAGAAGUUUCUAACUUCACAUCGUACUACUUUGCGUCAAAAGUACGUACCCGGAGAAGAGCUCCAAGAAGAUAUGAUGAUGGUGGUGUUGCGCCAACAUAUGCAGUUGCUGGUGUUUCAGAUCUCUUUAGCCAGAUUGGGCGACUCGGAGGGAAGUCAAAAGAGGUUUGGUGGUCGAGUGAACAAAACGCUCAUAGUGCACACACCUAUAUUCUACUCAAUUGCGAGGAUCCAUUGAUGCGUUAUUUUGAAAGGUAACAUAUAUGGACACUUCUAAACACAUAUAAGUAUAAAUUAUAUAAUUGCGAGAGAUUCAUUCAUUUAAAAUGUGAUUUUACAGCCUAUUUGUUUCUCAAGUCGAAUAAACAUUUCCUGGUAUAUCCACAAGUGACGUAGACAAAAGGAAAGAUCAACACUUUAUUAAGUGGUUGAGGAAUCAUGUAUUAAUUAACUCAAACUCUUUUUUUCAUACAUGAUAUGUAUUUCAACGUUCUCUUUAUUUUUUAGAUUGAUUAUGACGACGAUGAAGAUUAUCCUAAGUGGUUACACGAAGUAAUUCAAUCUCCACUUGUAAAGGUCACCACAUCACAGAUGUAUUUCACACGAGGCUAUACUUUUCACAUAUAUGAGUAUGGUAGACAGCGGACGACUAGUAACUAUGGAAUAUGUGUGAAAGGGGAAACAGAUUUCUACGGGAUCUUGACGGAGAUUAUUGAAGUCAAAUUCCCAGGGAUAUUGAAGCUGAAAUGCGUCCUCUUCAAAUGUGAAUGGUUCGACCCCGUCGUCAACAGAGGUGUUCGGUUUAACAAAUUCGGUGUAGUUGCUAUCAACGGUGGGCGAAGGUACAAAAAAUUGGAGCCUUUCUUCUUAGCUUCACAUGCAGACCAAGUUAGCUUCCUUCCAUACUCUCGGAUGAGAGAUUCGGGUAUAAAUUGGUUAGCCGUGAUCAAAGUUACACCUCGAGAACGAAUCAUCAGUGGAGAAGAACCACCUUUGCAAGAAGAGCAGAUAAAUGAAGUCGAGGAACCUGAACAAGAAAUUGAUGACAUCCUUCUCUUUGAUCAGCAUAAUCACGAGUAAGAAGAUCUUACCAACGAUGCCACAAAGGAAGCUGUUGAAGACGAGUUUAAUGAAAAUGAUGAUGUUUCUAGUGAUGACGAGAAUGUCGAUGUAUCGGAUUGAUGUAUUUGAUUUUUUGUAAGGUAAUGUGGGAGUUUGUUUUAUAAAUAAGAUAUUGAGAUAAUAAGUUAAGGAAUGGGGUUUGGAAUGGAAAGAAUAGAUUGAGGUGAAAGAAUAUGUUGAGUUUAAAGGGUAGAUGAGUUUGGGGUUUAGAAUAUAUGAAGUAGAAGAUAAGGAAGAUGGGGUUUGGGUUUUGGAUUUUAGGGAUUUAAACAUAAUACUCGUUAAUUCCUCGUAAAUAAACUUGGAUAUUACGACGAAAUAUAAAAAAAAAAAGAACGCGGGACUCGUUAAUUCCACGUAAGAAGAAAUCGUCGUAAAGCACUCGUAAGUCAACGAGGAAAUAACGACGAAAGAGCUCGUUAAUUCCACGUAAGCGCAAAUCGUCGUAAAUACCUCGUAACCAAAAAAAGAAAGCUGGCCUUGCUAAUUCCUCGUAGAAUAAAAACUAGAAAAAAAAGAAGAGAAGAGAAGAAAGAUACUGGAAUCACAUGUGGCUAGACUUACGUAAGUCUAGUCCACAUGUGUUCCAAUAUCUUUCUUCUCUUCCUUUUUUUUUUCAAAUAUUUCUAAUUUGAAAAGCAUUUUGCUGAGUUGUGUGAUUUGAGAUAUGGUGUGAUUUGUGAGAUUUGUGAGUUUGUGUGUGGUUUGAGAAGGAAAGUUGCGGGUAUUUAUAGAAAAGCGGGGCUCGCUAAUUCCUCGUAAAAUGUUGACUCGUAAAUUCCACGUAAACUUAGUCAUUGUAAAAAACUCGUAAACCUAAACACGGGCCUUUGUAAUUCCUCGCUACUUCCUCGUACAAUAAAACACGGGCCUUUGUAAUUCCUCGUAAAGCUAAACACGGGCCUUUGUAAUUCCUCGUAACUUUACGAGGAAAUAAUGAGGAUAAGUAAUCUUAUAUAUACUCCCGAGCGCUCACUCUUUCUUUCCUCUCUACUUCCUCUCCACAUCCUUUCUAUUUCGUAGCAAUGGUAAGUCUCUCUAAUUCCUCUCUAAUUUGAUUAGUUUAGGAUAGAUUAUGUGGUUAGUAUAGGGAAUUUAGAUAGGUUUACGGGUUUUAUGUUAAUUAGUGUUGAUUAGGUGGAUAAUGUAGGAAAUUAUACUAUUGAUGUUAAUUUUAAAAAUUAAAUUUUUUUUCCAGACGAUUCGAAGGAACAGACUUACUCCCCAUUACAGACAGAUGUUCGGUGAGCCUGGUAGUCAUUUAGACAUGUCGUCUUCUUCAGCUCCCAAUUCUUCUUCAGCUCCCGGUUCUUCGGAUCCGGAGACUGUUCCCGAGACUCAGUCUUCUCAGAGAGUCUCUCGGUCGCCUUAUUCUAGUGCACCAUCGGUUCCUCCUGUGCCUCCUCUGAUGGCUCCUCCGACGAUGCCUCCUCCUAUGCCUCCUCCGAUGGCUCCUCCGAUGCCCGCCGGUGUUCAUCCCGAUUUGAUGGUGCCUCCGAGUGCUCCUUACUCGCAGUACACUGUCGAGGACAUUCUCCGUCUACCAGGUAGAGAAGGUUUACCAGUCAUCGUCCUCGACCGACCGGACGGAACUUUGUGGUAUGUUACAUUAAUUUUUCUUUUAAUUUGUGUAAAAUUCUUUUAUAACAUUAAAAAAUAAUUUAUAUUUUAAAUUUGUUUUUUUCCAGGUGGGGGGUUGACGGAUGUCUUGCAUCGGACGUAACCGACACGAUCAAAGGUUACUUCUCCAUGCCACAUCCGAACUGGAGUAAGACGCCUCACUACGUCAGAAAGACGUGGUUCAAAAUUUACGCUGUAAGUUUCUAUUAAUUAAUUAUAUAUACUUUAAUUUUUUCAUGAUUUAUAUAUAUUUCUUUUAAAAAACUAAUUAUUUAUUUAAUUUUUUCCACAGCAAAAAUAUCACUGGGCCUUGGGGGUCACUGAGAGGGUGAGGAAGGCGUUUUACGCGAAGGCGAAAAUUCACUUGUUGGACACGGUCUCCAACUAGAAGGGUGACUGGAUCGUGAAGGAGAAUGAGCGUGGCAAACCCGCUGAGCUCACCACGGAUGUGUGGGCUGGCCUCAUCCGUUAUUGGCGUCUUCCUGAUUCCAUUAGAAUUUCCCAGUCUUGCUCUAACUCCCGUAACACGAUCGAUGAGCACGGGAACGGGCGAUGCUUCACACUACGGGCCAAAAAACCCAAGCCGGUGUCCGUAUGGAAACGGUAAUUAAAUAUUUUAUUAAAUAAUUUUUUUAAUAUAUAUAUUUUUAUUCUAACUUUCUUAAAUGUUUUUUAGGCCAAAGAGACGGGACAUCUCCCGUCUCUUAUGGAACUUUACGAGAGGACCCGCAAGAACAAGGCGGGCGUAUUUGUAGAUGGCAAGUCCGAGCAAAUCUACAACAACGUGGUUGCUCGGGUUGAAAACCGCCAGACCCAGUUGACCCAGCAGUCUACCGACGGAUUACUCGUCACCUUAUCCACACUUGAAGUGGAUAAGAUUUACGAGGAGGUAAAUUUUCUAAAAUUUUAAUUUUUUAUUAUUCAUUUAAUUUAACUUUAAAUUUUUACUAACAAUAUUUAUUAUUUUUUUAAGGUUGUUCCUAAAAAAAGUUUACUAAAUUUUUACUACCUAUUUACGUGGAAACUUUACGAGGAAAUGACGAGAAAAAAUAAACGAAUAUUUUACGAGGAAACAUUUACGAGGAAAUGGCGAGGAAAGAUAAACGAGUAUUUUACGAGGAACACGUUUCGAGGUAUUUACGAGGAAAUACAGCGACCUCCUUACGUGGAAUAUUUACGUGGUCUUUACGACGAAAUAUUUUCCUCGCUAAGUUACGACGAAUUAGCGAGGAAAUAUAUGUUACGACGAACGAGUAACGAGAAAACGUGUUUCCUCGCUAAUUCCUCGUAAAGCCUCUUUUACGACGAACUCACGAGGAAAACCGCCCUCGUUAAACUUAUGUUUUCUUGUAGUGAUAAGUGUCGCUUUAGGUUUCGGCACACAGAUUAAGGAAACAAUUUAUUUUGUACAUUUCCUAUAAAAAACACUCUUACAUAUACACCUAACCAUAUUUCAACCAAUAGAAAAAUAAAUUUUGCAUAACAUUAAUAAAUUUUGCAUUGAAAAUCGAAAAUGGCACUUAUUUUGUAACAAAAACAUUCUCUAAAAUGACCCUUAAUAUGAAACGGAGGGAGUAUUAUAUAAUACUAGUGUUUUGUUUGAAAAUAUUGAAAAAUGUUUGUAUAUGUUAUCAAAAUGUUGCAAUGAAUUUUCCACUAAAAGUUAUAUUUUCAUUUUUGGUUAAAGGGGAAUUUAUACAGGACGUAAGACCAUGAUUAUCGGUAAAACCCCAAAUGAGGUCCUUAAGAAUUUUUUUUUUAUUUUUUUUUUAAAGAAAAAAUUAGAAAAUAAACCAAUCGCGGGCCGCCACGUGGCAGUGGGGCCCGCAAACAGUGCAAAAAAUCCCCAAAGACUGAUCCUUAUUUCGUGAUUUUGGGGACUAGUUUUUAAAAUUUUUGUGGGAUCCACGCGUCAGUGGGGCUCACAUUUUGUCAAAAACCUCUUUAAUAAACUUGGGAUGUUUAUGCUCUUAGCAUGAUUAACCCUAUAACCUCAUUUGGAUUUCUUAAUGACUUUUUUAAAAAAUAAAUGUAAUUAAGAACUUUAGUUAAUAAACACUUAGUUUUUAUGCUCCAUUGGUAGUUUCUUAAUUAAGGAUUCUUAAAAAAAAAUUAAAUUUUUUUUUUGAGUAUAAAUUUUUAUUUUUAAAUAAAAAAUAGUACAAGAUAACAUUUUAAGCAUAGAUUUUCAUAAAAAAACAAGAGUGUUGUGAAACUUUAUAUGGACUUUGAAUAGAAAGAGUUUAUAAAUCUUGUGUUGUGAAGUUACUUGGUGUUUGGUGUCAUAGUUGCUUAGUUAAAAAGAGUGUUGUGGAGAGAGUGUUGUGAAGAGAGAACAAAAGUGUCGUGAAGAGAGAACAAAAGUGUUGUGAAGUUAUAUAGAACAUUAACAGAAGUCCGAGACUUUGUAUACAAACUUUAUAGUACACAAGAAUACAACAGUCUGUGAUUUUGAUAAUACACAACGAUACAAAAGCAAACAAAAGCUCGUGACUUUGCAUUGAAACAUGACACAAGCAUACAAAAGCAUACACAAGUCCAUGAGUGAUCUUAGAAAGGCCUGACAACAAACAUGACACUUUUCAUGAAGAUCUUCACACCAUGCAGUGAUGUCUUUCUCUCCGUGGUCCAUCAAACCCUGAAACACAGAAGAACAAAAGUCUCAGUUUUUUAGAUGACAUUUACACGAUAUGAUCACUUACACAUCCAGUCAUCACAAAAACAAAAGUCUCAGUAAUCUGGUUCAUAUUUAUGACAGCAAGAGAAACCAAAAGUCACAAGCUUUUCAUCACUUAGACAACUACAACAGGACAAGAACAACAACAACACACACCUAAACCACUAAAACAGAACAUGAAACAUAAAUAUGAAACAAGAACAACAACAGCACAUAGACACUCGUUUUAAGAGCAGUUGAGUGAUCGUACCAUCACCAGCAUCGUCAUUAGUAGCAGUAGCAAAACUCCAUAUGUGUUGACAAACCGAAAAACAAUCAAGCUUUACUCACACUUACAAAAAAAAGAAAAAAGAAAACAGAUAUGCCUUCUCAGACAAAGAUUCCUCUUUGAUGAUCUUAACUUAGUGAAACCACACAACCUAAUCUUAAUCAUUUGAGCUACUGAGAAGAAGAGUGAGAGUAAUCAUGAACAAGAUAUGAUUCAAUUGUUGCCAAGGAAUAAAUAAAUACAUAUCCAAUCAAUUCAAUUUGGAUUAUCUCUAUUUUAACACAAAUGAGUUAAAAAUCGCACCUUUUGCUCCAUGGAUUGCAUAAGAGCUUGAUUAAUAGAUCCAACAUUGUUGAUCUGAGAGGAUCUAGCACUGAAACCACGGCUGCGCAUGUCCACGACACCGAAACCAGAAACCCUAGAAACUCCUUUGCUGAAAAUCGAAGACGAUGGCCUUUGUCGUCUCAUGGAGAAGACAUCGUCGUGUUCACGGAGAAAUAAAAGAGAAGACGAAGAAAGAGAAAUAAAAAAAAAUAAAGAGAGAAAAAAAAAAUUAUAUUUGAUUGUAUGCUGACAUACGUGUGUUUAAAACCCUUCUAAAGAUCAGUGUCUAAAAUGCUCAAUUAAGGAUCGGUUAUCUAAAUUUAUUUACUUUUGAUUUAAUUAAAUGAGUGAUUUUCCUUAAAAACCCUAUUAAGAAACUGGGAUAAUCAUGGUCGGUUCUUACCAACUUUCCGUUUAAUUUUGCGCCAAACAAAAAUGUUUCCUUCGCUUGCGUUAGCGACGGCACCAAUGCCCUUGACGAUUAUCUCUGCCACAAGACGGUCCCAAGUCACGCAACUUAACGCAAAGAAAACCAAACCGGAGAAGAAGCGGGCAACGACGACGACGUCGACGAGCGGUUUCUCCGGAGGAACAGCGAAGGAGCUGACGUGGCAAUGCAUAGAAGGCUGUGGAGCUUGCUGUAAGCUCGCAAAGGACUUCGCUUUCGCCACACCUGACGACGACCCCGAUGACGUUGAGGUCUGUUUGUUUACACACACCACUUGUUCGACGAAAGUCCUCUGUUCAUUGCUUUUGAAAGUUGAGAUGUUAUGCUUUUAAUCUGUAGCUGUAUCGAAGCAUGAUUGGUGAUGAUGGGUGGUGUAUAAACUACGACAAAGCUACAUGCAAGUGCUCCAUUUAUGCUGGUAGUUUUUUUAGCAAAUCAUUUGUGUUUUUCUCUCUGAUUUGGAGAGUGAAACAAUGCUCAAUAUUUGUAACGCUUCCUGUGUACAAAUCGGCCAUAUUUCUGCCGGGUUGAGCCAGAGGUUUUCAAGACUCUCUACGGGAUCGAAGAAAAGAAAUUCAGCAAGGAAACUUGCAGGUAACCAGACAUCAAUGUUUCUCUUUGGUUGGCCUUAUCAUUUUCCCUUGCAAGAACUUAUUACUCUCUUUCACAAGCUCCUACACUGACAGUGCUGAAGCUUACUCAACUUUUUAUCUGAAUAUUAUAAGAAUCUUUUAGGUUCAGUUGCUAAGAUAAAUGUGAGAAGAAACUGAUUAUUGUCAUUUUUUACGUUUCAGCUGCUGCAUUGAUACCAUUAAGACGAUACAUGGCUCAGAUUCCAAAGAACUAGAUAAGUUCUUAUCAGAAAACAUAAUUUUUGAAAGCCUCUUGUUUACUUCACAAAGGUUCUUAUGAAUUCCUCUUCAUGAAUCAAAGUUCUUAUCAGAAAACAUAAUUUUUGAAAGCCUCUUGUUUACUUCACAAAGGUUCUUAUGAAUUCCUCUUCAUGAAUCAAAGUUCUUAUCAGAAAACAUAAUUUUUGAAAGCCUCUUGUUUACUUCACAAAGGUUCUUAUGAAUUCCUCUUCAUGAAUCAAAGUUCUUAUCAGAAAACAUAAUUUUUGAAAGCCUCUUGUUUACUAGAAACCUCGAUGAUGGUUCUUAUUUCAAUGGCUCCUCCUUCCCAGUUCCUGCUCCUUCAUACAGAAAAACCUCUCAGAAGAUUGAUUAUGGAUUCAAGCCUGGAGGUAACAGUAUUUCUGCUACACUCCAUAAAUUUUGUUUUCCAAGAACCUCUAAAUAAGAAACUCCCAUUGGAGCACAAAAAUGUUGGUGUCUCUUAACUUGAUCUCUUAAGUAACAUUUAAUACUUAAAAAUCAUUAAGAAACUCAAAGUGGGUUUUUUGGUUAAUGAUGCUCUUAGCAUUCAUCUCGGAUCAUCCUGUCUUGUUUAAAGAAAAAGUGAUGGGUUUUGUUGUUCACGUGGUUCCUUUUAAAUAUUAGUAUAACGUUUUUCUUGUAGUCUGAGGAGUUAUAUAUUAAUUUGGAUGCGAUUAUUUAUAUAAUUAUUAAACACAUAUAACUUUUGUUUUGUUUUUGUGUGAUGGGAAUAUGGUGAAAAUUGAGAUCGAAGCAAAGAUAAGUACUUAACACUAUAGAUUCCAUUGUGUGUAAGCCUCUUCUUUACUCAACAAUUUAUUAAAGUUCCAACAACUCAAAUUCAAAUCUUUGCCUUUUAUAUUCUUUGGUAACGUGAUGUAUGUAUAUAUUCGGCUUUUUAAUAAAACCAUAAUUACCAAGCAUAUAUUAGUAAUGUAGUGUAUGGCAAUGCAAAUUCGAUUUUAAAAUACAUGAUGUUAAUAUCUUAAUGUUUUUACAUGAACAAACGAACAAGCUCACAUUUGAAUAUCCAUGAUAUUAUGGAUGUUUUGAGUAUUUACAAGUAUACUAGUUGUUCCGACACACAGAUGCUACACGUGACAAGAAUAAUAUUUACAUUAUUAAAAAAAGACUAGCAGCCUAGCACACACUGGUGUAAACAAAAAAAAAUACAGUUGAAAUUAAAGUUUCUUUUAAAACACGUUAAUAAAUCAAAUAUCCAAGAUACAAAGAUCAUGCAAAAGAAUCAACUCAAGAAUUCUAAAUAUCAUAAAGAGAUAACAAAGAUCCAACAAUAUAUUAUUAUCAUCAUCGAUGACCCUAAAAACUGAAGAACAAAUCUUGAAGUAGUACUUGUUGCUUGUUUUAUCUCUUGUCUUACAUUGUUUGAUAGAGAUAUACGAAGAUUCCAAACUAAUAAAUGGUUUACUAGUUUAAAGAUCAAUGAUCCUGAAGAAACCACAAAUCAACAUGAUGUUUUGAUUUUUUUACUGUAUCCAAUAAUAUCUGAAACCCUCAUCUGUUUUACAUGACCGAAACUACGGUGGUAACAUCGUUUUCUUGCGGCGGAGGAAGAUUCAGAUCUAUCACACAGCGGCGGAGCUCCGGGAAUUGUCUCUUUUCCGGCUUCGUUUCUUCAACUGCAAAAACUGGUUUCUUCAGCACAAUCUUCCUUGAGUCUCUCGAGAGCAUCAUCAAACACAUGGCUAAAUCAUGUUCCUGAGAACCAUCGGAGACAGAACUCGCAGGUUCGGGAGAGCUAAUAUGACUCGUCAUCUUCUUACUCCUUUUCUUCUUCUUCUUGUUCUUGGAAACCGCUGUCCUGCUCCGUUUACGAACCGGGUCUACGGAUUCAGGUUCGGUGUCGCUGUUGUAAACGAUGGAUGACUCAGGAUCUUGACUGAAGACCCGGAAACUUUUCCUCGGGUUCUCUCGCAACCCGUAGACCAGAGUUUUACCUUCUGAAGAAGACGAAGACGAAUACACCGAGUCGCUGAGUUUCUUCCGAGUUGGCGUGUGUGAUGAGACCAAGUGGGACUUCAUGUGACCUCCAAGUGCUCUGCCAUUACAGAAACUCUUGGAACAGAGCUUGCAUUUGUGCUUCUGCAUUUUCCAAAUGAAACAAGAACAGAACUAAAGACUUUAUGUUUCUCUGUCCUUUAGAGAGAGAGAGAGAGAGAGAGUAGGUACCAAGCAUUCUACUCUUUUGGUCCAUACGAUAACUACUACUAAUGAUACGUAAAGAUAAACUUUAUUUAUUUAGUUUUAGUAGAACAAUUUAGAGAAAACUAUACUAUUUUUUAAUUCGACUGACAACGAUGACCACUACCGAGUAUAGAAUCUCGAAUUAAUCCUAAAGAUUGGAAUUUUUAAUGAUAAGUUCUGUGUAUAUUGUGAUUGGAAUUAUACAUGUUCUUGCAAGAGAAUCAGCUAAAUUUUGUUUAUUAAAAAUGUAAAAUCGUUUAAAAGAGAGACGAAAGGAGACACGAAAGAGCAAAAAGAAAGUUGUUGCUUUGCCUUUUAUUGACUAGGCACUUCUCCAAUGCAUAGAUGAGUUUAGAAGCUUAAUAAAGGUAAAUGAUGUACAAAAAUACAAUUUUUUUAAAAAAAAACUUGACAAGAAAACGAUUAUUGAUUGAAAAAUCGUUUGCCAAUAUACCGAGAGAUUAUUGAUUGUACUCAUUGCUCUUAUUUCGAAUGAGAGAAAAAAAAAACAAAGCAACUUUCAGCUUUGUGAUGUGUUCAAGUAUAUGAUUAGGGUCUCAAUAUUUUGAAAUUCGAACUAGGAUUGGAUUUUUUUUUUUGGUAAUCACUAGGAUUGGAUUUUGUUUUAUGACUGCAGGUUUUAUUUGAACGGUCAUAUAACUGCAGUUUCAUGUUUCUACAAACUUGACACAUUCAGUUCGAUCAGACCGGCCCUGAAAUUUUGGGAACCUGUUGAUGUUUCUAUGUAAAAAUUUUUUUUUUACAAAUUUGGGGUUCUAAAUAUUAUUUUAGGAACCUAUUUGUAUGUAAUUUUUUUCAAAAAAUUUGGGGGUAUGUUACAAAUGUUUCACCUAUCAUGACCUAUGGUCUACCCUGGGUUCGAUCAAAAUUUUGUUAUCAAUUACAUUUUCUGUUUUAUUCUUUAAAUUUCCAAGCCAAACAAAUGUUCAUUCAUGUGUUCAUUUGAGUGAACAUCCAAAAAUUGAAACAAUCACAUUUAUAUGGAUUAGUUAUACUCCUCUGUUUCAUAAAAUUUAAGAUAAUGAUAGAAAUACAUUUAUGUUUUUAUUAAUUACAUCUAUUUAACUAAUAAUAUUUAAGAUAAAUAAAGCUAUUUUUAAGAUCAAUGCAUUUUGUAAUUUCUGUUAAGGUUAAAGUAAAUAUAAACUACAUUGAAACUCUAAAAUGUCACUAUUUGUGUAAUAAAAAGAAAAAGUCAAAAUAAAUUGCUUUGUGAAACACAUCGAAUACUUCCUCUGUUUUUUGUUUACAUGAUGUUCUAUGAGUUUCACACAAAUUAAGGCAUCUAAUAAAAUAUUUCUAAUACCCUUCUCCAUCAAUUCAUUAUCAUCUCUGGUGACACACAUUUCAUUUUGAAAGAAUAAUAGUAUAAGGGUUAAUAAAGUCAUAUGUCAUUAUACUUCGUAUUGUUUGAGAACGUCAACUAUAUUGAAACAAAACAAAUAUUCUAAAACAUCAUUUAAAAGAAAAUGGAGAGAGUAUUAAACAUUUAUAGACUAGUUGAAUGAAAAGGUAGAUAAAUAAAAGAGAAAUUAGACUCAAUAUACAUAAAAAAAAAACACAAAUUCACAAACUAACUAAAAUCAGUCUCUCUCUCCUCAUUUCUCUUUCUAUCUCUCUUUAUCUUCUUACUAAAAAUCUAAUUUCCCAUUGUUUUUUGGUUAUUUCACAAAUAAUCCCUAAAUAAAGGUCGUGUUUAAAAAAAAGUAUAUAAGUAAAGGUACAAUCCAUGUCUAGAUAAUGAAAUAUCUAGUAUUUAUUUGUCAACAAUGAGACAUCUCAGGAAACCAAAAAAAAAAUUGAGAAAUUUGGCUAAAAUGUAGUAAAUGGGAGACAUACAUUAUCGCUGGCUGGAUAUAAAUUUCUGGAAUAUCGGUCUACAUUCACCUUAUUCGUUGCUACUUUUCAAAAUUUUAAAAACAAAGUUUAUUUUUAUUUUUUUGGUAAAAAAGUAUAUUUUAUUUAUUCUGUUAGGUUCCUACUUUCUUUGUGGUUGCAGUUUCUGUCGCCAGCUGCAUUCGUAGCUUUGUAGUGGUAGUUUUAUAACACUAAUACAGAACCAUUCAUGUUUCUGUCUUGACACUAAAGAAACAUAACACCUUUUUUAAUGGGCACCAAGUAACUUCCUUAUUUAUUACAGAAAUAUCCCUGAUCCAUCUUUUAAAAUCACGUUUCUGCAUGUUUACCCUUACCUGACUUUCAGAGUUAAAUAAUCAUUUAUCCACUGACGGUCGACACCAUAAUAAAGAUGAAGAGUUUUGUUUAAUGUUUAGAUUUUUAACUUAACUGGAGCAACUUUCUUUUAAAGAAAAGACAGAGGGAAAAGAUUUCAUCAUGUUUUUUUUUGGACAAAUGAUUUCAUUAUGUUAUCCGAACAAAAACAUGAGAUGAAUGGUUUUUGGUAAAUCGGGUCUCGUUGGCCAUAUAAAUGUGGGGCAUGUGGCAUACCCUUAGGCGCUUUAAGCCUUUAAGCUUCUGGUGGAUAAAUGUGGUCCUAGUGGGCCGAUCAUACAUAAAAUGAACUCAAUUUAACAAAAGGUACUUACGUUUUCUUUUGAAAUCUUUAGUUCCACUCAUGCAUUUCCUUUUAAUCCCAGUGAAAAAAGCUAGACAAAUGUGAGAGAUAUAUCUUUGAUAGGAUAUUAAAUGAAGAAAAAGCCAAUGUCAUAUUUGUUAAUAUUCUCUAACCUUUAUGUACAGAAGCAAUCCACCGUAUUAAUCAAUACAAUUUGCUGAGACUAGAACUACUCCCGGACUCCCCCAACCGGGGAAACAAAACCUCUUUGUCAAUCAAAAUUUGAAGAUGGGAUGUGAUCUUCACAAAGGAGACCCAUAGAAACGGUGCACAACAGAAGGCAUAUCCGAAAACCGACAAUGCUCUAACAACACCAUCAGGAUAAGAGGGAAAAGCCAUCACAAGGAGCGUCCCGAGAAUGCCAAGCCACGGUGUCAAAACAUGGAGCACUGGAAGCAAGAAAGCAUUGAUGGGAAUGGAGGAGAAAGCAAAAGAACCGGUCAGGUAGAGUGACCAACCCAUGAGCGGGUGGAUGGUCUGUGGGAUGAUGAAGGAGGGUAUAAUGUAUGCUGACAGGAUCAAGAGGAGUGCAACCAUCUUGAAAGCUGUUAGAUUCUUGUCAGAACGUCGGUGACAUAGCUUGGACAUGCUGGAACGCGUUAGACGCGUGACUAGUAUGAUUCCUAGGUAGAACAUUGCUUGGAUUAGGACCCAAGGCAUCUCCGCUGAGUAACUGCAAUGUAAGAGGAGUGUGAGAAAUUUAUAAACUUAGACGUGGCUCCAUAAUAUAUUAAAUAUAGCCUUUUUUAAUUUAUAACAAAGCGAUAUGGAGAUUAUGAAGACUAGUAUGGGUUUCGGUAUGUGCAAUGAAAUAUACCUUAUGGUGUAGCAGCGUUGGUGGUGCCAUGAUAUACCUAAAGGAAGAACAGGCCAUGACCACCAGUACCAUGGCUUUAACCAGACUGCUCCAGGGAAUGUGAUUACACUGUUUGGUCCACACGGUACGUUCCAUCUGAGUUUAAGGUCUAAUAAUAAUCCACAAAGAUUAGCAAAAUGUUCCUGAACUUUGGGGUUAUUGAAAUGGAGAGAGAAUAGAGAUCACUUACAAUAGUAAGUGGCGUCCAUUUGAUACCCCAAAGGAAGCCUAAAAUGUCCGAUGAGCACGGUGCUGCGGUUAUUAGGAGGACGAAACAGAGGCUGAUUAAGUAAAUCAGAGAAGUAACUAACAAGAAAGCCUUGAUCAGCUCCAUCAGGAUUAUCUCUUUUUACUUCAAGCUCACGAAUCAUGUCUCUGAAGACCUCCAUUGAUGGCUGCAACACAAAGAGGCCAGUGUGGAAGAUGCAAGGGUUGAUGAAGACAGCACAAAAUGAGCCGCAUUGGAAGAGCUCGUCGGUGCUCUUGAGGAAUAGAUUGUCGGCAUCGAGCAUAACAACACGGUCGUAGUUUGAGAGAGACCAAGCGUAGAGCUUGUUCAGACUAAGUUUGAAUCUAUUGUCGAAGUUGGUUUGUUUCUUGUAUGGAUUCUCCAGAUUCUCUACUCUCACUACUUUUGCUCCGUCCAGUUCUUCCCUACAUAAGAGCAUGUUCAUUGUUCAGUGGUAACUUGGUAAGAUCUCAAGAAGGUAUUAAAAAGAUAAUAAGAAAAUGAAAAAGACAAAAAAAGAAAGAAUUAAAAAGAAAAAAAAAAGAGGUGGGAUAAACUUUUUGGACUAAAAUGAGAACUCAUGACACGUUUUAAGAGAUUCUUGUACCAUUUGUCAAAGUGUAAUUAGUUUCAUUUUCUUAAAAACAACUGAAAUUUAUUUAAUUACAAAAUGCUUUGAAAUACAAUAUUUUAUAUUUUAGAAAUCUCUUUGAGAUACUAAGCAUUGAGGGUCUUCUCCCCCAUUAGUGAACUGUAUUAAUUAAGAAUCUAUUGUUCGAGAAUUGUAUUUGUUUUUGUAAACCCUCGAGAACUGUAUUAGAGCACCUCCAACCAUAAAUAUGCUAAUUUGAGAUUUUUAUUAAUAAAGUAUUAGUAUUUUUAAUCUAAAUUAAUUAUUUAUUUAAAAUUAAACUUAUAAAGAACAAUUGACCGGUGACAUGAUAAAUAAGUGGGUGUAAUGUCUUUCAUACGGUUCUUGCUGAGGUUUGUUUUAGAACUUUUUUGAUUUCUCUUUCCUAUUUUGUUUUUAAAUAUUUUAUGUCAGAGAACUCUAUUUACAAACCUCCGUCGGAGAUGCUUUUAGUUUCUUGUAGUUGAAUGUUUUUUAAAUAUUAUGUAUUAAGCAAGAAAUGUAUUUUUAAUUAAUUUGACACUUUUCCCUUUUCAGAAAAGGAAAACCAACAAAUUUUUUUUAAAAGGACCGAAACUAUGAGUUACUAAAAUAAGGUAUUUGACAGCCCCAUUUACUUUUUAUAAUAUCUUUUCUUAUCUCUUAAAAAUUAAAAUUAUCAACAAGUCCACUAUUGUUUAUCAUAUAGUUUAUUUCCACUUUACCUGGGAAAAUUGUUUUUAGGCAAAAAAAUAGUAACUAUUGUCUAUUAGACUAAUUUCUAUUUUGUAUCAUUUUUGCUUUUAGUGCUUUUUAGUAUUUUUGAAAUAAAUUAAAUAAAUAGUUUUACAAACAAACAAAAAAUUGGAAAAAUAGUAACUACUAAUAAAAUACUUAUAGAACUUAGUGGUAUUUUUUCCUGUUCUAAAAAAUGUUUAAAUCAUAAUUUCAGAUUUUGUUCUACAUAAAGUAGAAUUGACAUUCUACGUACGAAGUAGAAAAUGAAAUCCAUUUUUUUCAUUGAAUCUACUAUGUUUAUAAUAUGUGAUCUACGUGAUCUACGUAAAUAAUAGUACUUUAAAAAUAUUUAGAAUACACAUUCAGCGCUUAACUUAUCACUCUUAAAUCUGUAGAAAUCGAAAUUUACAGAUUACAAUAAAUCUAAAACCUAUAGUAAUCGAAAUCUACACAUUAUUAUAAAUCUAAAAACCUGUAGAAAACAAUUUCUACAGAUUUACUGUAAAUCUAAAACCUGUAGAAAUCAAAAUCUACAUAAUACUAUAAAUCUAAAAACUUGUAAAAACCGAGUUCUACAAAUUUAGUGUAUUCUAUGGAUAAGAAUAACCAGUUCCGAAAAUAUGAGAAUAAAAUAUUUGGAAAUAUUCAGUUUCCAUAUAUGAAAAAAUUAUUUUUUCAGAAAAAUAUGGAAAGAAAAUAAUCAUUUUUAUGUGGAUUUUAACGUUUUCUUUUAUUUUAAUUACUUUAAUUAUUUAUUAUAUUUUAAUAUUUAACAAUAAUUUUGUUAAUUUUAAUUUCGAACUUAUAAUUGAAAUUAAGGACAUUAUUGCAAUUUUAAAAAUAAUUAACAUAAUGAAACAUAAAGUAUAUGAAGAUUAGUCUAACACGACAUAGUUACAAUUUUUUUGGCUUAAAAACAAUUUUAUCAAGAAAAAAACAUUAAACUUGCACCUAACCCGUGUAAGUUUUGCAUAAGAAAUCAAAAGGGUGAUACGUAUGGUAGACAAAAACGGAAUUGAUCAUUACUCCCUCUGUUUAAAAAGUGUCAUCCGAAAGAUUUUGCAGCACAUUAAAAAAAAUUCUUUCUAAUUAAUACACUAAUACAUUGAGUUUAAAAAUAAAUAUUUAUUUAAAAUUUUGUAUUGAAAACACAAAACGACAGUUCUUUUAAACAAAAAAUAAAACUCUAAAACAACAUUUUCAAGAAAUGGAAGGAGUAAAACUUUAAAAGUUAGCUUUCUAUGUUUGAAGGAAACCAUUUAAUUAUCGCUAAGAGAAUUGUAUAUCAACCCCUGUUAGGAACUACGGUAUGCGCUAGUCAGACGGUAAUUUCGGACCUAGCGAAUUACCGAAAAAUUGGAGAAUACUCGGAGAUUAUGUGAGACCUAGUUUUAAAUACAAUUUAAUAUAUUUAUAAUAUAUUUAGCUAAUUUUAAACAUGAUGAUACAAGUUCUUAGACAUAAUUAUAUAAUUUUUUAUAUAUAAUUUUAAACAGUCUCUUUUUGAUUUGUAAAUGGUGGGUUUGGUACGAAAAAAAUCCCUAAAUGUAGUAUGUAUGUGUUUGUUUUGGGUUUGAUAGCUAAUUAUAAUUAUUUAGUAAUGAAUAAUUACACAAAAUCUGUCAAUAGUGAGUAAAAAAUAAUCAACCGUGUUUUAACUUACACGGACGGAAAAAAUAAAAAAAUAAAAAAAUAAAAACUUAGGCGGUCAACGCGGGAUUAGGCGAUCAACGCGGAAAUUAGGCGGUCUUACGUGGGUCAACGCCUGACUACACCAAUUUAGGAUAAUCACCGCAGUCAACCUCGGAACAGCGGCUAGACGGCCGUCUAGGCAGCUGCGUUUUCGAAUAGGGAUAUCAACAAUAGGUAGAGCCUAGAGAUAAAAACGAAUAAAAUAGACAAGAAAGCUUAUAAAGGUCGUGGAAACACUUCUGCUAUUGAGACUGUCUUGUUCGGAUAUUUUCAGUUUUAUUUUAUGUUUUCAAAAGAGCCAAGGCGUCCUAAGCAUAAUCUUAAUUGUUAUUAUGCCGUCUUUGUUGCUUCUAAGCUAAAAAUACUUAUAAUUACUAAUUUUUGAAAAUAUUAGAAUUUUUUUCAGGCUGUUACCCGCACACUGCUCUUCCAUGUUCUCCUCUAUUUAGAUAUUAACAAUUUGACUUUUAACAUUUUUGUAAUUUAUACAAGGUUGGGAAUUUUAUGAUAUUACUUAAUUAAAAGUUAAAAAAAAUGUUUUAAACCAAUUAAAACGGAAGUGUUUCGGGGGUGAAAAGAAUAAGAAGAUGAGAAGACACUUACAGGUUGUGAAUCCAGUUGAGUGGAACGUCGAGGGAGGCGAUAACGACGAUAUCAGCGUUAACAUGGUGACCUUUGAGCGAUCUGAUCAAGACACGUGUCGCAACGUAAAACUCGUAGUCCCUUGGAGUUCCCAUGUACAUCAUCGUCGCAUAUGCGUUCUUGUGCUCCGGCCGCCGCGUCUGUAAACCUCGCUCCAUCACCAUGGUCAUCGCGUUUGCGUUUUCAGCUUCCAGCGGCUGAAACAGCUGAUCGCGAUACCCUGACGUCUCGAUGAUCAAAAGAGACAGAACCCAACACGAGAACACCAUAGCUCUCUGCAAAUCCAUGCUUAGUACUCUCUAUACACCAGCCAAGAAGGAAGAAACUAACAACUUUGAGAACUGUGUGUUUGUGGGGAUUUUCAACUUUAAGGUUUUGGGUUUUGUUUCUCUCUUUUUGAGAGAGACUUACGUCACUCAUAUACUUAUAAAGGGUAAGCAAUUAUAUACAAACACAUGUACUAGUUAGACUUAGGCAUAUUUCCCGGAUCCGAAGAUCCGAACCGAUGCCCAUCCGAAAAAUUCGGUUUUGCAUCGGAGGAUAUAAAGAAAUACCCGACUAGAUAUGAUUUUGUUUAAGCUUCGGGUACCGGAUCGGAUCGGGUAUUAUUACCCAGUAUCCGAACAAGUAUCCGAUUGUAUUUGAUAUACUUAUGCAAUUACGUAAAUUCGGCCUCUUUUCUCCUUUUCAUUGAUAUAAGAUAUUUUGAUGUUUCUUAAUCAUUUUUUACAACUCUUGUUUUAAUACAUCUUUUUGAGCAACUUUCUUAUGCAUCUUUUUGUUUGUUUCAUUAUAAAACUUUGGGAAAAUUGGCAAUAUAGAAUAACUAAACUAAAGUAUUGUUGUGGAUAAGCUUCAAUAAGAUAGCUUAGGAUACAAGUUAUUCAUUAAGGAAAGUAGAAUAACUUAUAGAUUAGGAUAAAGAUAAGUUUCCUAGUCUCAAGUGUAUUAGGACAAGUUAAGAGUUCCUAUAUAAAGAGAUCUAUAAUGUAUGUUGAUCUCAUAAGUUAAGAAAUAAAUAAAACGAAGGUACUGUUUUAUUAAAAGCUUUGCACACAAACAUACGAUCCUUGGCAACUAGAUUUGGUAUCAGAGCUACAGGUUCUGUGUUUUGUUGGACACGAAACAAUGGCUGAUCCAAUGGCAUUGGUGGACACGAAGAUAUUAGGGAAAAGAGAAGGAAUCCCUGGCACUGUUGUCUGUCCAAUGUUAAGCUCAACCAACUACACGGUUUGGACAAUGCGAAUGAAGGUCCUGUUGCGUUUUCACAAAGUAUGGGAGGCGAUCGAACCAGGCACGAACGAAGGGGACAAGAAUGAUUUUGCUACUGUUCUUCUGUUUCAAUCAAUACCCGAGAACGUGAUACUGCAGGUAGGCGAAUGUGCAUCUCCUAAAGAAAUAUGGGGAGCCAUAAAAGCAAGAAACCUUGGCGCAGAUCGUGUAAAGGAAGCUCGGCUGCAGACGUUGAUGAACGAAUUUGACCGCUUAAAGAUGAAUGACGACGAGUCUGUUGAUACCUUCUCAGGAAAGUUAUCUGAACUCUCUUCUAAAGCGGCCUCGUUAGGACAAAGUAUUGACGAACCGAAACUUGUAAAGAAGUUCUUAAAUAGUCUUCCUCACAAUAAGUACAUUAUGAUGGUGGCUUCUCUCGAGCAGAUGUUGGAUCUAAAUACAAUCAAGUAUGAAGAUGUUGUUGGAAGAAUUAAAGCGUAUGAAGAACGCAUUAAAGGGAAUACACCAAACGAUCAACAAAACAGCCUGCUAUUCUCAAGUUCAGAAGGAUCAUAUGAUCAGAACUCGAAAGGACAAGGGAGAGGUUCAAGUCGUGGCCGUGGCAGAGGGGACAGAGGAAGAGGACGCAGAAGAGGCAGCUCUGCAGAGUGGACAAAGGGAAAGAAAGAUUACUCGCAGAUCACCUGUUUCAAUUGCAAGAAAAAAGGUCACUUCAAGUCAGUGUGCCCUGAGAAGAAAGAAGAAAAUCAAGAGCUCAAUCAGAAUGAAACUGAAACUGCAGACGUCGCACUUUACAUGCAUGAAGUGGUGUUCUUAAACGAAGAAAAAGUGUUACCUAAAGCGUUUGAUCCAAGCAAAAAAGAAGAUGGUGAGUGGUACUUAGACAAUGGUGCCAGCAAUCACAUGACUGGUGAGAAAUCAUAUUUUUCUGAGCUAAACCAUAAUAUCAAAGGAAGGGUGAGAUUCGGAGAUGGAUUUUGUGUUGAUAUCGAUGGAAAGGGAUCAAUAUUGUUUGAAGCCAAGACGGGUGAACAACGACUUCUCACAGACAUCUACUACAUUCCUGAGCUGAGAAGUAACAUUCUCAGUUUAGGACAAGCAACUGAACAAGGCUGCGUUGUUAGAAUGCGGGAAAACUAUCUAACUUUGAGGGAUCCAAACGGGAGACUACUGACUAAGGUUCUUAGGUCCUCUAAUCGACUUUAUAAGAUAUCUCUCAAGGUAGGUAAACCCGUAUGUCUUCUUACAAAGCUAAAAGAGGAACCAUGGAGAUGGCACGCACGCCUUGGUCACAUAAGUUUCAAGUCAAUUAAAGCUAUGGCGACGAAAGAGAUGGUUCAUGGCCUACCAGAGAUUCAAGAAGAAAAGCAGGUGUGCGACUCAUGCUUAGUAGGCAAGCAGACAAGACACAGCUUUCCGAACGCAACGCCGUACAGAUCAUCAACUGCAUUAGAGCUUCUACAUGCGGAUCUGUGUGGGCCAAUUUCUCCAACUACACCAUCUCAGAAUCGAUAUAUUUUUGUGAUAAUCGAUGAUUGCACAAGAUAUAUGUGGUCCAUCUUAAUGAAAGAAAAGAGCGAAGCGUUUGAGAGAUUUAAAGAUUUUAAAUCCUUUAUUGAAAAAGAAGUAAAGAAAUCAAUAGGAACGCUUCGUACGGACAGAGGAGGAGAAUUUACGUCCCGUCAGUUUCUAGAGUUCUGUAACAAAAGUGGCAUCAAACGCCAUCUUACUGCCCCCUACUCUCCGCAACAAAACGGAGUGGUUGAAAGGAGAAACCGAACUCUCAUGGAGAUGACCAGAAGUAUGUUGAAAGCAACCAAAGUUCCUAAUUACAUGUGGGGAGAAGCAGUACGUCACGCUACGUAUAUUAUCAAUCGUGUUCCUACCAGAGCUCUAAUGAAUCAGACGCCAUACGAGAGCUUGAAAGGAAGAAAACCUAGCAUUGGACACAUUAGAGUGUUUGGUUGUGUUGCACAUGCAAAAGUGGACUCGGUCCAUUUAAGAAAAUUAGAUGAUCGCUCACAAGCUCUCGUUCAUCUUGGGAUCGAGCCUGGCUCGAAAGCUUAUCGACUUUACAACCCUACUACUAAGAGGGUUGUAGUAAGCCGAGACGUAAUUUUCAAUGAAGAUGUAGCUUGGAAUUGGAAGGGAGCAGAUAUAGAAGAAAGCAACUCUGGUAACUUUCAUAUGGCUUGGGGAACAACACUGGACGAAGGCAAAGGUCCGUUUGUAAUAGGUGCUAAUCAAGAGGAUGCUGCCGAAGAAACAGAACAUCAAGAAACAGAGCAACAAGAAGAUGGAACAGAGCAAACACACGCCGAAGAUCAAAUAAGUGAGGGAGCUAAAACUCAUGCAACAAGAAGAUCAACUCGUCAAACAAACAAACCUAGCCAUCUUGACGACUAUAUCUUGCUUGCAGAAGUAGAAUGUGAGUUGCUGCUACACUCAAUCAAUGAAGAACCUACUAGUUUUCGAGAAGCAAAGAACAAUAAGCAAUGGACAGGCGCGUGUGAAGACGAGAUAGAAAGCAUCAACAAAAAUCACACUUGGACGUUAGUAGAUAGACCAGACGGAGUCAAGAUCAUUGGCCUCAAAUGGGUGUUUAAAAUAAAAAGAAACGCAGAUGGAUCUAUCAACAAGUUCAAAGCUCGUCUUGUGGCAAAAGGAUAUGUACAAGAACAAGGUAUCGACUUUGACGAGGUAUUUGCCCCUGUAGCCAGACUAGAGACGAUAAGACUUCUAAUUGGCUUAGCUGCUGCAAAUCAGUGGGAGAUCCAUCAUUUAGAUGUCAAAACAGCUUUCCUACACGGUGAGUUGAAUGAAGAUGUUUACGUUUCACAACCUGAAGGGUUUGAAAAGAAGGGAGAUGAACAUAAGGUUUUCAAACUCUCUAAAGCGCUUUAUGGUCUAAGACAAGCUCCACGAGCUUGGAACACAAAGCUUGAUCAGAUCCUGAAACGACUAAAGUUCAAGAAGUGCUCAAAGGAGAGUUCUGUGUAUCGAAGAGAAGAUGGAGGUAAAUUACUUAUAGUGGCGAUCUACGUUGAUGAUCUCUUUGUGACUGGAACUUCUGUAAAAGAAAUAAAAGAGUUCAAGAAGGAUAUGUCGAGUAACUUUGAGAUGUCCGAUUUGGGUCUGCUAACCUAUUACCUUGGGUUAGAAGUUAAACAGAGUUCGGGCUGCAUCACGAUCAAACAAGAAGCCUAUGCUCAACGUAUACUAAAGGAAGCUGCAAUGGAUGACUGCAACUCAACUUGUAUACCAAUGGAGUUUGGUCUACAACUCUCCAAAGGAAUGGAUGAACCGGAGAUUGAUGCAACACUCUAUCGAAGAAGAAUCGGAUGCCUCAGAUAUCUUAUGCAUACACGACCUGACAUGGCUUUCUCGGUUGGCAUCCUAAGUAGAUAUUUGCAUUCUCCUAGAAUUUCACACGGCAAAACAUUGAAACAAAUCCUAAGAUACUUGAGAGGAACAGUUGGUUACGGCUUAUCAUUCAAGCAAGGAGGAUCCAAGAAGCUCAUUGGAUAUAGUGACAGUAGUCACAACACCGAUCCCGACGAUGGAAGAAGCACAACAGGUCAUUUGUUCUGCCUAGGAGAAACGCCAAUCUCUUGGUGUUCUCAGAAGCAAGACACAGUGGCAUUAUCUUCGUGUGAAGCGGAGUCUAUGGCCGCAACUGAAGCUGCUAAACAAGCUAUUUGGCUACAAGACCUGGUGAGUGAAAUCACAGGAAAAGAGAUGGAAAAGACAAUGAUUCGUGUGGAUAAUAAAUCAGCUAUUGCACUGGCUAAGAAUCCUGUUUUUCACCGUCGAAGCAAGCAUAUCCAUAAACGCUUCCAUUUCAUACGAGAACGUGUGGAACAAGACGAGAUCGACAUUGAGCACGUACCCGGAGUCGAACAGAAAGCGGACAUCCUAACUAAAGCCUUAGCAAGAAUCAAGUUUAAGGAGAUGAGAGAAAAGAUUCAAGUUCAAGACCUAAGUGAAAAUGAUUUGAAGCUUAGAAGGGAGAAUGUUGUGGAUAAGCUUCAAUAAGAUAGCUUAGGAUACAAGUUAUUCAUUAAGGAAAGUAGAAUAACUUAUAGAUUAGGAUAAAGAUAAGUUUCCUAGUCUCAAGUGUAUUAGGACAAGUUAAGAGUUCCUAUAUAAAGAGAUCUAUAAUGUAUGUUGAUCUCAUAAGUUAAGAAAUAAAUAAAACGAAGGUACUGUUUUAUUAAAAGCUUUGCACACAAACAUACGAUCCUUGGCAACUAGAAGUAUUGUCUCCUUAGAAUAAAAUCAACUUUUGUCACUUUUGGACAUUCACUACCCUUUUUGUAUAUAAAAAUUCAUAUCAAUUUUUUUAGAAUGCAAAAAAAUCUGGAAAAAUAGUAUAUUUGAUGUAGAUAAGCAACUGCAUAUAAGAAAAAUAUAUUUGGAUUAAAAAAAUGUUUGAUUAGUAAUUUCAAAAAUGAGGUAAAAGUGUUACAAAAUCAGAUCUACUAUCUACGGAGGUUUAUAAUAUAUAAUCUAACAAAGACAUAGUGAUCUACCAACCGUAGAAUGCGCAAUACACCGAAAACAUUAACAACUACUAGGGAAGAAUAUAAAAUCCUCAUUCCCUCUAUGUUCUACAUAACUGGUAGAUUUGAUGCGCUACAAAAAUUAAUUAAUCUACUAAGGUAGGAAAUGCAUUAUUCAUAUUGUCUUUUUGUCUACAUUGGUGGUAUACAAUAUUCUACCAGGCCUUCUAAUUUCUAAACAGAUAGAAUGCAAAUUCUACCUAACAAAAUUACAAAAUCCGAAAAUUUAGCCAAAAACGGUUAGGAAAUAUUCAGUAAAUCUUUUAAUUUUUUUUUAUUUCCUUUUUUAAUUUUUUUUUCCUAAAAUCUAGUCUUCUUCUUCAACAUAGCACGAUUUCUGAAGUUAAACAUGGAAAUUCUUCUUCAUUUUUUAGUUCUUCCAAACUUUUGUCAUUUCAAAAAUAUGAAGAUUAACAUCUAUGCUUCAUGUGGUUUUUUGAAAUCGUCGAUGAACAAUGGAUGGGGAUUUCUUGUUGAUGAAGAAAAAAGAGGCAGGUUACUUACUUUGGACACAGGUUCAAGCUUUGAAAACCUAAAGGUUAUGGUGUGUGAAGACUUUGGAAUUGAUGUAAACAUGGUCAAUAUAGAGCUGAGUUAUUUACCUUCCGAUUUGAUCAGUAGCAUCUACUCACCACCUGUUAUCAUCACCAAUGAUCGGCAAGUUAGAAAUUUUCUUACAUAUGUAAAGAACAAAGCUUCGACGCAGUUUUGUGUGAGUACUCAAGCCCCUAACAUAGCGGAAGAAGGUAUUGAGUCGCCUAACAGAGAGGAAGAGCCUAUGGAGUCUGACGACUCAAGUGAUAUGGAGUCUGACGAUGCAGCUGAUAUGGAUUCAGAAGAAGAUGUUGAGGUACCUGACAGUGAAGAUGACAAAAAGUGUGACAAAGAGAAGAUCAAUGAAGAUAGUGUUCGCUUUUCUUUGGUGGAUGUUGUGAAGAAGGGUCAAUCUUUUAGUUCCAAAACACUUUUGAAGGCAGCAUUCGAAAUAUGUGCAAUGAAACAUAAUUUCGACUACGUGGUUGCCAGAUCAGAUAAAAAAAUGUGGUACAUUCGUUGCUCAGAUGAUGAUUGCAGCUGGCGUGUUUGUGCAGAAGGAUUAACAGGCUCAUCGUAUUUUAUCAUCAAAAAGUAUGUACCUGAUCAUUCAUGUGCUGCAUCCAAUAGGAAGGGUUCUGUUAGGACAGCUUCACCAAAAACAGUGGGUACUAUGAUUAUGCAUAAGUAUGAAACUGCUAAAGAAGGGCUGAUAUCGAAUGAUAUAAUCCAGUAUAUGCGUAUGGUAUAUGGAGUUGAGAUAUCCUAUUCUUUGGCGUGGGAUGCACGCGAAUAUGCAAUCAACGCAAUGAAAGGUAUUCCAGAGAAAGGUUAUAAAAAAAUUCCCAAAUACUUGCACAUGAUGAAGGAAGCAAAUCCAGGGUCACACACGUUUUAUGAAACGGAUACAAAAGGGAGAUUCAUAUUCCUCUUCAUCUCGUUUGGUCAGAGUGUUCGCGGUUUUUAUGAUGCAAUUUGAAAAGUUAUUGUGGUGGAUGGGACGUUUUUGAAGAGCAAAUACAAAGGAGUAUUACUAGUUGCUACUGCAUUAGAUGGAAACUCGAGUUUAUAUCCAAUUGCCUUUGAAGUUGUCGACUCAAAGAAUGACCUCGCGUGGAACUGGUCUAUGAGACAACUUAAUGUGGUCAUUGCUGACGACCAUAGUUUAGCUUUUGUGUCUGAUAGGAAUUCCUCAAUUGCUAAAGCUAUUGCGAGAGUGUACCCGCAAGCUCAUCAUGGAAUUUGCAUUCACCACUUGCUGAAUAAUGUUUGUAACAUAUUUCAGCGGGAAAGGUGCAGCUGGUUUGGUUGCAAAGGCUUCUAAAGCUUAUCGAGCUGCUGAUUUCGUAAGGUGUUCACUGCUAUUUUCGCUAUUAGUCCUGAAAUUGGAAAGUAUCUCAUAGAUGCCGAUGUGAGGAAGUGGGCUCGUUGUCAGUUUUCGAGUUACAUAUAUGAUAUUAGGACUACUAACCCUGCGGAGUCGAAAAAUGCUGCUUUGCGUACGCCUAGAGAGUUUCCAGUGAUACCUUUGUUGGACAGCAUUAGGAAAAUGAUGAUUUGAUGGUUUUUCAAACGUAGAACUUUAAGUUCUAAGCAUUCGAAACCACUGACCAUUGUUGUGGAUAAGAAGAUUGACAGAAGGAUUGAGAAGGGUAAAAUGUUUAAGGUCUUUCCAGUUAGCGAUCAUAGGUUUUUAGUUCAAGGUGACACUUUCGACUACUCGGUUGACUUGGUCAGACGCACAUGUUCUUGUGGGAAAUUUGAUCUGAUGAAAAUCCCAUGCCGACACGCCAUAAAAGCAGGCUUCAGUGUUGGAAUAAGACCACACACACACUCACAUAUGACAUGUACACAACUGCCUCAUGGCGCUCUGCUUAUGAAGAAAGCAUAAAUCAUAUUAGCGUCCCCGAAGAUGCAUGGAAUGUUCCAUCUCAUGUGGAGAAGUCGAAAAUCCUUCCUCCAGAGAGUAGACGAGCUGCAGGUAGGAGAAAGAAACGCAGAUACGAGACAAGGAACUCAAGGCUCUACAGUUCGGAAAUGCAGUCGAUGUGGGAUUGAAGGUCACAACAAGAGAACAUGUGAUAGAGCAAUAUAGGAUUCUCAAUUCGUUCUAUGCAAGUUAUGUUUCAGAGACUAUGUGUUUCUUUCUUCUUGUUUUAUGCAAGUUAUGUUUCAUUUUUUUCAUGUUGAAUUCAGUUUGAUGCAUAUUUCAAGAUUGUUUAACAAUAGAAUUUUAUGUUUCAGAGACUAUGCAUUUUGUUCUUCUCGUUUUUGGAAGUUAUGUUUCAGUUUGUUCAUGUCAAAUCGUGCAAGUGGAAAUCGUUUAGGUCUUAACAAUAGAAUUCAAUAGAUGUUUUAUUUUCACAUUUGUUCGAUACAUGACGAUAAAACUGGAAAUCAGAUUGGUUUAAUCUUUGACAAUGUAACUUGAAUCAAAGAACCAUUACAAUAUCAAUCAUAUUUGGACCAGAGACAUAAAAUACUGAGAAUGGAUCCUACACAACCUACAUGGAGCGAACUCUUCUGUUUCAUAACUUCCUCCUCAGCUGUCUUCUUCAUAGAACUCCUCAGAUCUUUAAUUUCCUCAGCAAUUCUCGCCUGAUGGUCAUCCAUCCGGUGAAUCUCAUUAAACAGAGCCUCGUCGACCCACUUAAAAAGAUGCUCUUCUUUCUUUCUCUGUUUGAAAACACAAAAACAAGUCAAUCUCACAUCUGUUUAUUCUCUUAUCAUAUAGAAUAAUGAUGAAUAAGUAAUUACAGAUUUACCUGUAUACCAAUCUCGCAUCUGAAGAAUCGUCUUUAUGGGUUCUCCUCUGUUUUUGAAACAUAAGUGACAAUCCCCUUCCCACACCAGCAUCUGGAAGGGAUCCCUUCAUUGUUAUUCAUGUUAGUCAUUCUUUAUUGAGAAGGAAACAGAGGUUUUUUUUAAAGAGAAGUAGAAGAAACAAACGAUGGAAUAUGUAGGGUUUCUGGCUAUUUGAUGGUCUUAUAUAAGAUUAUUUUUAGGGCAAACGUUUCUUCCACUCGGGUUUGGUUUUAGAGUAAACUUGUAUGUGUUUUGAUAAUUAAGAUUUGUUAUGAUUAUUAAGAUUUUUUUGUGAUUUAUAAGGUUUGUGUGGAUUAAUUUGGGUUGAAAUCGUUUGUUAUACUUUAGUGGCAUUUAGGGCAUAGAUAAGGGUUCAAAUAGUUUGUGAUACUUUAGUGGCAUUUAGGGCAUAGAUAAGGGUUCAAAUGGUUUGUAUUACUUUAGUGUCAAAUAGGGUAUAGAUAGGGGUUGAAUUGGUUUGUUUUACUUUACUAUCAUUUAGGGUUUAAAUAAGAGUUGAAAUCGUUUGGGUUUUACUUUAGGGUAUCUUUAGGGGUUGAUAAGGAUUGUCUUUGCAUACAACUCAUUUAGGAAAUAUUUAGGCAAACUCAAACUGUCACAAGAGUUAAAGAGAGCAACUAAAAGUUUCAAAUAAAGUAAAAAAUAAAGAGUAACUACAAGAAUCAAAUACAAGAGUCAAAUAAGAGAGUCAAUAACAACCUACUUCCUUAACAAGUUAUAAUCGAAAGAACUUCAUUCAAGUUUCACUAGAGGAUUUGUAAUCGUCUUUGGAGGAGUGUAUUGUGCCAUUCUCAAAAUAAGCUCAGGAUCAUUGGCAGUUUCCCAUAGGUCGUAAGCAAUCUUUUGGCGCGCUUCUCGAAUGUUAUUGUCAUUCACCAGGGAGAAGUCCAAGCCUAGAAGAUGACAUUAAAUGUGCUUCAAGGCAUAUACUCCACAAUCACUGCUACUCUUGUUUAGUAAGUAGGGCACUGGGCAUAACUGACAGUAUAUUGCUUGACCUUGAGUUGCUGCCGACUCUUUGAAGACUGAGCAACUUUGACAAUUCUAGGGAUGAGAAAGGCAAAUGGCUCCACUUCCUUGUUAUAUUUCAAUCCCUCACAGUCAAGGACCUCUAUCGAACGAGAAACAAAGUUGACACACAUAGAGAUCUAGUGUUUACCGACAUUUAGAGGCACAUACAUGCGUGUAACGUCAAGAUCCCACAUUAGUCAUGUUCGUCCGUGUGCUGGAAGUUCACCAAUGUCGUACCGGCGAAGCAGUUCUGAUACUUUGAAUUUCUUCUUGUCCUUCCGAAACUCUUCGAAAGAGUUCUUCAUUUGAUUACUGAACAUGCAGCUCAUGAAUGCUACUUUACUUGGUUCCCAUCAUCGCAAAGUAGUCCUCUCAGUGAAUAAGUACAUUAUAGCAUCAAUUUCCUGAAAAUUUUAUAAGAGAUUGUAAGUCGUGUACUGAAAAUAUUAAUGACCAAAUUUAGACUCACGUGAUUCUUAAGCCACUCUGUAGGUCCCAUGACGUGUGCUGCUAACUCACUUGUUAACAUAGAAGGUCCAAUUUUCAGUUCACUGCAAUGCAAAAUUCAGUUAAAAAUGAUCCAAUUCUAACGCUUUGAGAAACAAUAAUAUAAACUUACUUGGAAGUUGAGGACCACUCAUUCAGUUUGGCCCAUGAAUCCUCAGGGGCAAACACUAAUGAGUGACCACUGUCAUGCACCCGAUCCUCAAGUAAAUCCUCAUCUUUGAGAGUAGGUGGUCUCCAAUCCGGAGGCUGAACUGAAGACAGUGGAGUAACCCAUUCUGCUGGUUCUUCGUCCUUCAAUUUUUGUGAGGGAUUAAAACCUUUAACAUGUGAUGCUUGAGAAAGGUUUCUCAUGGCGUCUUGUAACGACUCUUGCAUCCCCUUAUCUACAUAGUUCGAUGAUUGUGACAAAUUCUUCAAAAAAUCGAACAUGUCAUCGUCAUCAGUUUGAACUUCCUGUUAAUAAAGCCAAGCAUAACAACAUUAAUAGCAAAUUACAUUACAAAAUAUUCAAUCCAACAUGUCAUAGUUAUCAGUUCACUUCAUAGAAAACAACAAGAUACAUUACAAGCCGAUAUACAACAUAGCCCAAUACAAGGACAUUACAAAAUAGUCAAACCACAGAAAAACUUACAACCGAAGAUAAUUCGUCCUACAUAUUAUAAAGCUUCAUGUUUUGGUUACCUUUCUUACUGGCCGAGGGCUACGACGAAGCGGAGGAGGAUCCACACUCAAAGCUGCCUUGCCUUUGCCUUUUCCCUUUGCUCCUAAAGGACCCAGACUCUGUGAUGAUUUGUCUUGGUCUUUCCCAAGUGUUGCAGAAGGACAGAGAAUCUCAGAUGCUCUGUCUCGUCCCACUGCAUUUGAAGGAUCCGUAAUCUGAGACAUGGUUUCCUUCAGUUGAGCCAUCUCAUUGUCGACCUUGUCAAAACACUUGUAUGUCCUUCUGCAGCAGCUCCUUGAAAGAAUUGAAAGUAGAGGUGAACAAACCUUCAAUGAAGGUCUUCAUUUCACCGGAGACACCAAUAUUAUGUUCACCCGUCCAUUGACAAAGUAGUUGUUUCUUUCGAGACUCGACACCAGGAUCAAUUAGUUUACGCUUGCCCCUUUUUGUAACAACAACCGGUUCCUCUGCAACAACAGCUGGUUCCUCCACAUGUGUUUCUGUAACAUUUUCAACUUCGACAUCCUCUUAUGCGUUAGAUAACACCAUAUUUGGAGGCAGAGUCUCAACUUCCCAAGUGAAUUGCUUCUAAUCUUGUUUGGCACUGAUCAGAGCAACAAUGCGACCGACUCUUCCGUCAUUCUUCUCAUCUUCCCUAAAGAACUCAACAUUAUCAAUUGCCUUAGAGCUUCCAAUAGAUGAUAUAAACGGGAACAACUCUCCCUGGGAAGAACAAACGAAACAAUAAGCUUCAGUUGUUUGAUUAUUGAACUCAACAUUAAUAUAAGAAAGAUAACUACCUUAUCAAAGUUGGGCUAUAGGCUGGUGAUAUCUUGGUAUGAUACUUUUCCACUUCCUUUCCAACUCCUACAUCUCACUUUGGUCAAGUUUUUUUUUAUCUUUUUACCCACCAUAGAACCAAUGUUUGGAAUUGCCUCCAUAAUCCAUAUCUGAAACGCAUAUGAGAAUCCAUCCAACACAUAACUGUUUUUCAGAUGCACAUCUUCCCUUGCUUUGAAUAUUGAUGCAAUCAGCUCAUCAUACGCGCCAAGACCCCAAGGAUACAUCCUCAUUUUCUCAAAAUCCAUCACCAAACGAAUGAACUCGUGAGGGAUAAACACUCUCAAAUCCUUAGCAAUGACGAAUCCAUGUAUAAUACACAGAUACACUAGCCUCACCCUGUCGACAUACGUCCACUCGUUACAGACUUUAAGGAGCUCAUCCCUUAUAAUCAAUAAGUUGAUCUUUCUAUUUUCCUUCAGCACUGUGCUCCAGAACCCCUUAUCACUCUUCCAGUUAUUGAAGUCUACAUCGGGUUCUUCUUUAAACUUCAAUCCAGUCACAUCAUAAAACUCUUGCAUAGAGAACCUGAGAGGCCUCUUUGCAAAUAUAAACCACAACUCGUGAAGCUUGGAAACCUUAAGCUUCUUGCAUAUGAAGCUGUGAAUAAUAUUCCCUGAGUAAAUGAGCUUGUUCUCUACGAUUGCCAGAAUCGGACCAAAGACAGGGUCUUUCAAAACUUCUUGAUACUCAUCCCUGAGAACCACCUUCAACGUCCCCAGAAUCGUGCGUCUACAAGUGUUGUUAAUCUUAUCAAUCUUGGUCUCAGCUCCUUCUUCAAGAAUGUGUUUUGGAAACUGGUAAUCCAUUCCUAUAAAACAUGAAAUCAAAAACUUUAACUCCUUAGCCUUUUCAAGUCCAUUACGAAUUCAAAACACAACACAAAGCCGAUACCAAAAAAAAUAGAAUUCAAAAUCAACUCAAAAAUAAACUACAAUCAACUCAACCCACAAACUACAAUCAAAACCAUAAACGUGAAUCGAUUUGUGUUUUUAAACAAUUCAAGCUCUUUCUACUACAUGCACAUAAACAAAAACGAACAAAAAGAAAAAAAAAAUCAUAAAGGGGAUUUCCAAACCCUAACCUUCAAUUCUUGGGAACCGAGAUGAAGGAAGAUCAAAAGAAGAACAAUGUGAAGCCAAUCGUCCUUUAUAAGCCAGAAGAAGCUACUCCCGAGCUUGAAUAACUCCUAUCGGUAUCGGCGGAUAUUAAAAAGUGAUUGUAAUCGAUGGUUCUCAAAGAGGAAAGACGACAGAAGAAGGACGCGAAGAGACGUGACGACGAUAUCGUCGUCUCCGACGAACGUAGACGGCCAAGAGAAAGAAAGUGUCGACGGCGGCGAUUUGAAAUCGCUUCUGCCUUUUACAAACGGGAGUCGGAGACAAAGAAAAUUCUUUUUUUUUUACUGCCUACGUUUUUACUUCUUAUUAUUAACUGUAUUUUACUAAAAAUGACAAAACAUGUUUUUCAUAUUUUUUUGUUCUAAGGGGACAAAGAUUGGGAUUUUUAUUCUAAGGGGACAAAAGUAUACUUCUUUUGUUCCUUAUCGGCAAAAAUCCUAAACUUUCAUCUCUAUUUUAUGUUUCUUUGCUUGUUUGGAAUGCUGGAUUAUCCUAUAUUUGAAAUGUUGGAUUUCUUGUUUGUUUGAAGUUUGCUUAAACUUUUGUUUUUUUUGGUUUUAAAUCUUUUGUAUUUAUCUUAUUUUUAUAAUGUGUUUGGGUUUAUAGUAAUUUAGGAUAGGAUGUUGAUAUUUUCGAUUAUGAUCGGAUAAAAUAUGUCAACCCGAACCAAAACCAAAAAAUUUCCAGUUCAUUUGGAUAUAUCCAAAAAUAUUCGGAUCUAACAAGUACCGAACUGAACCUGAUCUGAAAUUCUUAAUUACCCAAUCAGUUCCCAUUUUUUUCUAUCCAAAAGAUCUGCUACCUGAAAUAUCCGACCCGAACUCGAUCCGGUAUCCGAGUGUCCAUACCUAUGCCUAGUACUAAUAAAAGAGGAGGAGGUUUAGAGUAGAUUGGGAAGGCGUUAAAGUUAUAGACUGAUAGUUGUGAGCAAGAUUUCUUAUAUAUAAAAGUUUCUUUUUCUUCCAGAAUUGUAAAAUUUCCUACUUAAGAAUUAAAUAUUUGGAAAAAGUUUAACCAAAAGUGGUGGAUUUUGGUUGUUAUAACCGAAUAAAUUACUGGUAGUUGAACCCAAAAUUUUAAUGGACACUGAGAAUUUCUGAUACAUGCAUUGGCUGUAAAAUUUCAUUUUCACAUUUAGCUUAAUAGUACAUGGAGUUUUUUCUAAAUAUACGUUGCAUUUAAUCAGAAAUUUAGCAACGGAACAAUCAGUCCAUCUUUAGAGAACCCAUCUAAUAGAACUUAAAUAUCGUAGUCCAAUAUAGUAAGUAGCCCAAGACACGAAAUUGCAACGUAAAUUUAUUUCCAUCAAAUUGCAUCCUAAUUUAAACAGUAGAGAAGAAAAAACAUAUUACUGAUAAUAUAUGGCAAAUUCGUAGGAAUUCAAACUCUUUGUGGACGAAGGAAAGAAAUUUUGGCUACGAAUGAUUAGAAAAAAAUAUAGUAGCAAACCAAUUUUUAAUAACUUUUAAAAUAAAAAAGCAAUUAAAAUAAAGGAAACCUAAUUUUACUAUUAAUUCACGAAAACAAAUCCAUCACUAAUAAUUAUAUUCACUAUUAGUUAUAUAUUUUAUUUGCAUAAUUAAAAGACUAAUCUAAUUAAUUUCCAGUUGCAUCUGUAUUCAUUAUACAAACAAAUUUUAACACCAACAGCUGUUAAGUUUAGAGGGUAAUAGUUGAAUUACAACAUCGACUUUCAAAUAAGGGAUACUACAGUAUAUUAAUUUUAGAGAAAAAAUGCUAUACAUUUUUACACAAAACAUCUUAUUUUUAACAGUGAAUAACAAACAACUAGGUAAUAGUCCGCGCGUUGCGCGGUAUGUGAUUAUUAGUUUCGUUAUUUUUAAUAAAAAGACAUUAAAUCUGUUUAAUCUGGAUAUUGGUUUGGUUUUAAGUUUUUUUUUAGUUUUUAAUCUUCUAAAAUAUAAAUGUUAUUUUAAAUAAUAUUCAUUUUAGUUUAUUCGGUUAAAAUAUUUGACUUUUUGGUUUUUUCCCGUAAAAACUAAAAAUUAAUAUUAUUUGUUUAUUUUCAUGUUAUGAAUUUUAGAUAGUCAUCGUGUUGAACCAAUAGUUUCAUAUUAUAGCUUCUAAACAGAUAAUAGUUUAUGAAAAAGAAAAGAAAAUUAUUAAGACAAAUCAUUUCACUACAAUUUGGUCGGUAGUGAAAGAAGCAUUAAUAAAAAAUAUUUUAACUUUCAAAAAAAUUAGAUAUUUCUGUUGUGGUGAAUAUUUAGUUAGAAGGUGCUCACAUCAAGAUGCACAUGUAUGUGUAUGUAAAAAAUAAAUAAAAAUAGUUGAUAAAUAGAUAAAGAUAUUGUUAAUUAAUACUAUUAAAUGACAUUUUUGUUCAAAAUAAUACAUGAAAGAUAAAAUUAAAAUUAAUUUAAAGCAAAAAAGACUUUGACAUUAGUCAUUUUUUCAUAUAAAGAAAAUAAAAUUGUAUCCGUAAAUAGGGGUGGGCACAGAUCGAAUAUCUGGGUAUUUGUAAGCAUUCGUGUCGAUUCGAUCUUUAGCCACCUAUAUAUUCAGUGACUCGGAUAUCCGAAAUAUUUUAGAAUUUUAAAGAAUAUUCGAUUUAAUCCGUAAAUAAAAUAAAAUUUUAAAAAUAAUUGAAAAUUUUAAUAAUAACAUUUUAUUACAAAAAUAAAACAUUACUUAUUUUAAAUUCUAGUACCUAAUAUAAUAAAUCUAAUUCAUAAAAAUAUUGUAAAACUGAUAUAAAGUAUAAUAUAUAUAACGUAUAUAUAUAUAUAUAUAUAUAUAAUUCUUUUCAUAUAUGUAUAUAUAGGAAUAUAACAGAUUGAAUUAAAUAUAUGUUCCUAAAAAUAUUGGUAUUUGUGAUUUGCUUCUUUUUUGGAUAUUGUAUUUUAGUAUUUGAUUUGUUUCAUAGAGUUAUGGAUAUCCAGAUUUUUUGGUUCAAAUCAAAACGAAUAACGAAUCGAAUCAAAAUUUAUGAAUAUGUUGCUCAACUUUAUCCGUAAACAAUAAAAAUAAUAUAUAUAUAGUUUGACUUUUGAUUCGUUAUCUAUUUUUAUUCGAACCGAAAAAUCCAGAGUUUUAUUGGGAACCAUGUAUUGGGAACCAUGUAUUGGGAAUCAUGUAUGUGAGUUUUAUAUUAAAAAAAAGCACAAAGUACAUAGUGUGAACACAUUUAUGAAUAUAGUGUGACGCGUUAGAAUAUUUAUUAUCAAAUCAUUGUGAGAUUGCUACAUGUCUAUUAUUGUGUGAAUGCAUUUAUUACAAUGCUUCUCAUUUAAUAUAUAAGAGAUUUACAUGCGAUGAUUAAACAAUGGGGAAAGUUCUUAGGUUCUAUUUUCAAAAAAAAUUCAGAGGUUCGGAUAUAACCAAAACCGGAGACAAAGAAAGCAGUGGCCUGAAAAAAUGAUAGAAAUGUAACCACUGGCGGACCCAUGUUAAGAACUAUGGUGUCAUUUGACACCACAAAAAUGUAAAUCGAACUUUUCAAGCUGUAAUUGUUAAAUGACACUAGCUUUUGAAAGCUUGUCUCUGAACCCACAAAUCUGGGAUCACAUCCCUUCUAUGUCACUUUUUCUUAAUAUUUUUGUAUAAAAAGUUUUCUGGAUUCGUCUCUGAAUGUAACCACGUGUGACCAUUAAUAUAUAACACCAUAUAAUGCACAUCCUAGUAUGUAUACUCCCACUUUUGACCCAAAAAAGAAGUAUGUAUACUCCCACCAUCACUUCCUUUGAAUUCACUCUGCAACAAAAACAGUCACACGUUGUUUUUUAGAAUGUACUAGUAUUAAAGCAUGGGAAUAUUUUUCCUUUCAAACAAACAAAAUUUUAGUAUAAUAUGAGAAAAAUGCCUAAAACCAUUAGACAAUUUUGAAUAAUUUUUUUCAUAUUUAACGCACAGAAUCUACUUUCGACAUAUACUCAUUUGUUUUAUAUACUCAUCUCUUUACCUCAUUUCGUCAGUUUCAUAUGACGAAACUUACAUGUACAAAAUAACUCUGAUUAACCACGACAUAUAAGAUUAGAUUAGAUUAGAUUAGUUAAAAAAAAAUUGAUCUUUAAUUAGUCCACUGGAUACAAAUACUAUUUUAAAGCUUUCCUUUUUUCUAUGUCUUGUUUAACUUGUGGUCUUCCUAAUUAUUAACCUACAAUUUAUGGCUUCUUUGUCUUAUUACAUUUAGUAUCAAAGUAUUCACUAUUUUCAAAAGUGUCAGACAUUUUUCUGUAAAACCUUUUGUACAAUACGAAAACAAUUAAACAAUUAAGCUAAUACGUCCUUACCUGAAUAAAUUUCUGAAUUUGGUGCCCAAAAAUGGGAAAGAGCACAAAAGACAACUGUGGUCAAGGAAAUUUCACGUCUUGGAAAUUCUAGAAAUAUAUAAGAACAGGAGAAAAAAAGUUUGUGAAGGAAGGAAAAGGAUGGUGGUUCGUGGGUUAUGGUGGAAAAGAAACUGUUUCUACAGUUUGUUUUCAAAACAUUAUUUUGUUUUAGUUGUUUUUUCUUAAUUUUGAUAAUAUGAAUUAUGUGGCAAAUUUUAAUUGGUCAUAUGACUUGUACUUUAGUAUAUAAAGAAUGUGUAUUUCUUAAAAAUACCACGUAGCUCUACUAGUAAGUUUUCUUUUAAAUUUUGUUUUUCUAGCUUUUUAAUGGGUUCAUUCGAUCUAAGGUCAAGGUGAACCUAUACAUUCACCAAUCAAUAAUAGUUUGUCAUUCUGUGUUCGAAAAAAAGAAACAAAAUAAUAAUAACUUGCUAAGUUAUAUUAUUUUUUAAAGUAAAAAGAUAAAAAUAAAUAAAAAAUAGUAGGAACUGCCAAAUUUUUUUUUAAAACAUUGUUAAUGCCGUCAACAAAACACUAAUCAUAAAUCCUAAACACUAAAUCCUAAAUCCUUGGAAAAAACCUUAAACUCGUAACAAAUAAUUGUUCCCCUGUAUUUUUGAAAUAGAAAUUUUAAUGGAAACAACAAUUUGUAACUAACCUAUUUGUGAUACUUUGAUGAAUGGCUAGCCUGUUACAGAUGAUAGUCACAAUAGUUUUGGAAAAAAAAACAUAUAUACGUGAAGAUAUUUUUUGUGUAAUGAUUUAUUGUACUUGUCUUGUGGUUGUAUUAGGCUGUUCAUCUUCAUCUCAUGAGUUCGACGCGUCACCUGUGUGAAAUUUUAUGUGUGGGGUUAAAUGGUCCAGUGUCCAAGGGUCCAUACGCUCAAAAGGCCAAAACGCCCAAAAUAUUGACAGUUGGGGUGGCUUAUUUAGGCUAUCUGAACUGACUUUAAUUUUAAUUCUUAUCUAAAAAUAUCAUUUGAUUCGUCGAUCGUCAAAAAUGUUUUGCUACAAAAAGAUUUUUUUUUAGCAAGUUUUAAAAUUAUCAGUUGUGUUUUAUAUCAGUUUUCAAAGCAAUAGCUAAAAGAUUAGAAAAAUCUGACAAUAAAAAAUUAUUAUUAUUUUUGUUUGAAUGAAUGUAAAAUUUUAUUCAAACAAAAACACUGUUACAUCAAGUGCCACUAUUAUCCCUACUAUAUAAAAAUAACUAUUUUCAAAUCUUCUUACACUGUCCACAUAUGAUGAAAUAUUCCUAGCCAAUCAUUUGUCCAUGUCAUCAAGGAUUCUUGGGCCAUGAAUCUGUGUUUUCAUUUGGGCUGUGUUUACAUUUAUUAAACUACUUGAAUCCAACCCAUCUCACCAUUUCUGAAGCGUGACUCUUCCCCGACUAUUCAUCUUCGACAUUACUGAUCAAUUUCUCAUCACCAAACACUUCGCCAUUACAGUUAUCCCUCUUCAUUAGUAUAUUAUGCUCUUUAAUCUUGCUUUAAUGGUUUCAUUCCACCUUCCCUUUUCUCUCUUUCUAUAUAAAGGGCUCCAUCUCAUCGUUAUCCCAGCCCUAAUUGAAACUCUGCAGAAACAACUACAUUUACCGGCAUGAAAUCCACUGGAUACUCUCCCCUCUCCACCGGCAAGUCUUCCGUCGCUGUUUCUCUCUCCAAUUGAAAAUGACGGGCUCAAAGAAGGACGAGGAGGACCAUCUUAAAAGAAGGAGGAGAUGAAGAAUCUACUCCUCCGUGAUGAUGACAGCCCGAGAAGUAGAAAAAAAAAUAUUUCGAUCCAACUUCUUUUGGUAUGUUUUCUACUGUUUCAUCUGAUCAAAUUUCAGUUAAGCUUCAAAUUUUGUGUUAAAUUGUGGUGACAAAAUAUGAUUUCGGGUUUUGAACCUAUCCUCCAAAAUAAGUUAAGAGGCUACACGAUGGGUUAUAAAGUUUAUGAUUUUAGCAUUGGCCAUUUUAAUUAUGUCGAGUUCUAACCAUUUUUUGUCUUCUCAGUUUUCAAGAUCAUGUACUUGGAUGGAUAUGGACCUCCACCUAGACGUUUCCAACCAAACACUCGAGCAAGUUGAGUGAUGAAGAGCUUACCUACUUACAAAAAUAUUUUUCUCAAGCUUUACCAUUUCAUUUCAUCCUUGGUAAUUUGCUUUCCCUAUUUUUUACUCAUCUUCCUCGCCACUUUGUGUCUUCUCUAUAGUUAAGCUUCAGGGAGAGUUGUGCAUAAGCAUCUUGAAGAUUUCAUGAGAGAGUGAGGUAACUUGCUCAAACGAGUUCUUUUCACAAAAAUAAAUCAGUUCAUGAGUAGGUUUAUAGAAUGGGAAGAGCUAAGAUCAUGAAAUGGUUCUAAUGGUUAUACAAGUUGCAAUAUUUCAAUAUUUGUGUUUAAAUUUCUGUCUUUUGAUUUGUUGAUACUAAUCUUUGUUCUCUUUACUUUGGUAUUAACUAAGUUAUGAUUCUUCUGCAUUUGGCCUGAGGUUUUCUUCCUCCAGCUCCUAAGUUCCUAACAGUCUUUUCCUUUUUCCUUAAUCUGUAAAGGGAGGAAUAAUGAGCUAGCUUCUGCCAUCGUGAAACUGUGGAAGAAAUGUGUUACUGCAAUCAAUUAAUUACUGUUUAUCGUCUUUAUAUUUUGUCACGCACGUAAAUACAGAACAAAUACAGAACGGCAAGGCAUCAACUGGAGACUUCAGAGGCUACCGGUAUAUACUUUUACAUAAUAAUUUUGUGUUUUUCUGAACUAUUAACCACACAUGUCUCUAGAAAGUUGCUUACUCUUUUGAAAGGUAAAGUCUCGAAGGCAAAACAUGUUACAAAUAUUUCUCUUUUUUUUUUCUUUCACAGGAGAACCUCGAGUGAAAGAAGAUAAGGAUGGCAUCUAUCAAAGAUAUCAAAUCUCUUGACAUUAAAACUUAAAUUUCUAUCAAAGAUAUCAAAUCUCUUGACAUUCUUUUGUAUUUGUUCAGAAUUUAAUUGUUAUAAUAUUACUUACAUGUUUAAUUUUGUCACUCUUUCUUUACAAGGAGCUUCGAGAUCACAUAAGCUCCAAUGCCACAAGUGGAAGCUUAGAAACGUUUCUUUGAGCUGACAGAGGUAAUUAUAUCACAUGCAUGGUUGCUAAAAAUAACCUUUGUCUGCUUUCUAACCAAAAAGAGCAUCAGUCCUAUUAUAUUUGAUGUUGUUUUGUUUAUAUGCCCCAUAUCCAAAGCUCCUUGCAAAUACAGAUUGAAAACAGGGUGGUACCUACAGAUGAUGUUGGAGAAACAACAGAAGUUACAAGAGACCCAUGAGCUUUUCCUCAGUGACAUCGCCAAAGCAAUGCAAUGUCACAUUUGCCGCAUCCGAAUUUGGUUUCAAGACAAACUGUGAACCAAACUGUAUCUGCUUUGGUAUCAAUUAAACUAAGUCCAUUCAUUUAUUAUUUUUCAAUUCAGGUACAAUUAAGGAAAUAUUUUAUGUUGGAAAAAUGAAGAUACAUAUAUAUAUAUACAUAUAUAUAUAUAUACAUUGUUAUAACAGUCCAUAUAAGAGAACACUACAAAGAAGCUAGUUUUUUUUAUCUGUGUGUAUACUUAGAAGUAAUAUAGAGCUCAAAGGUUAAUAAUGUGUGGAAGUUCAGUUAGACAAACUUUUGCCUAAACCGAGAAGAAAUGACUACAAAAACAAGACAAAGAUAACAAGCCACCACACAUAACCAGAGAAUAUUAGUACAUUAACAUUUAAGGUUGAUUUUUUUUGGCUAAACAUGUUUAGUGGGAAUAAUGUUAGAUGGUUUGUUAAAACUCAGAGAUUCAACAAUACCAUUUGUGUUAUAAGAAAAUUGUCUUUUCUUUGCUUCGAAGCUCAUGCAACACAACUGAAGUAGUGAAGAUGAGCACCAACACUACUAAAACUUUAUAUCUAUUAUUAAUAUUUAAAUAAGUCACUCUUUUGUUUAGCUUAUUAUGAUAUUUAUAUUUUAUCUUAUAAAUAAUAUUAGAUUGGAAAAUCAAAAGGCAGAUAGUCUAGCACGAUGUGCCAGAAAACAAUCGUCUUUCGUCGUUCACAUGGAUGCGGAGUUACCAGUUUGGUUCGUAGAGUCUAUAUGAGUCUGUUUGUUGAUGACAAAAAAAAAAAAAUAAAUAAUAAUAAUAAUAUUAGAUUCAUAUAAUAUACUAGCUAAUUUUCUAUUUAUAAAGUAACCACACUACAACGAUUACUUUAAACAAUAUUAUGUUAUUUUAAUUAGACAUGUGCUUUGCAUAUAAAGUAUCUGGUCGGUUUGGUUAUUAUUAAGGUAUGUUAGAUUAUAUAUAUUUUUCUGAAUUCAACCAUAAUAUUAUUAUUUUUAUAAAUUUGAUUAUUUUUGUUAAUGCAUUUAGUUUAGUUAUUUUUUCUUAGAUUUGUAAAUUUGAUAGAAUUAUAUAUGAUUUAUAUAUUUUGUAUUGAGAAUUGAAUAUAAAAAUUAAAGUAUUGAUCAAUUUAAAAUUUAUAAUCUCAUGCUUAUAUAUAAAUUUUCAAAAGAAUUAAAUCAUAACAAUUUAAUUAAAAGUACACUUUCAUUUAUCAAUGUAUCUUGAGUCAUUCCGUAAUUUUACAUGUAUAAAAUUAAAAAAUAUUAUAAAGUUAAUUUUUUAUUUUUUAUAAGAAUCUAGAUUGAUUUGGUUAUUCAUUUUCAGAUAUAUUGAAUUACAUAUCUCUCUAAACGGAAUUAAAAUAUUUCUGAUAAUAAUUCGACCAAAUCAUAUUAGUUUUAUUUAUUGCAUUUAGUUAAGUUCUUUAUCUAAGAUAUGAAUCUAUCUUUUCAUAAAAAAAAUUGAAAUUCAUAAUUUUACUGAUCUUUUUAGUUGAUAUAUUUUGAAAAAAAUAUAUAAGAAAAAUGUAUGUUUUUUUGAAAAUUAAUAUGCAAAAUAAAUAAGUAUAUCCAAAAAAUACUUACAUAAUUAGAAAAAAUCAAAUAGUUUUUAUUUUAGUUUACAAAAUAAAUAUUUUAAUAGACGUGUUUAAGUAUAAGAUAAUAAGUUACUAUAUUUUCAAAACAAAGUUAUAAAUUCAUUAAGAUUUAGAUAGUUUUAGAACUAAUUAACAAUAAACCAAAUAAUUAACCCAAAAAUACUAUGUUAAUUAUUUUGCUUCUGCAAAGCACACAUCUCACAACAUAAAGAUGUCUUCGCCACAAGCUAAUAAAAAAUUAUGAAAAUUAAAGCAUAUAAGUUUUCAACCUUAAACAAUAUCUUCUAACUACUUUCAUUAAUAUUAGGGAAAUUAAUAUCCUCUUCUAUUUAAGAGCUCCAAUGGAGGUUCUACCCACUGGAGUUCUAAACUUACCAUAAAUGUAUAUGUAUAUAUUGUAUAUAUGUAUGCAGUUGUAGGGUCCAUUAUUUUGUGGAGAACCUCUCCAAAAUCUCUUAAAAUCUCUUAAGAAACCUGAUUUUACUUCAACAAGAAGAUGGAGAAUACUUCAUACAAAUUUGUAAAGAUAAAACCAGAAAUAAAAACAAUGGAACCAAAGUCUACGCCACCACAAAUCCACAACUUGAUUUAACAAAGCCAAUGUUUUCGGCAUAAUUUCUUUCACUAGCCUAUGUUCUUUAUAUUUUGACAUCAUGUAUUGAUAUUAUUCUUUGCUUAACAAAAAUUCUAUAAUAAUUCUUACUUUUAUGCUACACCAAGUAGAACCACUAACCACCUCUGAUCAAUUAUAUAAUUUAUUUCUCACUCAACCCUAUUCAAAAUGAGCAAUACUAAGUUUACUCUACCAUUAUGUGCAAAUUGGUAAUUAUACACAUGUAUUUAACGUUACAAAUAAAAUUUACGCCCACAUGAAAUCAUCAACAAAACAUUAACAAAAUGGAACCCAAAAUCUUAUCGUACUUUUCAUGUACAAAGUUUGUAGGUUUUUUUGAUACAAAAUGAUGAAACUAUCGAUAACACAUAUUCAUAUUUAUCUAAACAGAAAAAAAUAUAAAUACAUAACUCAUAAAUCAGCUUCUUCUAUCUUAAGUUGUUCGUGUUCCAAACCAAACACUCAGCCCUUCUUCUAAAUACUUCUUCCCCUUCCCUUUAACUGUCAACAGCUUCAAACGGAUCAACUUAUCCACAAACUUUGAUAUCAUUCUCUCAUCCUUUGGUUGCUCUCCAUGUUUACGAGCAUUCCUUUCUCUCCAUAUGCUAUGAACCAAAGCCUGAAAAGCGUAGCUUACGAGGAAUCCCUCCGCAGUUGUAUAACUGAUUCGAGAUAUGAGGGAAAUAAUUUCAUCCCAAUCAGUCGUAAAUUCUUCUCUUAAUAGUCCUCCAACCAUUUCCUUCCAAAUUUUCCCAGAGUAACUGCAACUGAAGAACAGGUGGCUCCGCGACUUGUGGAUCCUAACAUAGCACACAUGUUGUAUCUGUUGCUCUGUUCCAAAGCUGCAUCCUAUCACAGGUUUGCAAUCUGUUCCGACUUGCUAACCAAACUGUCAAAGAAUAUUUUGGUGUUGAUUGAGGAAGCCAGACUCCUAAUUUAUUCCAAAUGCACUCCGGCUGGGAUUGACGUAGAUACAACCAAGUUUUCUUUGUAGAGAAUUGCUUGGAGUAUUUUCCUUCCUUAUACUUCCACAGAAGAAUGUCUUUCUCCUGAUUCACACGCGUUCUUAAUGUAUCAAUCUCAUCCUCCAACUGAUUUAAAAUGCUAAGCAUGUGCCUUCUCCUUCUAUGGCAUCUUAGGACAUCAGCAAUGUGAGCUUCAUCAUCAAUACCGAAGUCAUAACUUCCUCUUCCAUUUAACAGAUCCUUCAGGCAGCCCAACUGAGACCAUGAAUCAUACCAGAAAGAUGUGUAUCUUCCAUUCGCUGAAGUGUUUUUGCCAAAUCUCUUAACUUCAAAAGCUUUUUCCACAUCCAAGAACCAGAAUUCAUGUUGUAUUUGAUAGACGAGAAAGAGCCUUUUCUGAUCAAAUAACAAUUGAUCCACUGGACCCAUAGAGACGAUCGAGCAGCUGAUAGCCUCCAAAUCAAUUUCAGGCAAAGAACCUUAUUAACCUCCUUCAAUGGCCUAAUAGCCAAUCCUCCCUCCCUUUUUGGUAAACAAACACAUUUCCAGCUUACUUUUGCCAUACUUGUUUUGAGUUCAGGUCCAGACCAUAGAAAAGCUGAACAAAGACUUUCUAUCUCCUUUAGACAGCUACUCGGUAGUCUGAAAGCUUGGAGCCAAAAAUUAGCUAGACUUGUUAUAACAGACUUAAUAAGCUGUAAUCUACAUGCAUGUGAGAGGAACCUCUCAGUCCAUGAUUUCAUUAUCUUUCUCACUUUCUCAACCAGAGGCAUAUAAUCAUGAACCGUCAUUCUUUUUGUGAGUAAAGGAAGCCCUACGUACUUUACCGGUAACUGGCCUGAUGAGAAUGAGAAUUGGGUAAAUAUUUCCUCCUUCUGGCUAUCUGACAUCCCAGCAGUAUAUAAUUUUUUUUUUUGCCAAAUAAAAAUAUUAUUAUCUAAAACAAUAUUUUAGCUGUAACAAAAAGUAGUGAUGUAAAAAUAUUUUUAUUUUUCAUUUUUUCUUUUAAACUUUAUACGUACAACAUAUAAAAUAUUAUUACAAUUACAGCAUAACCAAUCAUCAUCUGCAUUUGUUUAUUACAUUUUUUGACGAAUAUUUUAACAAGUUAUAAUUCCUUGUAAAUAAAAGUACACAUUUAUUUCUAUUUUUGAGAGGUUUGAGGUCUUAGGGCAUCUCCAACGGUUGUCAUAAAAAAAAAAUUCAACAUGAUGUAAACUCAAAAUUAAUUUGAGUUUUGCUCCAAUGGUUGCAUUCAUUUUUCCCAUCAAAAUAUAAUAUUCUAAAUAUAUUAUAUUAUUAAUAAUUAUUAUUAUUUAUAAUAAUGAUAUAUAUUUUAAAAACUUACAAUUUUACCCUGCUAUAAUUUUUAUUUUAACUAAACUAAAUCUUCAUUUAUACAAAAAUUUAGUUUCUAAAAGAAUAAACAAUUAUUUAUAUGAACUUAUAAUUGUAUUAGUGGAAGUAUUAUUAAUUUCAAUGAAGUAUAAAACACAAAUAUUUAAUCUCUUAAAUAUAAAAUAAAAAUAUAUAAAAAUUUAAGAAUCAAUUUGUAAAUAAAAGUUCAAUAGUAAAAAUGAGGUUGUGAAUAGUAUUCUCUCCCCUGGAAGCCAAGAGACAAACCAUGUAAGAUAUCAUAUAUUCCUAUACGUGUGCAGCUUAUUUGAGUGGUAGGUUUUGAACCUAAGAUGUUUAGCACCUUUCCAAGUCCGCCACACCAUCUGGUCACGCCCGUGUGGGCUAAAAUAAUUGCGUUUGGAGAAAUCGUACACAUAUUGUAAUAAAUAUAAUAUUUGUUUUUGUUUUUUGGGUUCACUUUGGUACACUACAAGAAAACACCGGUAUUCCGACGACAAAUAUCGUCGGUAUGUCCUCGGAAUAACAGUAUUCCAAGGACAUACCGACGAGAAUGGUCGUCGGAAAUUUCUCGUCGGAAAGUAAAAUUUCCUCGGAAUUUCACCGGAAAAUUUAGAGGGAAUACCGAAAAUCAAAGAUUCCGAGAACAUUUCGAAGAAACAUUUUCUAGGAUUUUUCGUCGGUAUCUCCUCGGAUAUUUCCGAUGGAACGGUCCUCGGAAACAUUCCGAGAGAAAAGAAGUAUCGGAAUAUUCCGACGAACUUUGGCCGUCGGAAUAUUCCGAGAAACCUUUGCCGUCGGAAAAUUCCGAGGAAGUGUAUCCGUCGGGAUAUUCCGAGGAACUACGGCCGUCGGAAUAUUCCGAGAAACCAUUGCCGUCGGAAUAUUCCAAGGAAGUGUAUCCGUCGGAAUAUCCCGAGGGAUACACUUCCUCAGAAUAUUCCCAAAAAUAAUUUUUUUUAAAAUUAAAAAUUUAUUUUUUUAAUUGAAAUUCGAAAAUAUAAAAUUAAAAUUGAAAUAGAAAACAUAUUAGAUAAUAUUCAAAGUUGUACGUACCAAAAUAAAACAUUCAGAGUUUUUGAAAAAAAAAAAAGAAACUAGGGGAACUGCUCGUUCGGGUACAUCUUCCUCAUCAUCUCCAUCAUUUGCUCGUUCUGCCUCCUCGUUGCCUCCCAUCCCGCCUCUUGAUCCGCCAUCUUUUGCUCCAACGCAGCUAUGCGGUCAUCUUUGUCCUUCAACUGGUCCAGCACUUCUUCUGGAUCAACAUANNNNNNNNNNNNNNNNNNNNNNNNNNNNNNNNNNNNNNNNNNNNNNNNNNNNNNNNNNNNNNNNNNNNNNNNNNNNNNNNNNNNNNNNNNNNNNNNNNNNNNNNNNNNNNNNNNNNNNNNNNNNNNNNNNNNNNNNNNNNNNNNNNNNNNNNNNNNNNNNNNNNNNNNNNNNNNNNNNNNNNNNNNNNNNNNNNNNNNNNNNNNNNNNNNNNNNNNNNNNNNNNNNNNNNNNNNNNNNNNNNNNNNNNNNNNNNNNNNNNNNNNNNNNNNNNNNNNNNNNNNNNNNNNNNNNNNNNNNNNNNNNNNNNNNNNNNNNNNNNNNNNNNNNNNNNNNNNNNNNNNNNNNNNNNNNNNNNNNNNNNNNNNNNNNNNNNNNNNNNNNNNNNNNNNNNNNNNNNNNNNNNNNNNNNNNNNNNNNNNNNNNNNNNNNNNNNNNNNNNNNNNNNNNNNNNNNNNNNNNNNNNNNNNNNNNNNNNNNNNNNNNNNNNNNNNNNNNNNNNNNNNNNNNNNNNNNNNNNNNNNNNNNNNNNNNNNNNNNNNNNNNNNNNNNNNNNNNNNNNNNNNNNNNNNNNNNNNNNNNNNNNNNNNNNNNNNNNNNNNNNNNNNNNNNNNNNNNNNNNNNNACUUUAUGGACGAAGUGGUGAUAGAUAAAGAGCGUCUCAUCGGAAUUCCAGUUGAACUCUUGCUGAAAAAAAAAACACAAUUUGUAGAAAUUUUAUAUUAAAGAUUAAAAAUAUAAGUUAAAAAAUUAGAAUACUUACCGCAAACUGACGAAACCACAUCUCCUGGUCCUCGGCAGGGAAGUGAGAGAAAGUCGGAUAUCCCUUGCUGAGGUUCGAGUUCAUCAUAUUGUUGAUCCAUGCGCUGAUCCCGUUCUCGGAUCGGUUGAACCUAAUAUAAGAAACAAAUUAUUAAUAACGAAACAAAUUUUAAUGAAAGCAAAAAAAAAAGACUUUUUAAUUACCAUGUUUGACGUCGUCCCUUUGGACACGGAGUGAGAUAGAGAAGAUGCUCACGACCGGGCUGUUGAAACAACUGGGCAACAGUCGUCACUCCCGGAACGACUGGAGGAGCGGGAGGGGGUGCAGCAACGGGAGGGGGUGCAGCAACGGAAGCAAAAACCGGAGCGGAAAAUGAAGAAUCCCGACAGUGGCUGCUCGACCAACGAGAGUGGCUGGACGAACCCCGAGAGCGGCUGGGGGAGAACCGAGANNNNNNNNNNNNNNNNNNNNNNNNNNNNNNNNNNNNNNNNNNNNNNNNNNNNNNNNNNNNNNNNNNNNNNNNNNNNNNNNNNNNNNNNNNNNNNNNNNNNNNNNNNNNNNNNNNNNNNNNNNNNNNNNNNNNNNNNNNNNNNNNNNNNNNNNNNNNNNNNNNNNNNNNNNNNNNNNNNNNNNNNNNNNNNNNNNNNNNNNNNNNNNNNNNNNNNNNNNNNNNNNNNNNNNNNNNNNNNNNNNNNNNNNNNNNNNNNNNNNNNNNNNNNNNNNNNNNNNNNNNNNNNNNNNNNNNNNNNNNNNNNNNNNNNNNNNNNNNNNNNNNNNNNNNNNNNNNNNNNNNNNNNNNNNNNNNNNNNNNNNNNNNNNNNNNNNNNNNNNNNNNNNNNNNNNNNNNNNNNNNNNNNNNNNNNNNNNNNNNNNNNNNNNNNNNNNNNNNNNNNNNNNNNNNNNNNNNNNNNNNNNNNNNNNNNNNNNNNNNNNNNNNNNNNNNNNNNNNNNNNNNNNNNNNNNNNNNNNNNNNNNNNNNNNNNNNNNNNNNNNNNNNNNNNNNNNNNNNNNNNNNNNNNNNNNNNNNNNNNNNNNNNNNNNNNNNNNNNNNNNNNNNNNNNNNNNNNNNNNNNNNNNNNNNNNNNNNNNNNNNNNNNNNNNNNNNNNNNNNNNNNNNNNNNNNNNNNNNNNNNNNNNNNNNNNNNNNNNNNNNNNNNNNNNNNNNNNNNNNNNNNNNNNNNNNNNNNNNNNNNNNNNNNNNNNNNNNNNNNNNNNNNNNNNNNNNNNNNNNNNNNNNNNNNNNNNNNNNNNNNNNNNNNNNNNNNNNNNNNNNNNNNNNNNNNNNNNNNNNNNNNNNNNNNNNNNNNNNNNNNNNNNNNNNNNNNNNNNNNNNNNNNNNNNNNNNNNNNNNNNNNNNNNNNNNNNNNNNNNNNNNNNNNNNNNNNNNNNNNNNNNNNNNNNNNNNNNNNNNNNNNNNNNNNNNNNNNNNNNNNNNNNNNNNNNNNNNNNNNNNNNNNNNNNNNNNNNNNNNNNNNNNNNNNNNNNNNNNNNNNNNNNNNNNNNNNNNNNNNNNNNNNNNNNNNNNNNNNNNNNNNNNNNNNNNNNNNNNNNNNNNNNNNNNNNNNNNNNNNNNNNNNNNNNNNNNNNNNNNNNNNNNNNNNNNNNNNNNNNNNNNNNNNNNNNNNNNNNNNNNNNNNNNNNNNNNNNNNNNNNNNNNNNNNNNNNNNNNNNNNNNNNNNNNNNNNNNNNNNNNNNNNNNNNNNNNNNNNNNNNNNNNNNNNNNNNNNNNNNNNNNNNNNNNNNNNNNNNNNNNNNNNNNNNNNNNNNNNNNNNNNNNNNNNNNNNNNNNNNNNNNNNNNNNNNNNNNNNNNNNNNNNNNNNNNNNNNNNNNNNNNNNNNNNNNNNNNNNNNNNNNNNNNNNNNNNNNNNNNNNNNNNNNNNNNNNNNNNNNNNNNNNNNNNNNNNNNNNNNNNNNNNNNNNNNNNNNNNNNNNNNNNNNNNNNNNNNNNNNNNNNNNNNNNNNNNNNNNNNNNNNNNNNNNNNNNNNNNNNUAACACCAAAUGCAUCUGUUCUCACACCUCGAUCUGGGGUGUUGUCGUACCAAUCACAAUAGAAAACAGUACAGCGCAAUCCAACCAUGCCCAAAUACUUGAUUUCCAAAAUCUCAUGUAUGUGUCCGUAGUAUACAUCAUCUCCUGAUGCAGAACAAACGCCAGCAUCAUAAGUCGUACUCGAACGUCUCCUCUUUUGAGUUGUGAAUGCAUAUCCUCGAGUACAAAAUCUCGGAUAUGACUUCACAACAUACUCUGCUCCACGCACCAUCUCGCGUAUCCAAUCGUCAAAUGUUUCACCUCUGGUCAUACCAGCAGACACCUAUUAAUAGCACAUAUAUAUGUUAUAUCAAUAUAUGUGAAUUAGUAUAAAUAUGUGAUAAAUAAUAUUUUAAUUUGUGUAAAGCACUCACAUAAGUAAGCAUCCAUCCAGAAAAUUCUCUCUGUUUUAGUUCUUCAAGUUCCUCCUCUGUGGCGUAUCUAUAUUCGAACCGCUUUUCUGACAUGAAAAUCCUGUACAUAUGUUGACAAGAAUAUAAUUAAUUAAAAUUCAAAUUUCAACUCAUUAAAAAAAAAAUUUGUAAGCUAAUUUAUUUACCUAUCAUAUUGAAGAACAUCUUCGCAAUUGGUGAGCAAAUAUGUUUGCAAAUGACUGCGCUCCUGCUCAGUAAGUUGACGGUCCUUUGGUUUUCCGCUAAGUCGUCCAACAUCUGUGAAGAUGUCUGGAACCGUAAAAUGAUAUGUUGCCCGUUCGCCUCUAUCAUCAUGCCGAGCAGGUCUUCUUUUUCUGGCCUGCACUUCUGCUGGAAAGUAGAACUCGGCAAAUUUUGAAGUUUCUGAAUUUAUCAUCUGUGCGAUUAUAGAACCUUCCACCCUACUAUAAUUUUCACCAUCUUCUUCAAAUGGUACAUAUACCGCUCAUACAAAUACAUCCAUCUAUACUGCACAGGACCACCAAGUUCCAAUUCUCUUUCCAGGUGAAUAACAAGAUGCUCCAUAACAUCAAAAAAUGAUGGAGGAAAUAUCUUCUCAAGGUUGCACUGAAUCACGGCUAUGUUAGUCUUCAAAUUUUCAAUACCUUCAAGAGUCACUGAUCUCGUGCAUAAAUCGCGGAAGAAACCACUUAUCCCUGCAAUUGCUUCAUGAACAUUUCGUGGUAANNNNNNNNNNNNNNNNNNNNNNNNNNNNNNNNNNNNNNNNNNNNNNNNNNNNNNNNNNNNNNNNNNNNNNNNNNNNNNNNNNNNNNNNNNNNNNNNNNNNNNNNNNNNNNNNNNNNNNNNNNNNNNNNNNNNNNNNNNNNNNNNNNNNNNNNNNNNNNNNNNNNNNNNNNNNNNNNNNNNNNNNNNNNNNNNNNNNNNNNNNNNNNNNNNNNNNNNNNNNNNNNNNNNNNNNNNNNNNNNNNNNNNNNNNNNNNNNNNNNNNNNNNNNNNNNNNNNNNNNNNNNNNNNNNNNNNNNNNNNNNNNNNNNNNNNNNNNNNNNNNNNNNNNNNNNNNNNNNNNNNNNNNNNNNNNNNNNNNNNNNNNNNNNNNNNNNNNNNNNNNNNNNNNNNNNNNNNNNNNNNNNNNNNNNNNNNNNNNNNNNNNNNNNNNNNNNNNNNNNNNNNNNNNNNNNNNNNNNNNNNNNNNNNNNNNNNNNNNNNNNNNNNNNNNNNNNNNNNNNNNNNNNNNNNNNNNNNNNNNNNNNNNNNNNNNNNNNNNNNNNNNNNNNNNNNNNNNNNNNNNNNNNNNNNNNNNNNNNNNNNNNNNNNNNNNNNNNNNNNNNNNNNNNNNNNNNNNNNNNNNNNNNNNNNNNNNNNNNNNNNNNNNNNNNNNNNNNNNNNNNNNNNNNNNNNNNNNNNNNNNNNNNNNNNNNNNNNNNNNNNNNNNNNNNNNNNNNNNNNNNNNNNNNNNNNNNNNNNNNNNNNNNNNNNNNNNNNNNNNNNNNNNNNNNNNNNNNNNNNNNNNNNNNNNNNNNNNNNNNNNNNNNNNNNNNNNNNNNNNNNNNNNNNNNNNNNNNNNNNNNNNNNNNNNNNNNNNNNNNNNNNNNNNNNNNNNNNNNNNNNNNNNNNNNNNNNNNNNNNNNNNNNNNNNNNNNNNNNNNNNNNNNNNNNNNNNNNNNNNNNNNNNNNNNNNNNNNNNNNNNNNNNNNNNNNNNNNNNNNNNNNNNNNNNNNNNNNNNNNNNNNNNNNNNNNNNNNNNNNNNNNNNNNNNNNNNNNNNNNNNNNNNNNNNNNNNNNNNNNNNNNNNNNNNNNNNNNNNNNNNNNNNNNNNNNNNNNNNNNNNNNNNNNNNNNNNNNNNNNNNNNNNNNNNNNNNNNNNNNNNNNNNNNNNNNNNNNNNNNNNNNNNNNNNNNNNNNNNNNNNNNNNNNNNNNNNNNNNNNNNNNNNNNNNNNNNNNNNNNNNNNNNNNNNNNNNNNNNNNNNNNNNNNNNNNNNNNNNNNNNNNNNNNNNNNNNNNNNNNNNNNNNNNNNNNNNNNNNNNNNNNNNNNNNNNNNNNNNNNNNNNNNNNNNNNNNNNNNNNNNNNNNNNNNNNNNNNNNNNNNNNNNNNNNNNNNNNNNNNNNNNNNNNNNNNNNNNNNNNNNNNNNNNNNNNNNNNNNNNNNNNNNNNNNNNNNNNNNNNNNNNNNNNNNNNNNNNNNNNNNNNNNNNNNNNNNNNNNNNNNNNNNNNNNNNNNNNNNNNNNNNNNNNNNNNNNNNNNNNNNNNNNNNNNNNNNNNNNNNNNNNNNNNNNNNNNNNNNNNNNNNNNNNNNNNNNNNNNNNNNNNNNNNNNNNNNNNNNNNGACUAAAUCUAGUCUUGACUUCAAAUUAUCCUUCGUUUUACCUUGGAUGUUAAGGACUGUGUUCAUCAGAUUGUCGAAGAAGUUCUUCUCAAUAUGCAUGACAUCUAAAUUAUGCCUUAGCAGAUGAUCCUCCCAGUAUGGCAGAUCCCAGAAAAUACUCUUUUUGUGCCAGUUAUGUAGCUCUCCAACCGCACUGACUCGAAUGUUUUCAUGUCCACCUACAUCUGGCGUCCUUUCUGCAUCAAAAUACCUAAACUGCUUCAACGAAUCUUUCCCACUAACUUCCUCAGGUGGACCAUCAAACACCUGCUUGUUCUUCGUAAACGAAGUCUUACUCCUGCGAUAUGGAUGAUCAGGUGGUAGAAAUCUCCUGUGACAGUCAAACCAACACGUUUUCCUUCCGUUCUUUAGUUGGAAAGCAUCUGUGUCAUCUUGACAAUAUGGACAUGAUAGCCUUCCAUGCAUUGUCCAUCCAGAUAACAUACCAUAUGCUGGAAAAUCACUUAUUGUCCACAUAAGUACUGCCCGCAUUUGAAAGUUUUCUUUACAUGAAGAAACCCAUCAAGUGAAUAACAAGUGAUCUCUUAGGAUGCUCUGGUCCGGGAACGAGAAUGGAGAGAAACAAAAACUCUCGUCGCAAGCACAAGUUUGGCGGUAAGUUGUAUGGUGUAAGAAUGACUGGCCAUAGAGAAUACUGUCUUCCACUCUUGCCAAACGGGCUGAAACCAUCAGUACAUAAUCCAAGGUAUACAUUUCUUCUCUCAUACGCAAAGUCGGGAUAUUUUGAUUGGAAAUGUUUCCACGCUUUUGCAUCUGAAGGAUGUCUAAUCUCACCAUUUGUUAAAUGCUCCGCAUGCCAUCUCAUUGGUUGCGCUAUGCGUUCAGACUGAUACAACCUCUGCAACCUUUCCGUCAAAGGCAAAUACCACAUCCUUUUAAAUGGCACUGGAACUCUUCCACUCGUAUCUUUAUAACGAGCCUUUCCACAAAAUUUACAUGUAACCCGCUCUUCAUCCGCCCUCAAAUAAAUCAUGCAGUUAUCGCUGCAUACAUCUAUUACCUGAUACGAUAAACCAAGACCAGCUACUAGUUUCUGAACCUCGUAGUAUGAAUCAGGGGCUACAUUAUCCUCAGGUAGAAUACCUUUUACAAAAUCAGCAAUCGCAUCCACACAGUCUUCAGCCAAAUUAUAAUCUGUUUUAAUGCCCAUCAGUCUUGUUGCAGAUGAUAAAGCUGAAUGACCAUCUCUGCAACCUUCGUACAAGAGUUGCUUUCCAGUAUCCAACAUAACAUAAAAUCUCAUAGCUUCUGCAUUGGGUAAAUCUUCCCCUCUAAAAUGAACAUUUACCAUCUGCUCAGUACCUACACCAUAAUCUACAUCCAUUCUAAUUGGUUCUUCUAACCUAACCGCAGGCUGAGGUUCACUAGUACUACCAUAUUCAUAAUCAGUUUCUCUAUGAUGAUACCAAAUUUUGUAACUUCGUGUAAACCCAUUCAAAUAUAAAUGAGUCCAAACAUCCCACUCUUUAAUAAUCUUUCUAUUUUUACAAUUAGAGCAAGGACAUCUUAACAUACCUGUUUCUGCUUCCGGUUGUCGUUGAACUAACCCCAUGAAUUCGGUUAUACCUCGUUGGUAUUCUUCCGUAAGCAAUCUCGUGUUCGGAUCCAAAUGAGGUCGAUCGAUCCAAGAACGAUAAUAAUUUGAAGAAGACAUGUUUUUUUCAAUCAAAUUAGUGUGUAAAUAUAGUAUGUGAGAGGAUGAAGAAAUGAAGUGAAUGAAGAGGUUGGGGGUGCGGGUAUUUAUAGAUGAAAUGCUGCCGACAGUACCGAGGAAAUUCCAACGGAAUACCGACGGCAACGGCUCUUUUCUCGGAAUUUCCUCGGAAUUGUUAAAAUCCCCAACGGCUCUCCAACGGCUAUAAUAUAUCCUCGGAUAUUCGUCGGUGUUUUCCGAGGAAUAUGCCUUCCUCGGUAUUUCAUCGGUAUAUUCCGAGGAAGUUCCGAGGAAACCCAAAUUCGUCGGAAUAUUCCGAGGAUCUCAUUUUCCGUCAGAAUAUCCGUCAGAAUUACGAUGUUUUCUUGUAGUGGUAUGUAUAUAGAUGAUUUUAACAACUUCUUCUUCAAUGCGAAAUCAGAAAACAAUUGUAUCAAAAUAUCUAAAUUAUGUUUUAUUGUUAUGGUAUUAGAGCACUUUUUUUCCUCUUUGAAUCUCUUUUGUUUUUUAUUUUGGGUUUUGUUCCUAGCUCAAAUUUAUCGAAUAAUCAAUUUUCCUAAUUUUGAUAUGUGUUCCUAAAACUCAUUUUGCUCAAAAUGGUGAAGCGAGGUAGAAAGACGUAGAUUCAAAGCUCAACGCGUGAGAUUCUAUGUUCUGAAGCUUGGACUAGGUUUUAAAGCUGAUUCUUGAUGAACACGAAGAUUCUCAUGCAUAUGUAUUCAAUAAUAAAGUGUUUUUUCAAGAAUCCUAGAAUUCUAUAUAUACUAAGAACUAAAAGAUAAAGAAGAUAUAUGAUCAUAAGAGCAUCGUUAGUAGUGUAGUACUUCCACAAAUUAUUUAGUCAAUUAUCUCUCUUAAAAUCCAUUCUAUCUAGCCUUUUUCUACCUCUUCUAGGGUUUCAGCCGCAAAGUCCCAUUUUUUGGCGGUUGCCACCGUGCUCUCAAGCGACCGUUGGGACUCAGAUUUCUUUGUCUAUGUUCUCCUAUGUCGCCCCUGUCUUCUGCGGCUGAGGGAGUGGUGGUCCAACGCAUCAGGUCUGGUUUCACCAAAUCCGAUCUAGGAUUGUGGCAUUUGGAGAUGCUUGAGGACGGUGUCACUUUCUGUCGCGUUCAUCCUGCAUCUGGCUAGGUCUCUCCAGCGUUUUUUCCGUGUGCUUAGUCUUCUCCUCCGAGUGUAGUGUAGAGGCGUGUGCGGCGCCGUCAAACUCUUCGUUGGUCUCGUGUUCUUCCUCUGGUGUGGCGUCUGGUGGUGUAUGAGACUGCUUGUUGAGUUGGAGCUCUGGGGUUUGUCGUCUCCGGUAAGGCUUGUGUCUCUGUUUUGUUUGUGGUGCCUCCGGUGUGUUCCCGUUGGUAGCAGCACGUGUGGAUGGCAGAGGCGUCGGUCUGCUUCUCCGAGGUCCCUGGUGGCAGCGUGUUGGUGUUUAGCUACCUCCAGUUGGCCUCAGAUCGUCUUUGGCUCCAAUGUGUGCCGUCACUCUCCAUAUCAAAACGGUAGGUUGUGGCCUGCUCUGUCUCUCGCUCUUCUCAAAUAAUCCUUUCAACGCCGUGUUCAUGUCUCGUGAGCGAGUGACAGCUCGGGUGUGUUCUUUGGUGCGAUAGUUAGUCACUCAGAUCAGAGUGUGGCUUCAGAUUUUUUCUUCUGGAGGGUUGUGCGUUUCCUGAUCCGUCUUCUCUAUAUGAGUAGGGAUUGGAUUGGUGUGUACGGUCCCGGUGGAAUGCAAAGGACGUGGUAAUCUCUAGCGUAAACUACUGAAUGACAGCAUCUUUGGGUCUCGGCUUCUCCUCGUACUGGUGGUCUCAUUUUUCUGGCCUGCUUUGGUUUCAUGUUCGGAUUCUUUGCUCGGGUAUGCUAUGGGUUCUCGUUUUAAGCUGGAGAAGCCGUAGCAUUCAGGGUUUUAGAGUGCUCUUCUCUUGGUAGCUCGCGGUAACUAGCGGGUUUUCUCAUCUAGAACUUGUGGUUGGUUGGUCUGAGCCUGUUUCGCUAUUAACUGUUUAAUCGCUUGCGUUUGUAUUGCUUUUGGUUCGUUCCUUUGUUGUUGCGUAGUUGUUCUGGUGUUUUUGUUCAUUGUUUUUGUUACUUGUUUCCUAUGUAAUGUCUGUCAAUUUAAUAUUAAUAUUAUUUUUCUGUGUAAUUAAAAUUAAAGAGAAAAGAAAAAGAUCAUACAUUAUUUGACACUUAAGAUUUUGAGUCUCUCACCAUUCUUUCCAAGUUUCUUUAAGAAUAAUCACUUUUCCGUUUCAAAAUAAAUAAUAAUUUCAAAAAUAAAACUUUUUAUACAUUAAUAACUCUAUAAAUUAAUAAAAUAUUAUAGCUCCAACAUUAUUAGUUUAUAGAGUUUUUACUUAAUUGGUGAGAAUCAUGGGAAGAAGCACUGCUCUAAUAAUAGUAAUCAUAAUCUAAGAAGAAUUUUUUUACAAUUAUCCUAAUGUAAAAUAAAAAUAAAAGAACUAUUUUUAGACGUAUGCACCAUCCAAGUAAGUCUAAACCGUCUAAAGUAGUGAAAGAUAUGCUGAAACGAAAAUCAACAAAGAGAACACAAUUAAGCCAAUUAGGACUUCAAGCCCUUGCAGUUGCAGCUACAUAUGUUCCAGGCUUUUGCUCCAAAUGAGUUUCUCAAUUUCUCAUUGAAAAAAUAUUAUUCAGUUCUUCAUUUUUUUAAGAUGAACUUUUUUAUUUACAAACUAGUUCUUAACUUUAACUUAUUGUUAUUUUAUACUUAAAUAAAUUAUAAGUGUUGAUUUCACCCAAUUAAUUUCAAAGUUUGUAUUAUUAUUCUUUUCUAAUUAGAUGUUAAUAACAUAGAACAUGAAAAUAAUGAUUUUUAAGAAUUUUAAGUUUCUUUUAGAAGAAUUUAGAAUAAAAUAAAUACAUUUUUUGUUCUUACAUACUUUUUGUUAAUCACUUAGGAGAUAUAUAUACUUGGUGUUUCUUCAUAAAAUCUAAUAUUCUUUAUUUAUUUAUUUAUGUCAUGUGUAAUAAUUAAAUCAUAUAAUAAUUUUUAAAUUAUAAUAAACAGUGAUUGUUUCGGAUUAUUGUUAAAAUAAAAUAGUUGGGUAAAAUUAGUGAAUUUGAAAAAAAAAUUAAGGUAGUAUUUAUAAUUGAUUAUAAAGUGAUAAUAUAAUAUAUUUAGAAUAUUUCUUUUUAAAGGAAAAAAUGAAUUAAACCAUUGGAAAACAUGUGGUUCAUUGUUUUAAGAACUUCAGAAAAAUAAUUUAAAAGAAAGAAAAAUCUAUACUAUUAAAGUUUUGGAUUAUGCCCUUGAGUUUUUAUCAUAUUUACAAGACCAUAUCACUCUUUAUUUUUAGAAUUUUGAACUAAAAUUGGCAAGAAAUAUAACAGAUUUUAUAUAUAUAUGGAAAACUAUAUAUAUGGCAUGUCAACAAUUAUUAUUAUUUUAAUAGGUUUUGGAAAAAUAUAUUUAAAACGAUUUUCCAAAUUAUGGUAACCAAAUUUAUCUCAUCAUUUUAAAAAGUCACAAUAUUAAAAUAUUAACAAUAUUUUAAUUUUGAAAAUCCUUAUACGCUCCAAGGUAUUCCCUAAAAAUACUAACAACCUAAAUAUUAAAAUAGCUUAACGUGUUUUCCUAUCUAUAUUAUUAAAGUUGAAGUAUCUAUAUGAAUUAAAAUUUGAAAUAACCUUUUAAUCACAUCUACUUUCAUUUCUUUUUUACUCAUAAAUAUAAUUAAUUUUAAUAAGUGAAUUUACAAAAAAAAAAAUAUGAUGAAUAUGAGUUUCCUUAUAAAUCAUAGGUAUUACAUUAAAUUACCUAAUAUUUAGCUAAUUGAAAAGAUUGCAAUCUUUCAAUCAUUUAAUACUUAACAAAAACGAUUUUAUAAAUAGCAUAUAUAUAUAUAUACAAUCAUAUCUAAUUUUAAAUUUAUCUAAUAUUCUCAAAUCUUGGUUAGAAAUUAUUGCGAAUAAUUAUUUGAUUUCGUUUGAUCUAUGUGCAGGUCGGUUCACUUUCACAAUAUAAAUUUUCUACGUGUAUCAAUUUAUUACUAACUUUCUUUUAUUGUUUUUAACUAAAUUUACAUUAUUUUGAACCCUCUAAGCAUGACAACUGUAGAUACUGAAUUUUUUAUACAUGAAUUACAUUAAUUUAAUUUUCUAUUUUUUCAAAAUAAAAAAUCUAAACACUGCUUUCAAUUUUUUAGAAAUGAAUUAAACACUUCUUAAGAAAAAUACAAUACAAAUCUAUUUUUCUAAAAACUAAAUGAUUUUGGUCACUCAAAAUUAACUCAAACCGGUUUAAAUAUAUGAUCAUUACAAUUCAUCUAAAUAGAUAGAAUUAUUAAGAACUUAAAAGUAAAUGAGUUCAAGCGGUCAAGACAUAAAUGUGUGAUCUAAAUAAGGUGAAUCUACCAUUUUAUAAUUCUUAACAAAGAAUUUGACAAAUUUUUCAAAAUCUAGUUAAGCAUUAGAACACAUACUCUCGUUGACUUGCUCGGCUUCUUGUGAGUCAAUCGUUUUGGUUUUUAUCUUUUUGUGAGUUCGGGUUGAUUGGUACUUAAUGGGCUUUACUAGGCCCAGUAACAUGUCGGUUCUAGGGUAUUAGACUCCAUGUAAACACAAAAUAUAUACGGCUGAGAUAUCGCGAAACAAAAGAUCCAACGGCUAAGAAAAAUUUACAUCCAAUAAGAUGUGAGACGAACAACAAUCCAUCAUCCACAGAAAAAAUUAGACAUCCCUAAUUUGACCGAUUUGUUAUUUGCCUCUGACCUCCUCCUCCACCAGCUCUUGUGUCUUUCCUUUCCCUGAAGAUCAGAUUGGCUAGGGUUUUAUCCCUUUCCUAAAAUCAAAAUUCUCGAUUCUAGCCAAUUUGUGCGAGAAUAGAAAAGUUUCGUCCUUUUGGUAAGUUACGAAUCCGUCUACGUUUCUGGGGUUUCGUUUUGUGUUCAUUCAAUCGGAUGGUUUCGUGAAAGCGUUUUUUGUUUGCAGUGAUGCCUUGGGGUGAGAUAUGAUCCUCUCCGUCUCUGGUGAUUACUACUGGUUUCUAUAUCAUCCUUAAACAAGAAUGUUACCCGUGAGAGAAGGUCUUCAGAAACAGGUUAAGAUUCUUAUUGGAUUAGGGUUUGGGGGUUACCGGGGUUUCCACUCUAGAUUCGCUCACCCUAACAGGUUUCUCGAGCCCGCGAGCUCCGAUUUGCUUCUGAGCAACGAAAGGAGGAACCUUUCUGUCCUCGGUGCUCUCUCUCGAACUUUCUCCGUUCCUUCAGUGUCCGGUCCGGCGUUUCAGGUCUGUGGUUAUCACAUUGAUCUCUUGCUCUCGGACGCGAGUUUGAGAUCGGUGGGUGAAUCAAUGGCGAGUCUUGGUGGUUCAAAGUCCUUGUUUUUAGAUCGCCGUUUUGAUCCUUCCGUUUCUGGUGUGAUGGUGUGUGGAGAUGGUCGUAGCCGUGGAAGGAUCAGUAUGAGACUCAGAGGAAGAGAUCACGGGGAUAAUAACUCUACGGUCUACGGCUACUUUGCUUAUCGAGCUGCUAAGAAAUGGAUUGCUUUCAAUCCUAAAACUGGAGGGUUAGGGUUUAGAGGCUUACACAGCUCACUGUUGAGCCGCUUUUCAGUUGGGAAUGCGCCUGAUGUCUCGUUUGAUAGCUCUCCCGCCGAGGAGCUGGCUAAAGGCUCUUCGGAUUCUGUAGCGGAUAAGCUUUGUGUUAAGCCGUUGAAGCUUGUCUCCGGGUCUUGCUACCUACCUCAUCCUGAUAAAGAGGCGACGGGAGGAGAGGAUGCUCACUUUAUCUGCGCAGAGGAGCAAGCUUUGGGUGUUGCAGAUGGUGUGGGAGGUUGGGCAGAGCUUGGCAUCGAUGCGGGUUACUACUCUCGUGAGCUUAUGUCUAACUCUGUGAACGCAAUCCAUGACGAGCCUAAAGGAUCGAUCGAUCCUGCCAGAGUAUUGGAGAAGGCUCAUACUAGUACAAAGUCACAAGGGUCUUCAACGGCUUGCAUCAUAGCGUUGACGGACCAGGGACUUAACGCGAUCAACCUAGGGGACAGCGGGUUCAUGGUGGUCCGUGAAGGGCAUACCGUUUUCCGCUCUCCCGUUCAACAGCAUGACUUCAACUUCACGUAUCAGCUGGAGAGUGGGAGCAACGGCGAUUUGCCAAGCUCAGGUCAGAUGUUCACGGUCGCUGUAGCUCCCGGAGACGUGAUAAUAGCUGGAACAGACGGAUUAUUCGACAAUUUGUACAACAACGAGAUCACAGCGAUAGUGGUUCAAGCGGUGAGAGCUGGAACAGAUCCUCAGGUGACAGUACAGAAGAUUGCAGCUUUGGCGAGGCAAAGAGCACAGGACAAGAACAGACAGACUCCAUUCUCUACAGCAGCGCAAGAUGCUGGGUUCAGAUACUAUGGAGGUAAGCUUGAUGAUAUUACAGUUGUAGUCUCUUAUGUGGCGGCUUCGAAGGAAGAAGGGAGAACAUUGAAAUGAAGAUACAAAUACAGAUGUUGUGUGAUGUGUUGAGUUUCUUAAGGUUUGUGUUUUGCAGAGAGACCUCUCUUGUUUUUGUUUGGUGGCUUGUGAGCAAGCCGGAUCAACUGAUUAUAUUUGAUUUUUUUGAUAUAUGUGUUGUAUAUGUAAAUAAAAGGAGAAAGAGAACUUGUGUUAAUAGCUCGUUAGCUGUAAUUGAUUCAACACACCCACGGGACUUGCAAAAUCUAUUAACACGCCCACAAUAUAAGUCUCUGCUGGAGUUUCUCUGUCACAUACUUUUUUUUUUUUUUUAUCUUUUUACUUUGACUACAUAUCUCAACUACAUAGUCACUCAAAGUUUCACUUUCUUUGUUGAUCAAGAUUCUCAUCUACUCUACAUUUAGCAUUGAAGUGCAUCAUUUUUAGCUGUCAAAACAAUGAGUGCAUGACUUAGUCAUUUGAGGAACCAUUACUGUACAUCACCAGCAUCAAGUUUACUUAGAUUUCUACUUUCUAAUAAGCUUAGGCGUCGUUGAUCAGUACAAAUAAACAAUUAGGUCCCAACUCUCAAGUCAUUUGGUUGUGAGAAAGACUGACUCGUACAGAUAUUUAGACAUAAAGUGAAAAUGGUUAGACGAAAACAGUCAACAGAGAGUAUGUGUGAUGAUAAGCUCGCCGUUAGAAGAAGGAUCUAAGGAAGCUUUGAUCCCUAUGGAUGAUAGACCUUCCACUCCCACUGCGACUGGCUUUCCUAGUAGCUUCACUCCUUGCUUCCAAUAUCUUUCAUCUGCACGAUAGAUAAUGUGAUAAAAAGGAUUGCAACAAUACCGAUAAAUAUAUUCGCCUCCUGAAACUAACAUGUUAGACAACCCUAUUCUACCCCUCCUGAAAGUAGAAUCCAUCCAUCAACAACAGCCUUUCGUCGUCAAAUUAAAUCCAAAUUACAUGUUAGUAACCACAGGCAUUAUUUCGAACCGCUUUAUGAGUACACUGAGAGUUAUGAGUCUCAUACCCGGUCCUGUUGAGAUCACGAUUGAGUUUUCUUUGUCCAUCACCCAAUCCAUCCACAAUGCAAUUCCAUGGCAUACACCGGGUUUGGUAAACUCAAUCUGUUUGCAGAGAAAAUGCAUUCAUCAGAGUUGUUUGUACUAAGGAUGCAUGCCUCUGCAAACUGUCUGCAUGUACAUAAUAUAUACGUUCUGAAUUCUCCAACGAACAUACCUGGACUUCCCCAGAACAUGGACCUGCGAUGGGCUUGGAGAAAUCAAAGUCCAUAACUGUGAAUUCCUUGCUAAGUUUCUGCUAAUUAACAGGAAAAAGAACAACGUUAACAUACACCCAACGCUUGUCAGUACAGAUUUUAAGAACUUUUGUUUACCUUUGUCUCUCCACAUUGCCAGACAAAAAAGGGCAAACAAGGACUUUCUUUACCAGAAGGUAGAUCACCACAUCCCCCUAAAGUUGUAUUCACCAGUGCAUGGUCAAACCCUUCUACACUCCCAAGGCAACAACGGCUCUUCCAAAGAUCCUGCACCAUAAGCCAGUUAAUGAAUAAUAUAUAAGCAAACGCGUCACUGUUUUAGAAUUGGAAAGAAAUGAUAAGGACUACUUACAGGAAGAUACAUUGCGCAACCUCUCAAAACUCCUUUAUACGGCAUCACCACUGCAUCUUUUGACAGGACAGGAUCCAGUAGAGUUCUGUCUUUCCUUCACGCAUACCAGAAAGCAAAUCAGCCAACCGUUAGCAAAACUUUAUAGCAUCUUUUUCAAAGCUAAGCGACCAAUCGAAUAGCUACAUUUACCAGAAUCUGAGAUUCUGCCACGGAAGCCCGCUUUCAAGUCCGUAGUAGUAUGGCUCUCCAAUCAGCAGAUCAAUCUGUUGAUAGAACAUAGGGACACAGUCAAAAUGGAACCAACGAAUCACUAAUUUUAUUGACUUAUUAGCAUAAUGACUAAACUAAGAGACAUCACUUUUCAAGAGGCACAAUUUAACUAUGAGUUUUGAUUCUUUAAAUGUGAUGUAGAUCACGUGAAUUACCUUGCUUGGAAACGCUUCCGUCAACUUUGCCUUCCCUUCUCUGAAAUAUUCAAAACGAUCUUCUGAAAAGCCAUUUGAGUCAGCAAUGGCUUCCAAAUAUCUGGCAGCAUUCUCUUGCAGCCCCGGUGACAGUGAUAUUACCCGUGAUCCGUUGGAGAUAUGUAGAGCCGUAAGUGGUAAGAGAAGACUAUCAUCAAUGACGAGACAUUGUGCAUCAGAUUUUCCCUGUAACUGGAAAAUAGGUGAAGAAACAUUAAAGUGUGAACCAGAAUAUAUGAGAAAAAAUAGCAUAACUAUACGAAUAAUGUUCCUUAUGCAAUUUUUCAGAGCAAACUAUUUGUUGUUAACGUAAGACAGAUAUAGAACAUACAGCAUUUCGUGUGGCCUCAAAUAUGGUUUGCCUAUAUAUGCUGUCGCCAUAUAUUGCAACUCUUUCGGGUGGUAAUGUGAGUAGCAGUUCUCCAGUGCUAAAAGAAGAGUGUGUCAUCUCAUGUGCCUUCUUCAGAUUGUACAGGAUGUUAGUACAAGUAUGAGCAGCCUGCAAAUGAAACUUUUCUCCUUUGGAUAUGGAUACGCCUGCUCCUGGAGUAAACCAAACACACUGUUUCCAAUGGUCACACCAGUCCCUAGCACCUGUAUUAUUAUGGAUAAAAGAAACGAAAAUUCGUCAAAUGAGAUCAGUGGGCAAAUACGGCAUGGAUCCCAACGGAGCUAAAUGUGGUGCGAGGGUCUGUAGAGAAAAGGGAUUCCACUACAACCAUAUAAGUGCGUGAGAAAUGAGGUAAAUCAAAUGAUUUCCACACGAAGGUGUGACUCACUUAUCUCAGAAUUUGACUCUAUCCAUCUGGGAGCGGUAGAGUAGAAGAUUGUUCCUUCACUGUCAAGCUGAAGCACCCACCUGAAUGGAGAAAAUAAAAGGUUCCUCAUAUCAUAUUGGGAAAACAGAACAGAUCUUGAUCCCUUUCCCUAGGCCUUUAGGUGGACUUUAGUGAACAUAUUACCAUGAAAUUAUGGCAUGGACACUACCCUCGUUUAUAGCUUCGAUGUGCACAUCAAGCUCUCCAUUACUUUCAGGCCGUUUCCAAAAGUCAAAUUCAAAUACUUUGACGGGCUCUGACAACUGGAUGAAUAUAUAUAAACUGAGUCUAUGUGUAUAAACACUAAAUCUUAUAGCAAAACUGUAGAGGAAGGUUAGCGAUAUAAAUACCAGUUUGAUCUCUUUCUCAAUUGCAUCGAUAUGCAUGCUAUAUUGCUGUGAUUUGAUGCCAAACAGACUCUCUAAGCCAGGAGGAGCUAGACGAACACCAUCGGAUAUUCUAGCCUCGUUACUUUGUAGAUCGUGCAUGUUACAUAAGAAUGUGCUUUCUACAAGCUUGACAUUUCAAAGGAAAACAACGUGAGAAGAGGUAUUCAAUCAAAAUCAAGAUAAGCCAGUGUUCUUAAAAUCGGUCUAGUCUGAGCAAAACGAUUUUUUCAAACCGAUUUAUUAAAAAUCGUUCUAGGCAUUCAAAAAUUAGGUCUAGGCGGCGCCUAACCACCUAGCUAUUUCUUGAACACUGAGAUAAACAAUAAAGACAAAGCACACAAGCAACGAACCUGACAAUACGUAGUAGCACGGUACGGCACCGUUUUAGGAUUGUCAACAAGCAACAUGUCAUGAGCAUGUUGUAAACUUGGGAUUAGACCUUCACCAAGUAACUCAGAGUCCAAUAUUUCGCUUACCUAAUAAAGAAGUAGCCAUUUAUAAUUAACAUUUCCUCUCAAAUUCCAUACAAAGUAUGUACAUUUGUAUCUUUUUACUCACAAGAACAUCAGCUCGUGAAGCAAUGUCAGACCCAACUUCCAGUUCAUCAGAUCGUUUAUUGAAGAGGUUAAUGUUCUUGGUCAUCCCGUUCUUAUGCAAAACCUUUCUCAUAAGCUUCACCAUCGGGAGGUACGAUUCACACGCCGUCACACAAGACUCUUCUUUAUCUCCCAUUGCUCUGGCAGCCAUCAUCGAUAGCAAUCCAGUUCCAGCACUAUAACACACACGCACAUUCUCCGUGUCGGUUAAUUACUCAUUAGGGACCAAAAUUGAAUUCAAAUUGAGUUGUGGUAAUGAGGAGAAACAAACCCAAUGUCGAGGACGUGGCAAGGUUCGGUGAUGGUUUUCUCGAUUGCUAGACGGUAAGCUCGGUUGCGGCGAGUGUCGUUGAGCAUGUCUAGAUACGACGUCGUAGCGAGGAGGCCGUCCGUGGAAGUUACUGGAGCUCCAGCUUCGUCGUUCUCGUCGAUGACGAUCCAUUCCGAGGUGCCGGUGAGAGGGUCUUGUCUGAGCUGGAAGACGCGUUGAUUUGAUUGCGAGGUCAUGGUGCGAGCAGUGACGACGGAGCUUAGGCGAGUCGGUGGGGGCCAACGGAAGGAGAGAAAGGGAAUAAAGGUUUUGGGGAGAAGAAGAGACAGUGGCGGAGACAUAGACGGAGGAGCCUUAAAGGGUUUAAGCCGCCGUGAUGACUAGUGUGAGGAGAUUCCGCACUCUAGAUCCCCACAAUAUUCAUUUUAUUUCACAUUAACUCCAGAGGUUUUAAAAGGAGAGUUUUACCACCAAAUCAACAUGCAACGAAAUUUUGAUGUCAACUGAUAGUAGACUAGACUAGUAGUAAUAUGUUGUAAAUGUUAUAUGAUGGUAGUCAACUCAAACGAUGCCGUCAUGUUUGAGGAUGAAAUGUUGAAACAUUUUAUUGAAAACCAAACCGAAGUCUUCGGGUCUGACCAGUGACCAUUCUGGAAACAAGAAGAACGAAUAGGAAAAGAACGUAAAGGAAUAAAAUUGCAGGAACGAAAAGGAAUGGUUGUUUCAUCUCAAAUUUGACAAGAAAUAAUUUUGUUCUUUAUUUCUUUAAAAAAAAAAGAAUGGUAGGGAACGAGAAGAAAAAAUUAUUUUUUAUGAAUGGUGAUUUUUUUUUAGGAACAUUAAGGAAUGCAUUAUUCUUUGUCGUUCCUUGGUCACCAUUCGUACCCUUCCUAACAAAUUUGUUUUUAAUAAUUAUGAGUGAUUUAAUUUAUAAGAUAUUUGGAUUUGGCGAGAGGGAAAAUGCAGAAAUUAUGAUUUGUACUAAUAAAUAAAAACAAUCUAUAUUAUAAUAGAUCAGUUUUUGUUCACUUCUCAGCGCGCCACGUCAUCGUUUUGUGGAUCCCACUUUUAAAAAGUGUGAAAAAGUGUCAAACUCAUGGCUCGAACCCAGGUUAUUGAGAUAUAAACACCAACAUUUAUACCACUAAGCUAACUGAUACCUUUGUACAUUGAUGGCCGAACCUAAUAUAUAUUUAUGAAGGUCGGAAGCUCUUGCCCCUCGGCUUCCUCUGAGGGUCUUGAAUCUUUGUGACACGUCAGCAACUCCUUUAUGUUUGUGGGUCCCACAUUUACAUAAAGUCUCUCCGAUAUUUUAGAUACCAUUGAGAAUUAAAUUAGUCUCACAUUAAAAAUGAUUGUCUUUUCCACAUAUUCAUUUUUUUCCUAAAAUAACUCAGACAAACUACAAAGAAGGAAACAUAUUAUUAAUAACUCAAACGAACUACAUUGUUUUCCUAAAUGUGAUUUCCACGACUACAAUAAAGGAACUACAUUAAUUUAGAAUCCAAAAUAUUAAAAUAAGCACAAAAUCUUUGAUUUACGCCUAUAAUAAAGGAACAAGCAUAAAAUCUUAGAUAAACAUUUACGCCUACACUUGCGGAACAAGCCCAAGUUCUUAUCACGUUUUUACAUUUUUUUCCUAACCUCAUUCAAUUUUUGUUGUUGUUGUUGCAUUAAUCUUUUAAGGUUAAGCUUUAAGUUUUGGUGAAGGGGUGACAUCAAAAGCGAAGAAGCUGGUUGUGGAAAUUGGGGAACACCAGGAGAAGAAGUUGUUGUUGUGUAAGCAUUUUCUGAUGUUUUAUCUCAUAGUAGUGAUUGUGAAAUUGGAUUAAAAAAGAAGCUCUGGUGUCUAUUUUAGGGAGACUGAAGAAGUUGCUGGUGUUGAGACUGAGAAGCCUGCUGGUGAUGAGGUUGCUGCUGAUGCUAACAAGGAGAACACUGCUGAAGUGGAGGAGCAGAAAGAGUCUGAAGAUAAGGUAAGCAGAUGAGUUAAGAGAGAUGUUAGGUUGCUAGAUUAGGACAUGGAACUGAACUUACUCUUGUCUCGGCUUUUUUCUUUAUUAUCCUUCAAUGCUUAUUGGCUUGUGGUUUGGUAGGAAAUGACUCUGGAUGAGUAUGAGAAAAAUACUUGAGGAGAAGAGAAAAGCCCUUCAGUCUCAGAACACCUCUGAAAGGAAAGUUGAUACUAAAGUGUUUGAAUCAAUGCAAAAACUCUCAAACAAGAAGAAGUCUCGAUGAAAUCUUCAUCAAGUUGGUAAGACAUAUUAUCUCUCUGUCUUGUCGACUAGAAACACUCUUAACCGGUUCUGAACCUUGCAUUUGAUCUAUCUCCCAGGGUUCUGAUAAGGACAAACGCAAAGAUGACAAAGAAGAGAAGGCUAAGAAGGUUUACAUUGUUGUCUGAAUGAAAGAGUUUGUAAAAGUCAAUAAGUUUGCUUAUGGAUGUGUUCUGUGGUUUACAGGCUGUGAACAUCAACGAGUUUUUGAAACCAGGUGAGGGUGAGAACUACUACCGAGGAGGAGGUCGUGGUGGUCGUGGAAGGGGACGUGGUGGUCGUGACGGGGAAGGUGCUUCUGGUGGUGGAUUUGAUGGUUACCGUAGUGAAGCUGCGCCUGCCAUUGGAGAUACUGCUCAGUUCCCAUCUCUUGGGGGCAAGUAGGAUCCAUCCUUGGAAACUUGUGCUGUCUCCUUCAGUUUUCCUCAUCAAGACUGAAGUGUUUCAUGCUGAGUGUUUGCCGGUCUGUUGUUGUCAGGUGUAAAUUGUUAGUUGUCGUCAGUUUUUAGAGUUUCUGCAAACUUAUGCAUGACCUGUCUUUUUUUUUAACGUUUGAAACAAUACCCUUUUCUAUUUUGGUUUACCACUUAGUCUUUAUAGUUGUUUGUUGUCUUCUCAAUAUGCCUUUUUUUUUCACUCAACUCAUCGUCUCCCAUCUCUCUUGAUUUCUUAUAUACUGAUUACGUCAAAAUCUCAAGCGAUCAUAACCAAAAUCAGAUGAACCACUAUAAAAAACGAGCCCCCAAAAGAGAUACCAACAUCUGGUUGUCUCAUUCUGUCCAUCUCCACGUUGAUGUUAUUAUCUCUCUGUUCUAAAAUGAUUACCGAUGCGGUGAUGCUAUUUCUGACCGAUGCGAUUUGACGAUAUUCGCCCUUGCCAAAUUUCAAAGGAGAUUAGUGGUCGUCAUCUCCGUUUCUGAGAUUCACGUAACAUCAUGGGUAUCAUCCUCUUACUUUAAGAUGAGAAGGUAUGAACAUCAUGACCCUCGCACCAACUCAUUAAUUCAUUACCAUAUUCUUAGCUUUGAAACAAAUCGUUUUUAUCUUAGACAUGGCGAAUUCAUGGGCUUUCUACUUUGAUUCAUGAAAAGUUAUUUCAGUAUAUAUACUUAAAAAUAUGUAAUCUUCUGUUUAGAAUAUGUUACUAAUAACGUCUUCACUCAUUGUCCACAUCAUAUUGUAAUCCAUGGCUUCAUUUCAACCUUACUUUUUUUUUCUAUCACAAAUCAUUUUCAACAAAGUCCAGUAAAAAUUAUAAAAAUAAAUAAUUUUGUAAUUAUAUAAUUUUAUAAAUUUCUAGAGUUAUUAAUUUAAUAAAAAAACAGUAUACUACAAUUCUAUAUUUUUGAAGUUAAAUUUGGAUAAAAAAAAAAUAAUUUAUUGUUCGUAUAAAUUGUUAAAUUUUUAAAUCCGAAUAUUAUACAUUUUUUUACGCUAUUUGAUUUAUAUACUAACAACUACCUAAGUAAACACUAACCAAUCCCUUAAAUUUCAGCUUUUGAACAUGGAAGCGCUAAUAAUGUUAAUGUCCAUCAAAUCAUUACGAAGAUAAGAUAAUAAAAUAUCAACAAAUAUGAAUUCGCCGGUCAUUCUUAUAUCACCUUAAUCAAACUGUGUAAUAUCUGAUGUUCCAUUCAUCACCAUAAUAAACAACACGGAAAAUCAAAAGUUAAAAAAAAAACGACAACAACCCAUACACAACACUACACAACUCAUCAAACAACGUAUCCGGCUCCCGCUUGCGCGGGGGCUAUGUCCCUAGUAUAUAUAAAAGUGAAAGUAAUGGUCGAAUCAGUUGAGACUUGAGAGAAUAUGGUAAGUGUUAUAGUUAGACAAGUUAGAGAAAACUUAUGGUUUAUCACAUGAACAAAGUGUGACAUAUGGAGGAAGUGUGUAGAAUUAUAAUUAAUGUUUUUAAAAGUAUGCAUGAGGGUAAAUAAUUAUAUUUUGAAUUGCUUAUGGAGACUGGUUACAUACUUCCAUAGUAGUAAUAUGUUUUUUUUUUUUUGCAACCUAGAAUUAGAUAGUUGAAAUAUGUUGAAUUCUCAAUAUCAUGAUUUUUUCGUAAAGUUACUAUUAAAACUUUUUUUUUACUUUCAUGCUAAACAACAACAAAAAUGUUGUAGCUAUUUAGUCCAAAAAAUCACUAUUCUCUCAUAAGAUGUAUCUGUUUUUAAAAGGUUACAAUAUCUCAUAUGCGUUGUCAAAGAAAAAACAUAUAUACAAAAUGCGUAUGUUUUUCAAAUUUGGCACUGAAAUAUAAAAAUUAGUAUACCAAAUUGUAAUAAACAGGAAUAAAGGGUUUAACUCAGAAAUUUAAAAAUACUUGUGGGUACUUAACAAAUGUUUCUCAGUUAUGACAAACUUCUUGCACGGACAGUUUCAUCCAAAGUCCGAAGCCACCCCAAAAACUUUGAAAUCGGAAUCCAGAUUGCCGAAUUUGAUCGGGAGAAGAAAUGACGGGAGCGAAUCAAACGUGUAUAUUCUGUCAGAUCUUGCACGAUCCCAGCUCAACUACUCGUCUCCUUCACACCGUUCGUUCUUCUUCUCCCCUUACAUCGUUCCCAAUUUCUUUUUGAUGAGAGGCUAAUUGAAGAACUUUUAUUUUUUUUUGUCUUUCUCAGGAUGAGAAGGUCGUCGCGUUUCAAGACAUCAAGCCUGCCGCCCGGAGGUUUGUUUUGUUCACUCGCUUUGGUUCAUGUUGAUUCAGAUAAAUUAUUUUUUUGUAGCAUAUAACAGCUAGUAAUAACACCAUUAACCUGUGUAAUCUGGUUUAUGGAAAUGACGAUAAAACGAAAUGACUGGAAAUGGUGGUUAUUAGUUUCUUUUUGAAUUAGCCAUCUCAUCACUGUUGCAACUUCUUGCUUAAUUAUUAUUAUUAAGAACCAAAAAACACUCAUGUAGGCACUACUUGGUCAUUCCAAAAGAACACAUCCCAACUGUGAGAGACCUCCAGAGAAGAGAUGAAGACUACUCUUUGGGUUAGUCCGGAAAAAAAACAUAUAUUCUGUUUUAUACACUAUUAUUCUGUUAUAUAUCUAAUGAAAAAUUCGGAUAAGGAUGCGUUAUUAUUUUUGUGUGUGUGAUUUGAGCAGUGAGUCACAUGCUAAGUGUGGGACAAGAACUGCUGCAAAAAGACGCACCUCAAACCAUUCAUAGGUGAGGCUCUCUCUAUUAUUAUUAUUAUUAUUUUUGGAUCAAACCCUCUACUAUAAUCGUAAGUGAUGCUUGAUGUUUUCAUUGUCUUUGUGCUAACUAACUUAUGUAGCAUUGACCUGAUCUGUACUCCCUCACAGAUUUGGUUUUCACCAGCCGCCUUUUAACAGUGUCGAUCAUCUCCAUCUCCAUUGUUUUGCAUUGCCUUUUAUGCCCAGGUACACCAAUAUCCUUCAUAUCUUACUUUCCCAUGCCUUGAAACUGCAAAAAUACGAUUUUCUUUUCUUAUCACACAUUGUCAUCAAAACAGAUGGAAAGUCGUCAAGUACAUGUCUUUGGGACCUUUCGGUGGUUUUAUUGAAGCACAUAAACUUCUGGAGAAGAUAAGGCCUCUUCCUUCAAAAGUUUAACUGAAUCUAACUUCAUUGCAGUGCUAAAAUUGGUGCUAUAUCUCUUUUCUAUUCUUUUUUUUUCUGGCAUGUCAAUACCACAUAUCAUUGUUGGUUUUGUAUGUAAGAAGGACGUGUCGUGUAAUUUUAUGUAAUUUCUGUCGCUUGCCAAUAGUUGUAGGCAAUGACGCCAUUCUCAUUUUUGUGUCAUACUUAUAAUAUAGACAUUAAUAAUUCUUCUAAUAUAAUCUCUGGUGACUGACAUAGAAGUAGACUUAAACAGAGAUUCAUAUAGGAUCUCUUAUGUAAUUUGUUUGUAGGCUUCUGCUGUUGUUUUGAUGCUCUGACAUCUCUAACAACAAGUGUAGGGGGAGGUACUGGUUGCAGUGCAUGAGAUUAUCAUUAUUAUACUCCAGCUUAACUGAGUGAAGAUGCGCUCUUGCAACAUCAUAGCAAUCUCCGCAGAACAGGUAACGCUUUAGUAAACCUGUACGUUAGCAGUAAUCUUUCAUGCUAACAAAAUUUAUGAGUUGUUAAACAGUGUGAUAAACUUGUACAUUAGCAGUAAUCUUUCAGUAAUUCAUGCUAACAAAACUUGAGUUACUAAACAGUGUGAUAACCUUGUACGGUAGCAGUAACCAUUUAUGCUAACAACACUUACGAGUUAUUAAUUAGUGUGACACGAGAAUGAAAUCCUUAUAGCACUCAAGUUUCAGACAAGCACCUAUACUUAUCAAUAGCGAGGAUUAAUAUUUUGAUGUUAAACUAAAAAUUAUGUGCUUAUCUUAAGAACUAGAUGCAACUGAUACCAAAUCUUCUCUGCGCACGUGCAACUUGUUCAACUAGGCACAAGUACAGCUUGCAGUUGCAGUGCCUUACGCUUCUUUGGUUGAUAUUUCGUCUACGGGACUAGUGUUUCUAAAUAAAAGAUUGGUUAUGGGAUAACAUUCUGGUGACGUUUGAUAAGAUUCACUAGAAGAACAUGAGCUAACAAACAACAUAGCUUCUUAAUGGUGUUGUGUCUUCAAUAAUUGAAAUUCUUGAUUUGCUAUGGUCUUCGAAGGAAAUAGCCCCACAAAUUAUAAGUUCUUUUGGAUGGAUUUACUGGUUAUUCUCAACCACUCUUGUCAAAAUACCAACUCUUUGUUUGGACUUGUUUCUCUGUUCUUUAGUUAAUAAGUUCUGCAUACAGACAUAUUCACAGUAAUCAAGCGUUUUAUUUUGCUUAAAUUUUAAAAUGGUUGGUCCUGUCCUUAUAUGUUUUUUUUUGUUUUGUAUUUCUAAUGCCUUUAAAGCAGAUAUAUUAUAUUUUAUAAUAAAAUAUCGAUUUGUUGUUUUGAUUGGCAAUGAUUAUAGAUAUAGAGUUUGGUGAGUUCUUAGGUUUCUCAAUGAUUAUAGAGUUUGGUGAGUUAUUAUUCCCCAUGUCUGUUGUGUCACCUUAUGAUACUACAUGUCUAAGUAGUUUAUUGAAUCAUAUCCUCAAAUAAACCAUGAAAUGUAUAUAGUUUAUGGAAAUAAGUGGUAAUCUCAUGCAUGGACUAGCUUUUUUAUUACAUCAAAUGUCUAAUAACCUUUUUGUUUGUGGUGACACAAGAAAGUUGAAAAGCUUGAGCUGGCUCCUGUGACUUGUGAGGAGAACAUCUCUUGCGAGGAAGACAUCAAUGAACCUUUUCUUCUCGAAGUGACGACCAAAGUUUAUUGAUUUUUUUUUGGUGCAGAAAACAAAGUUGCAAUAACGUCACUGUCAAGUCUCAACACACUCAGGUAUGCCUUUGCUUCAUUGGUGCCUUCUUCUCGUUUUCCGAUUUUCCAAAUACAGCAAAUAUAAUUUUUCUUGCAUAAUUCUUCGAAUACGCCUCACUGUUAACAGCUGUAUCCAAAAGCUGAAUUUUUAUAAAUAAAAUUCUUGUAUGAUUUUUUAAGAAAAAAAAAAAAGAAUCCAUACUCUCUUUAAUUUAAGAGAAGAAGAAUCCAUAUUCUGUACAUUGACACGGUUUCCUUUCGUUUUUCAAAAUUUCAAUUACUUUUAGUAAAAUAUAAUGCUAGUAUUUUAUAUUUCCAAAUUUUCAAUGCGUUCCUUUUGCGAAACUUAUCCUUAAAGUUAUUUUAUUUUAUUUGUUUAUAGAAAAAUAACUAAAAAGUAUCGGCUUGUACCGGAGGAGGUUGGUGAAUUUUUAUAGGUCCCUUGGUAGUAGCCCUUUUGUCGUUUAGCAAUUCUCCACCUAAUCCAGCUUCCAAUAAAACAUAGCCAUAGCAAUUAUAUUUAGCACUCACAUAUUAAUUCUUUAAAUUCUUAUCUAAUCACUAUUUGUAAUUGUAAGUACUUAUCUUCCUUUGGUAUUGAUUGAUUAGUUCAUAAAAGUUAUUCAAAUUCAUUUUCUCAAAAAAAAAGUUACUCAAAUUCAGUAUACGUUUAUAUAACAAGAUAUACUUGUUUGGAAUACACAAUGCAUCGCAUUUGGUCAUAUAUCUUUCUACAAAUUAAUAAAAUCUUUGAUAUCAUAACUAGCAAAUGUAAUGUGUGGAAUUAUAAAGUUUGGCUGCAUGACAUAAAUUGUCAGGAGACAAUACCGAAGGAGAAUUGAAGUUGUGUGUGGAGAAGACUAUGGUACACGUACCUUUCACUCUUUAACCUUGUCCAUGGCGAUAGUCCACCUGGCUUGUCUAUGUGGCCUGUACACAAUUAUUAUUUUGUAAUUUUUCGUUGUUAUGGUAUUUUAGGGUUUCAAUGCAUUGAUUUUCAUUUUGAGGUUUAUGUGUAACCGAGGGGAUGAAUUGGAUAUGUUAUUAGCCAAUUAAUAUGGUUGAUAUUGAAAUAUUAAUAGGGACCUAACCUAAAUAAGAGAAGAAACAUACUACUGAAAAUGUAAUAAAUGUAGAAAAUGUAUGGUUGCAUUGCAUGCAAAACUCCCCCCACAAUGGAGUUGACUUCCAGUGAUCAGUUUUCACUAUUCUAUUGCGUAUUUGUUUUGUAUUGGUUAGUUCCGUGUCAAACUCCAAUGCUAUAUUUGGGACUCUGCAUGACACUAUUUAAAUCGCUCAUCAAGUCUUUUUCUUUCAACCAUAAGUAGAUAGUCCAAAACAAUGUAUUUUGUUACUAGUCUUCAUAAUUGCUAUUUAAAUGUUAAACAGUUAUACUUCAUGCCAUCAUUUAAUAAUAAUUUUAUCUACCGAUCAUGUCUUAUUGCUCUGUACUAUAAAAAAGAGUCGACCUCUUCUUCACAUUCAAAAGCAGAGUCAUACAAAUAUAUCCGCCAUGAAAACGUGUUGCAUCUUCUUCCUCUACUUGGCGAUUAUUCUCGAAUACUGUUUCUACUUCUCUGUUUCGUCAUCAUCACCUCUUCUUCUCCCUCUCUCUCACUCUCUCACGACCUCCAAACACUCUUCCUCUCCUCUCCACCUCCUAAAGUCAUCUUCCUCCCGCUCCUCCGAACGUUUCCGCCGCCACCACCAUAAACGCCAACAACAUCAACUUCCCCUCCCACUAUCUUCCGGCAGCGAUUACCUUCUCUCACUCUCCGUCGGCUCCUCCUCCUCCGUCUCUCUUUACUUAGACACCGGAAGCGACCUCGUCUGGUUCCCUUGCCGUCCUUUCACCUGCAUCCUCUGCGAAUCCAAACCUCCUCCUUCUCUGACCUCCCUCUCCUCCUCCGCCACCACAGUCCCCUGCUCCUCCCCCUCUUGCUCCGCCGCUCACUCCUCCCUCCCCUCCUCCGACCUCUGCGCCAUCUCAAACUGUCCUCUCGACCUCAUCGAAACCGGCGAAUGCAACAAUUCUUCCUACCCUUGUCCUCCUUUCUACUACGCCUACGGUGACGGCUCCCUCGUCGCACGUCUCUACUCCGACUCGCUCUCCCUCCCUCCCCUCUCCGUCGCUAACUUCACCUUCGGAUGCGCUCACACCACCCUCGCCGAACCCAUCGGCGUCGCUGGCUUCGGACGCGGACGCCUCUCUGUCCCCGCGCAGCUCGCCUCUUUCGCACCUCACCUCGGUAACAGCUUCUCUUACUGCCUCGUCUCUCACUCGUUCGACUCGGAGCGAGUCCGCCGUCCGAGUCCACUCAUCCUCGGACGCUUCGUCGAGGAGAAGGAGAAACGCGUCGGAACCGAUGAUGACGAUCAUAAGGAGAAGGUCGAGUUCGUGUACACAGAGCUGCUUGAUAACCCCAAGCAUCCUUACUUCUACUCUGUUUCCCUCCAAGGAAUCUCCGUCGGAAAACGGAAUAUUCCUGCUCCGGCGAUGCUCAGACGAGUGGAUAGAAACGGAGGCGGAGGAGUGGUCGUUGACUCGGGGACGACUUUCACGAUGCUUCCGGCGAAAUUCUACAAUUCGGUGGUGGAGGAAUUUGAUAGCCGGGUCGGGCGGGUACACGAACGGGCUGAUCGGGUCGAACCGAGUUCGGGAAUGAGUCCUUGCUACUAUCUUAACCAGACGGUUAGAGUUCCGGCUCUGGUUUUGCAUUUUGCCGGGAACGGAUCCAGUGUUACGCUCCCCAGGGGAAAUUAUUUUUACGAAUUUAUGGACGGUGGAGAUGGGAAAGAAGAAAAGAGGAAGGUUGGAUGUUUGAUGUUGAUGAACGGUGGAGAUGAAUCGGAGCUUCGAGGUGGGACCGGGGCGAUUCUGGGGAAUUACCAGCAACAAGGGUUCGAAGUCGUGUAUGAUUUGUUGAAUAGAAGGGUCGGGUUCGCUAAGAGGAAGUGCGCAUCUUAUUGGGAUUCGCUCAAUCAAAGCUAACGAGCGCGCGUUAUCCAAUCCCAGCUUCAAUCUUUUAAAUAAGUCAAUGUGCGCCUUACCGGUUCUACCGAAAACCGGAUGAUGGGUCUUAUCGAACAGUAAUUAUGAUAUCGAGCUGUACGUAAAAAUAGCUGUAGGUUUAAUAAUUCGAUGGACCUGUCAUCUAAAAGUAUAUAGAAGGGUGUAUCAUGUAUGUAUCUAUCACCGGUUUUGAAACGUUGUAGAUAUAUAUUUUUUUUAAUUAAGGCCAUUUGUAGUAUUAUGUUUCGUUUAAAGAUUUUAUUCAUUAUAAAAAAAAGUUAAAAGUUUGGGUGUUGUUAUUCAUUAUUGGUACGCGUCGCAUUAACUAAUUGAGAACCAGACGGAUCAAAGAAAAUCUUAAACGAUGUCGGCAAUUUAGUCAAAGUUUUGCUUGUAAACCAAUUAGACCACACCUACAAGUGACUACUAUAAUUUGUGAUAUUUCAUAAGAUAUCACUGUCUUGAUAGAUAUUUAACGAACAAAAACAAACGAGUAACCAUCAAUUAUUUGGCUUAGUGUCACUAUUUAGUUGGAGGCAAAGAACUAUUUAGUUGGAUGAAAAGAAGAUGGCUUUGAAUCUUUGAUAAUUAUGAAUCAGAUGACUAGACAAAAGGAUUGACAGGCGAGCAUACGUGGCGGCGGAUUACGACCAGCAAGACUAGCAAGCACUAGUCGUUCGUUAAUCUUAAUUAUUGAUUUGCUUUUCAACUUACGAAGAUAAAAUUUUGUUAUCCAAGUUUAAAACUUCAAGAGGGAUUGGCUCGGAGUCCAGAGACAGCUAGCUGUGAUCCACACGUGUGCUUAUAGAUUCUUUCCGCAUAUUUAUGUAGGAGUGUAGGACCAUUCAUUACAAAAUAACGAAGAACAAAUUAUCUCAAAAGUUUUUUUUACACUAAAUGUAUCCAUUGUUUUAUUGGUUUUGAGACAUAUUUUGUUGUAGCCAACUUAGUGUUAUAAACCAAAUGAUGAUCGACCAUGGACCAGUCCGUACUGCAGGCUCAAUCCGGGACAUGAUAAAGACAACCAGAGACUAUAUGUUUAUCUAGUAUAUAUUCCAUGUAUAUCUGUAACAUAGUGUUUAUCCUUAUCCUUAUCUUGUUAGGAUAAACAUAACCUUAUGACGGUCUAAUACCUUGUAUAUAUAUGGACCUUCUGGUCGACAGUAAUAAUAACAGAUGUAUUUCCCCAACACUUCAUUUACAACACGUUAUCAGCACGACGUUGCUCUCAUAAACCCUAACCCUAAAAACCAGAAAUAAAUCCGAGCAGUAAAAACCCUAAUUCCCGACGAACUUCAAACAACUCUAUCCCUCAACUCCGGUGGAUACAGACGACGAGCCAGAUACCAAAUUAAAGCUCUUGACGAGACGAAGCCAACGCCGCUAACCCCGCAUCAAUCGGAGUUCGGACGCGCCCUCACGCUCAGCUACAAUACAGGCGGAAAAUUUGUUCCAAAAAUCAAAAUCUCUCUCAACCAUAUACCAGUCUCCUAUUCCAACAAGCAGCAACAAAAACAAUAAUUCCUAGCAAUCCAUCGGCUAACUAGGAAAAUCUCUAACUGAUAGACCGAUCAACCCAUCAAAAGUCUUCAGGUAUCAUCGAAAACUCAUAUAAAACCCAUAAAAGUAUUAAAUACCCCCAUCCGCAGCCAUGUAGCUAUAUAUAGCAACAUGUUUCUGCAAAUAAAAUAAAACCAGAAACCAUAAACUCUUUAAAAUCUCGAACCUGAACUUGUUUUGAACCUGUUCUUAAUCUAAAACUGAUUUUAAAAUUGUUUAAAACUUUUCCUGAUGAUCGUUUCACAUUAGAACUGUUUAGGAUUAAAAGUUAAACAAUUUUUUUAAAAUCUGACUGAUAUAUGUUGAAAGAAACCGACUGUUACUUGCUUAAACUUAUCAUUAUUGUCCUGUUUAAUGUUCUUAUCUGAUCUGAAUCAACUAGAACUGUUAAGGACUGCAUGUUACAUAAUUUUUUUUGAAAAUCUGAUCAUGGUUUCAUAAAUUAAUCCGAGGUUUUACCUCCUGUUCUUGUCUGAGAAAUUUGUUUUCCUGAUGAUUGAUAACGACUAGAACUUGAUUAGGAUUGAAAAAAAAAUAUUUUUUAAUAUUUAAAAUCGAAAUAUCAGAGAUAUAUCUGAGAAAAUAUAUUUAUUUUUUAAAUCGAAAAGUAUAUAAUAAAUUGCUUGAAUAAAUCAAAUCUUCCUGAUUUUUUUUAAGUCACAAUAAUUUCUGAUUUGAUUAUUUUUCGAAAAAAUAAUAAUAAAUAUAUGGUAUAUUUUUCGAAAACCCUAACCUGAUUUCAUGAUUGAAUUGGUUUGCUUGAUUGCAUAUUGUUUGCAUACUAAUAUUGCAUACUGAACAUGAAAUCUCGACUGUUAGGGAUAUAGAUCAUUCAUAGUUUUCAAGCAAUCUGAUCUGAACUGAAAAAAAAANNNNNNNNNNNNNNNNNNNNNNNNNNNNNNNNNNNNNNNNNNNNNNNNNNNNNNNNNNNNNNNNNNNNNNNNNNNNNNNNNNNNNNNNNNNNNNNNNNNNNNNNNNNNNNNNNNNNNNNNNNNNNNNNNNNNNNNNNNNNNNNNNNNNNNNNNNNNNNNNNNNNNNNNNNNNNNNNNNNNNNNNNNNNNNNNNNNNNNNNNNNNNNNNNNNNNNNNNNNNNNNNNNNNNNNNNNNNNNNNNNNNNNNNNNNNNNNNNNNNNNNNNNNNNNNNNNNNNNNNNNNNNNNNNNNNNNNNNNNNNNNNNNNNNNNNNNNNNNNNNNNNNNNNNNNNNNNNNNNNNNNNNNNNNNNNNNNNNNNNNNNNNNNNNNNNNNNNNNNNNNNNNNNNNNNNNNNNNNNNNNNNNNNNNNNNNNNNNNNNNNNNNNNNNNNNNNNNNNNNNNNNNNNNNNNNNNNNNNNNNNNNNNNNNNNNNNNNNNNNNNNNNNNNNNNNNNNNNNNNNNNNNNNNNNNNNNNNNNNNNNNNNNNNNNNNNNNNNNNNNNNNNNNNNNNNNNNNNNNNNNNNNNNNNNNNNNNNNNNNNNNNNNNNNNNNNNNNNNNNNNNNNNNNNNNNNNNNNNNNNNNNNNNNNNNNNNNNNNNNNNNNNNNNNNNNNNNNNNNNNNNNNNNNNNNNNNNNNNNNNNNNNNNNNNNNNNNNNNNNNNNNNNNNNNNNNNNNNNNNNNNNNNNNNNNNNNNNNNNNNNNNNNNNNNNCUCACUAAUGGUACAUCACCCACGUCCAGCCUAAAGCUUAAGGACAUUAUGUAUAUAAAUAUUGAUUUACAUCAGGCCAUACAUGUAAGCAUAGACAUUCCCACCUCUGAAUGAUUAAGGGUCAUAAACCAGACAUAUACACAAACCAUCUUAAGAAAAUACGAAUAUUCCACCACAUAUAUGUGUGCCAUUUAAGAUGGAACCUCAGAUGAGGAUUGGGAAUAUAUAUUAGAUAAAUAAGACUUCCUCCACGAAACUAUAAUGUAUCUUGUGCCAAACAAGGAUGAUUUAAUCAAGUGGUCAAGAACACAGAUUACAAAAGAUAGUAAUCUGAUUAUCCAACUUUGAAAGGAGAAAGUUAUCAGGCUGAUAAAGAGUAAAGAGUAAAAGAGAAAUAUAAUGGUAUCAACCAUAGUUGUCUUGGCAAGAUCCUCAGACCAAAGAUUAUGAUCUAGACGUUCUAAAAGAAUAUGAUCAAAAGAUAUAAAAGCUAGCAGAAAUAUAUGCCAGACACACUGAACCGAAAAGAAAAAAUGACUAUGUCAUACCAGCUUAAGCACCACGAAUUUGAUGUCUAAGAGACACAAUCAAGUUGCUACAAUGUCUAUUAGAGAUAGACAAAUAAGUUCCAAAUAAUAAGGAACCUCGGAAAGUAAUGAAAGGUGCUCAGAAUCGUACAAAUCCGAGUUCAUAAGAGAAACCAGUCCAGACAGAGAAAUAAGGUUGCACAACCACACGUCUAAGGUACCAGACCAUGUAGUUUGGGACGCCAAACUGCAAGGUAUAAAGGUCUUGGAUAAUAAGAUCUCAAAAUCUAAUUAGAUCAUGUCUGGAACAGUAUGAAACUAAAGAUAAAGAGUGUUAACACCAAAGAUGUAUUUACAUACAUAAGAGCUCAUAAAAGAUUGUAGUACUUGGGAUUUGAAGGAUAUAACCUGAGGAUCAUGAACCCACGUAGAGUACUCAUAAAACCUAUAUAGGGACGUGGGGUGUUCAAAAAAUUCAAAGUAAUUAUAAGACAGAUGGGCGUAGUAACCAUGUACAUACAGAAAAGCCAUCUAAGAAAGAAACCAGUGAAUGGAUCUUGUGAGAUAAGAAAUUCCGUGAGAUUAAAGGACAUGACCACAUGGUAUAGUGUGUCCAUGUUCCUUCUAAAUAACGUUCAAGUAUCUAAGUGAGAACCAUAAACCAGGAUAGUGACCAGAAGGAUGUCUGGUCGUGGCUUAAUGAUUAUAAGCAUUGCUAAAGCAAGAAAAGAUCGAUAACCAUGUACAAAGGACAUGAGUGUAUGACUGCGAAUUCAUUGUGUGAUGAGUUUCAUUGCAGCAAAUAAUUAUUGAUGGUAUGACCUUAGACACUCAUGAUUAUGAACGAAUAUAGACAAGGUCUAUAGCUCAACAUGGAUCGACAAAAGAAAAUAAAGAAUGAUUGGUUACAAUGGAUAAAGCCAUUGGCACAUACGAAGAGAUAUAAGUCCGAAUGAACGAAAGAUAUGAAGUAAAGUUGUUCGUAUGUGUUCUGGGUCUAUGACUCAAUAUAUAUUGAAUGUCCACGUUUUGGGAAAGCCAUAUAACCAAAGAGAAUCCGUGGGAUAUGAAAAAGGACCUGCAAGUAAAGUUUUAUUGCAGAUUAUAAAGUCCAUCCGAGCACCGUUUGAAGCACCAUCAGUUCAUCCAAAACUUACAAGUUCAUUCAAGGAGAAUCCAGCUGAUCAUCUUCACCAAGUCAUAGGCAACUUCCAAGAAGACUCGGAUACCAGAUGGGAAUGCGUCUACUACAGUGAUGCAUUCAUCUGGGGGAGUUCAUGUGUUGUACUCUUUUUCCUGUCCUUAGUUUCCCAUUUUGUCACAUUGGUUUUGGGGUUUUUCAGGAGAGGUUUUAAUGAGGCAAUAUUAAGCAUGCAACGAACCUGUACCGGAUGUGUCGAUCAAAGGGGAGUGUUAUAAACCAAAUGAUGAUCGACCAUGGACCAGCCCGUACUGCAGGCCCAAUCCGGAACAUGAUAAAAACAACCAGAGACUAUGUGUUUAUCUAGUAUAUAUUCCAUGUAUAUUUGUAACAUAGUGUUUAUCCUUAUCCUUAUUUUGUUAGGAUAAACAUGACCUUAUGACAGUCUAAUACCUUGUAUAUAUAUGGACCUUCUAGUCGACAGUAAUAAUAACAAAAGUAUUUUCCCACACUUCAUUUACAACACUUAGCAUAUAAUUCGAGUUUCUGGCGAAUUUAGUUGUAGUCUGUUAACCAGGUGAUCUAUCCGUCUUCAUAGCAGGUGUCCACUGAUCAGAUGGAGAAACUUUUUUUACUAUUUUGUCGAUUUAUUUGAUCAGCUGUCCAAGCGUGUAUUGGGAUUCUUCACCGCUUUGGCAGUUUGGCGAUUCCUCUCUCCAAAUAUGAUUAAAAACAUGUAUCAAAAUAUAUGUCAAAUUUUCUAAUGUUAGGUUGUCGAUAUAAACGAUAGUAUAUAGUCCCAAUCAGACAUGUAAUGCUGCUGCAGCCUGCAGGAGGCCACCCGCCAAAAAUACAAACCAGACCUGUUUUGAAUAGUGAUAUGUAAAGAACAUAUGGCUUUAUAUUUUUUUUUUGCGGAUAUCCACAAAAAACACAUUCCAAUAGCCGGCAUGCAGUCCACUGUAACAUUCAGUCUCCAGUUGUUAGACGAUUGUAUAUGGCUAGCCAUAUUUCAAAGGAGAAUUUUGGUGUUAAAUGCUUGAACCAAACUUCUUAACUCCAUACUUUGAUAUUACUUCUUAACUGCUUGAACCAAGGAGUAAUAUAAUUGCUAGCUAUUUGUUGUACACUCUCGAUCAUAAAUUUUUUGAAACCAUUAAAACUGUUAUAUUAAACACAUCGACUAAAAGCUACUACUUCUAUAUGUUAUAGGUUUAUGUUAUCAUGUGAUUCAUGUCCAUAUAUAAAAGCAUCACCUCGAACCCAAGAAAAAAACCAUCACCCAAAUUAGUUUCUGAAGUGGGCUUACAUCCGAUUAAUAUAAGGCCAUUUAAAACUUGAAGAUAUUAUUCAUGCAUAGUCCUGAGAGAAUAGGCUCUAUGCUAGAUCAUUAGUAGAUGUAUAGACACUGUUAACAAAAAAAUAUAUGUAUAAACAAAUAAAAGAAAGAGAAUAACGAAAAUCGUAUAUGUUAACUAGGUCUGAGACGGAUCGGAUAUCCGGACAAUUUUAAGGUAUCCGGAUCCGGAUUUUUAUUCGGCGGAUCCAUAAUUUUACUAUCCUUAUCCGGAUCCGAGGUUCUCGGAUAUCCGGGUGUCGGAUAUCCUUCUAAAAAUUGUAAUAUCCGGUGGAUAUCCGGAUCCGGAUUUGGAUCCUUAAAAAUAAAUAAAAAAUAAUAUUAAUAUAUAUAAAAUAUUAAAAUAAUUUUAAAAUAAAAAAUAUAUAAUGUUUUUAAUUAUUUCUAUGUAUAAUAUUACAAAAUUUACGUAAAAUUUACAUAUACUAUUAUAAAAAUGAAAAUAUAUUAAAUAAAUUUAAUUUUUAUUUAUAGAUAUUACUAAUUUUGAAAUAGUUAUAAAUAAAACUUACGGAUCCGGAUAUCCGGACGAAAAAAUCAAGAUAUCCGGAUCCGGAUCCGGAUCCGAUUUUGACGAUCCAACAUUUUAGUAUCCGGAUUCGGAUUCGGCCCCUCCGAAUAUCCGAAUUUUCGGAUCGGAUCCAGAUCAAAUCUCGGAUCGAAUCCGGAUAUCAGAUAAAAGUCUCAGACCUAAUGUUAACCACAGGAGAAGGUCGAGUUCGUGUACACAGAGCUGCUUGAUAACCCCAAGCAUCCUUACUUCUACUCUGUUUCCCUCCAAGGAAUCUCCGUCGGAAAACGGAAUAUUCCUGCUCCGGCGAUGCUCAGACGAGUGGAUAGAAACGGAGGCGGAGGAGUGGUCGUUGACUCGGGGACGACUUUCACGAUGCUUCCGGCGAAAUUCUACAAUUCGGUGGUGGAGGAAUUUGAUAGCCGGGUCGGGCGGGUACACGAACGGGCUGAUCGGGUCGAACCGAGUUCGGGAAUGAGUCCUUGCUACUAUCUUAACCAGACGGUUAGAGUUCCGGCUCUGGUUUUGCAUUUUGCCGGGAACGGAUCCAGUGUUACGCUCCCCAGGGGAAAUUAUUUUUACGAAUUUAUGGACGGUGGAGAUGGGAAAGUCUGAGACGGAUCGGAUAUCCGGACAAUUUUAAGGUAUCCGGAUCCGGAUUUUUAUUCGGCGGAUCCAUAAUUUUACUAUCCUUAUCCGGAUCCGAGGUUCUCGGAUAUCCGGGUGUCGGAUAUCCUUCUAAAAAUUGUAAUAUCCGGUGGAUAUCCGGAUCCGGAUUUGGAUCCUUAAAAAUAAAUAAAAAAUAAUAUUAAUAUAUAUAAAAUAUUAAAAUAAUUUUAAAAUAAAAAAUAUAUAAUGUUUUUAAUUAUUUCUAUGUAUAAUAUUACAAAAUUUACGUAAAAUUUACAUAUACUAUUAUAAAAAUGAAAAUAUAUUAAAUAAAUUUAAUUUUUAUUUAUAGAUAUUACUAAUUUUGAAAUAGUUAUAAAUAAAACUUACGGAUCCGGAUAUCCGGACGAAAAAAUCAAGAUAUCCGGAUCCGGAUCCGGAUCCGAUUUUGACGAUCCAACAUUUUAGUAUCCGGAUUCGGAUUCGGCCCCUCCGAAUAUCCGAAUUUUCGGAUCGGAUCCAGAUCAAAUCUCGGAUCGAAUCCGGAUAUCAGAUAAAAGUCUCAGACCUAAUGUUAACCACAUGCAUUAUACGUGGGAAUGAAUUUGGGGACUGCGCAAUAAAGUUUCAGUCUUGCUAAUAUUUCCAAAGACGAACUUAAAUGUAAAAACACAGACCUUUUUCAAGUCUUCAGAUUUUUUUAACAAAUUAGAGGAUGACGCGUAUCCUUUUUGUCGUUUUCACUGAGAAUAUCUUCUUUCCCUCUCUCGUUGUUACCUUGCCCUCCCACAAAGAUCCAAAAAAGAACUAUAAAGCUUAAAAUCUCAGAGAGCCAGAUAGUAUUAUAAAGGAGAAGAAACCCUAACAUUAAGUAGCUUUGAAACUCCCUCUGCUGAAUCAUGGCCGCCGUCCCUGAAGGAUAUUACGAAUCCACAAACCCGUUUCUUGUUCACGGGCCAAGAGGUUUUGAAGAGUUCAAGUUGCUUGAGAGUUUUGGAAUGUACGUGAGGAUGGACUUUCCCGGCGUUCCGGAGGAGUGCGUGAGGGUUUCUCUAGACCCGGCGAAGAAAUCUUUGGCUGUCUACGCAGAUGCUCCCAAGGUCCACAGAUACGACCUCGCUCAACGGAAGUACCUCUCCGUCAUCGAAACCGUCUGCAGAUGCUGCGUGUUCGACCGCUUCACUUACCAAAUGUCCGACGGUGUUUUAAGGCUUCAUCUCUCCAAGUCUAACAUCGAUCCAAGUCACUCUUCCUGCAUCGGUACGUACGAGACUUUUCUUUUUCUAUUUUCUUGUUCUUCAUACAUUUAAAUUUAUUAAUUAGAGUAUAGGUGAAUGAUUAGAUUAAUUUUCUGAUUCUUUUUGUUUUCUACAGAGUUUAAAUAUUCUGCUUUCGGAGAAGGUAUUUUCACAUUUAUUCCAUUUCAAUCGAUAUUUUGAAAAAAUGUGUUUACUCAUUUGCCUGUAUUUGUGCUUGUAGAUAUCUCUGGCAAUGACAUGGACGAGUCGUAUGAGUCGAAGCAGCUCGAAGACGGCAAUUAACAUUUUAGUAUCCGGAUUCGGAUUCGGCCCCUCCGAAUAUCCGAAUUUUCGGAUCGGAUCCAGAUCAAAUCUCGGAUCGAAUCCGGAUAUCAGAUAAAAGUCUCAGACCUAAUGUUAACCACAUGCAUUAUACGUGGGAAUGAAUUUGGGGACUGCGCAAUAAAGUUUCAGUCUUGCUAAUAUUUCCAAAGACGAACUUAAAUGUAAAAACACAGACCUUUUUCAAGUCUUCAGAUUUUUUUAACAAAUUAGAGGAUGACGCGUAUCCUUUUUGUCGUUUUCACUGAGAAUAUCUUCUUUCCCUCUCUCGUUGUUACCUUGCCCUCCCACAAAGAUCCAAAAAAGAACUAUAAAGCUUAAAAUCUCAGAGAGCCAGAUAGUAUUAUAAAGGAGAAGAAACCCUAACAUUAAGUAGCUUUGAAACUCCCUCUGCUGAAUCAUGGCCGCCGUCCCUGAAGGAUAUUACGAAUCCACAAACCCGUUUCUUGUUCACGGGCCAAGAGGUUUUGAAGAGUUCAAGUUGCUUGAGAGUUUUGGAAUGUACGUGAGGAUGGACUUUCCCGGCGUUCCGGAGGAGUGCGUGAGGGUUUCUCUAGACCCGGCGAAGAAAUCUUUGGCUGUCUACGCAGAUGCUCCCAAGGUCCACAGAUACGACCUCGCUCAACGGAAGUACCUCUCCGUCAUCGAAACCGUCUGCAGAUGCUGCGUGUUCGACCGCUUCACUUACCAAAUGUCCGACGGUGUUUUAAGGCUUCAUCUCUCCAAGUCUAACAUCGAUCCAAGUCACUCUUCCUGCAUCGGUACGUACGAGACUUUUCUUUUUCUAUUUUCUUGUUCUUCAUACAUUUAAAUUUAUUAAUUAGAGUAUAGGUGAAUGAUUAGAUUAAUUUUCUGAUUCUUUUUGUUUUCUACAGAGUUUAAAUAUUCUGCUUUCGGAGAAGGUAUUUUCACAUUUAUUCCAUUUCAAUCGAUAUUUUGAAAAAAUGUGUUUACUCAUUUGCCUGUAUUUGUGCUUGUAGAUAUCUCUGGCAAUGACAUGGACGAGUCGUAUGAGUCGAAGCAGCUCGAAGACGGCAAUUUAUACGUGCGUUUAGACAUGCCAGGCGUUCCCAAGGACAACUUCACUGUCUCAGUGGCUAACGGCAAAGUAAACGUGACUGGUCAAGCUCCUGCUCUUGACCACGACUCAGGUUCUCGGUUGUACUCUAGCGACGUGGUUAUCCUCUCCGGUCCUGUCGACUUUCCUAGCCAUCAGGUCAAAACCAUCAUCAAGAACGGUGUCAUUAGACUCCUCAUCCCUCCCGUUUGAUAUCAUUAAUUAUGAUGACGUGGCUAAAGAUAUGUUUCUUUCUGUUUGUUAAGUGGACCUAUUUUGUUGGGAUUGAUUAAUAUUAGGAUCAAUGAGUUUGGAUAUAUUCCAAAAAGAAACAUUACUUCAAUUUGUGUAGCACUCUUAUCUUUUUUUUUUAUAUGAAUAUAUGUCUAACCAAAUAAAAACAAUAUGAUAAUAAUUAUGAACAAAUGAAAAGUGUAUUUUAUGUGUGCCUCAAGGCUGCAUUUACGAAGUCUACGAUAAAGCUGAAAACUUACCAAAUUUAGGCAAAGACCAACUUUGUUGUCUAUCUUGAUACAAGACAAAAACCUCAGAGCUUUCACCAGUGUAGAAACGAAAAGAUGAAAUUAAUAAAACUUAUACGUUUGUAUAUUAGUGGUAAUUAAUAAGAAAGAUGAUAUUUUCGUGUCACUGGAAACUGUUGAGGUGAACACGCAUCCUAGUACUAUCAUAUAGAUCACAUUCACAAAUGUAAAGUUAACACGUGUCAUAAGAGGGAUUGGUUGUCAUUUUCACCUGACAACCUCCCCAUACAGUCUCCAAAACCUCUCUAAAACCCUAGAGACAGUGAAAGAAAGAAAGAGAGAGAUCUCCAAAAAGAAAAAACACUAAAAUCCUAAUUAAAAACAGGAAAAUACUUAGCUGCCUAAGACCAUGAUUAUCGGGGUGCCUUAACCCUGGUUCUUAGCUUAAUUUUGAUUAAAAGAAAAACAAAAAAUUUUUUAAUCUAAGGAACGUCGCUUAAUUAAGCGUUACAAAAACCGUCGCUUGUGGACACGCGUCGUCCAACAACGAAGUCUCUAUCUCUCUCUCAUCCCUAUCUCUCUCGCGAAAGGAAGAAAGAUGCCGGUCUCGAUUCCGAAAUUUCUCUCGUGAUCUCUCCUCCAUGGAUGAUUCAGUCGGAGAUUCCCCCUCCCCUUCUUGAUUUCUCGUCGACUAUGAGAGAAUCGGCGUCUCUGUCGGUGCCUCCCCUCGAGGACUCCGCCGCUUUUUCGUGAUCUCUCUUUGACGACUCCGGAUCUCUUUGGUGAUCUCUCCUCCACGAUGAAUCACUGGACGUCUCUCUCUGUUGCUCUCCUCGAGGACUCCGCCUCUCUAUCUUAAUCGUCGAUUCCAAUACCAUAUAUCUCUCUCUCUCUCGACGACCGUUUGAGCUCGGUCUAAUGGAAAGGUAAAGCAACAAUUUUAUUUGCUCAAUAGGUCUUAAUCCUUCAUGCAUGUCUUAGAUUGUGCCUCUUAUAAUUGAUUUUGAUUUGAUUUUGAUUUUUUUGUUCUGCUGGUUUGGAUCUGUUGAUUUUGUCUCUUGUGUUUGUUUAGAGUUCGUGAUGAAUAUAUAUGUGAUCUGGUUCUUUGUGAUUUUUUUCUGUCAUUGGGAGAUGGUUGGAGCGUUGAAGACACACGAAGGUUCGUCAGACCAGAGAACACAUGAAGGUUCAUCAGACACAUGAAGGUUCGCCAGACCAGAGAACUACAAUUGCAACAGAGGUAAAUGCAUAUUUCUUUGCUCUUUUAAAUUGAUUGAAAGUGUGAUAAAAUAGCUGUGAAUAUUUUCGUUGGUUGUUUUUGAGAAAUGGUUCACAUAGAGGUUGAUUAGUUCGUGUAUCUGUUCACAUGAAUUGAUUGUGUAUCUGUUCUAAAUUGAUUAGUUUGUAAUAAAUGGUUAGCUUAUGGUUGCUAAUAAAUAUCAUCUGAUGGUUAGAUAGAAAUAGAUUUGAAGUGUUAUGAAUGUGUGUUAGAUAUAUGUCAACUCGUUUAUGGUUGGGCCGAUCUAUUAAACACAAUGCCUUUGCUUUCUCUCUUCUAUAAAGUGUUUCUUCUUCUCUUCUAUCUAUCUAAAACAAAGUUAUUAGCUUCAUCUCUUCUUUAAAUCAUCUCGGAUAUGGAUUCUCUUCCAAAUACGCUGAGGCAAAAGUUUGUUGAACUUCUAAACAGUCAACAAAACAUUGUCUUUGGUUUAUCUGAAGAUAGUCUCGAACUAUCUUCAUCUCAAAUCCCUCUUUUUUACUCGCAACCGAUGGAAGAUUCCAACUUUGUGGAAGGCACUCCUGCAGAGCGUCGAAAAAGGAGGCACUAGACGCCGGUAGAUGAUGUUGUGCUCAUUAGCUCCUGGCUAAAUACAACCAAAGAUCCAGAUGUAUCGAAUGAGCAAAAAUCCGGAGCUUUCUGGAAAAGGAUUGCAGCAUACUUCGCUGCAAGUCCUAAGGUGUAAGGCUGUGAAGUAAGGGAGGCGUCCCACUGCAAGCAGCGUUGGCACAAGAUUAACGAUCUAGUCAACAAGUUUUGCGGGGCAUAUGAAGCUGCAAGUAGAGAGAGAAGCAGUGGUCAAAAUGAGAAUGAUAUUCUUAAGCUAGCUCAUGAGAUUUUCUUCAACAACCAAAAAAAAAAUUAACCUUGAACAUGCUUGGAAGGAACUUCGAAAUGAUCAGAAGUGGUGCGAGCUUAAUACUUGUAAAGCCGAUGGAAGUGCAAAAAGGAGGAAGCUUGAUGAGGGUGCAAAUUCUUCAACCUCUCACGCGUCUGACAACAAUACUGGUGGAGCUGAUCAAGCAGCCACUCGGCCCCUGGGUGUUAAGGCAUCUAAGGGGCAUGGUAAGCAAAAGACUAAGGCAGAGGCGAAGUCGGCGUCUGAGUUUCAGAGCAUGUGGAGCAUCAAGAAGGAGGAUAUGGCCAUGAAGGAGAGGCUGUCGAAGAUGAAGCUGUUGGAUAGUCUUAUUACAAAACCAGAAGUGUUGCAUGAGUAUGAAGAAGCGCUGAAGAAGAAGCUUAUUUCUGACUUGUUGUCUUAAGCUUUGAUGCUUUUAAGUUGAUGUUGUCUAAGUCUAAUUAGGUUAAAUGUUUAAAUAUUUGUGUUUGUGUUUCUGUUUAAACUCUUUGUUGUUUAAAUCUGUGUUUGUGUUUCUGUUUCUUGUUCUUGUAAUGGUUAUUGAUUAUGGAAAUGCCUAUGUUUGUGUUUCAUGUUCUUGUUAUCGUUAUUGAUUAAGGAUGCGUUUGUUGUUCAUUCUGUUAGCUUAAAAAUUAUUGAAGUGUGCUCUCGUCUGAAGCUACUGUCACGGACUUGCUCUCAUCUGCAAUCAGGUAACUUUGAUCACUUGUUUGUGUCGUCUUGUGUCAUGGACAUAACUCUGAUCACUUGUUUGUAUCUUCUUGUGUCUUAUUGUCAGGGUGGAGAAGCUGCUUCUCCUCUGAAGCUUGUGUCACAGACACACUGUUUGUGGAGGCUGUUUGUGUCACGGGGAAGCUGUGUAGUUGUGUCUUUUUGUGUCUUAUUGUCACGGGGAAGCUGUGUGAUCCAUUGACUACUUGUGUCUUAUUGUCACGGGAAUUUUGUGUACUUGUGUCUUAUUGUGUAAAACUUGACAAGCUGUGAAGUUGUAUAUAAAUGUUGUAUUGCACAAAGAUUUUAUUCACAAUCUCAUCUUCUCUCUUCUCGUGUUCUAUAUAAAUUUGGUGUUCUGCAAACUUUACAAUCUCAUCUUCUCUCCUUUAUCUCUUUCUCUCCUUGAUCUAUAUAAGUUUGGUAUUGUGCAAACAUUACAAUAUCAUCUUCUCUCCUUGGUCUAUAUACAUUUUUAUCAACAAAAUCAUCUUCUCUCUUUUAUCUCCUUGUUCUUGUUUGAUAUAAAGAUUUUAAAAUUCUUCAUUUCCAUCAUAAAUUUUAUUCACAAAUUCUCCGUUCUUUCCUUUGUCUAUUCCCAAUCUCAUUAUCCAUUCUCUUCUUAAUCAUCACAAAGUAAUCAAUUUUUUUUUCACAUAUAUGGCAUCUUCCUCUCAUAACACUUUUGAGGGAGUAGCUGAUGCAAGUUUUGAUCAAUAUUUUGAUGAACAUUUUGAUCAAGCUUUCGAGAAUUUUGCCAUUGCUUCCGGUGAUCAAGACGAAAGAAAAAAAUGAAUUUAUAUCGAAAGAAAUCGAGAAGAAGGCGAUGUACGUUUAUGGAACGAUUAUUUUAGUGAAACUCCAACUUACCCUGAUAAUCUCUUCCGUCGACGAUUUAGAAUGAACAAACCAUUGUUCAUGCGUAUUGUUCAUCGACUCUCCAAUGAAGUUGAUUUCUUUCGCCAAAAGAAAGAUUGUCUUGGAAGGCUUAGUCUCUCUCCACUUCAAAAGUGUACAACAACCAUUCGUCUCAUGGCAUAUGGUAGUGCGGCUGAUACUUUUGACGAAUAUCUCCGACUCGGUGCAACUACUACUCGGUCAUGUCUGGAAUAUUUUGUGGAAGGAAUAAUAAAUUUAUUCGGCGAGGAGUACCUAAGAAGACCAACACCGACUGAUCUUCGACGUCUGCUUGAUAUUGGUGAACAUCAUGGAUUUCCCGUGAUGAUAGGAAAUAUCGACUGUAUGCAUUGGUAGUGGAAGAAUUAUCUCACCGCUUGGAAAGGUCAAUAUUCACGUGGUUCGGGAAAACUAACAAUCGUUUUAGAAGCGGUUGCUUUCUAUGAUCUAUGGAUAUGACAUGCGUUUUUUGGACCUCCAGGUACCUUAAAUGAUAUCAAUGUUCUUGAUCGCUCUCAUGUUUUCGAUGACAUAAUAAAAGGUCAAGCUCCGCAAGUCACUUUCUCUGUCAAUGGAAGAGAGUAUCAUUUGACUUACUAUCUCACCGACGGUAUUUAUCCGAAAUGGACAAUUUUUAUCCAAUCUAUUCCAAUACCACAAGGGCCGAAAGCGGUUUUAUUUGCUCAACAUCAAGAAGCGGUCUGAAAAGAUGUGGAGCGUGCUUUUGGAGUCUUGCAAGCUCGCUUUGCCAUCGUUAAAAAUCCAGCACUUUUUUGGGAUAAAGUCAAAAUUGGAAAGAUUAUGAGAGCAUGUAUCAUACUCCAUAACAUGAUAGUAGAAGACGAACGAGAUGGAUACACUCAAUAUGAUGUUUCAGAGUUCCAACAAGGAGAAGGCACCAGAGGUUCACAAGUGGAUCUCACGUAUUCUACAGAUAUCCCAACAAAUAUCGCCAAUAUGAUGGGCGUUCGAACUAGAAUUCAUGAUAGACAAAUGCAUCAACAACUGAAAGCUGAUUUGGUUGAACAUUUAUGGCGUAAAUUCGGACAAUAUCAAGACAACAACUGAGUUCGGAUGCUUCUUUCAAAUUAUUCUCGUUUAUUUUACUAAUCUUUUUUGUAAUGUUUUUUUAAAUCUAUGUUUAAAACGUUUUCUUUUAAUAUGUUCUAUUUAAUAAAUAAUUUUUAUCUUUAUAAAUUUUUAUCUUUAUAAAUUUUUAUUUAAAUAAAUUUUUUAUUUUUAAGAAUCCCAAAUUAAGAAACCUAUCAUUGGAGCUCUAAAAAUAGGGGUCUCUUGACUAAAAGUUCUUAACCAUUAUUAAUUACUAAAAGAUCAUUAAGAGACCCAUUUGGGUCUUUAGGGUUCAUGCCGGUCUUAAACAUUGGUCCCAUUUGACCCAAAAAAAAACAUUGGUCCCAUCCCUUAAUGUCAAGUUUAAUUUUUUUGUUAUUAUUCAAAUUAUUAAUCGUUAUGAUAUAAUCAUAUAGACAUAAUUAACCGUACGUGUAUAGUAAUGAGUUUGGUUAAUAAACGCAAGGAGCAUUGUUUCACAAAUAAGAAGUGGACGCGUGCCCCCUUCCCUAGCAGUUUUUGUCGUUUUCACCUGACAAUAUCUUCCUUCCCUCCUCGUCGCCUUGUCUCCCAUAAAGAUCAGCGUGUGAGAGAGAGAGAGAUUUAUAAAGGAGAAGCAACCCCAAUAUCCAGUUGCUAAAAACCUCCAUCUGUUGAAUCAUGGCCGCCGUUCCUCUUCCUGCCGUCCCUCAGUCUCCCGGUAAACUUCUUCUAAAACCAAUAAGAAGCUCAAACUUAUGCAGUUUUCUCGUUUACUGAGAUUUUUUUCACUGAUAUUUCUUUUCCGUGUUUGAUUGAUAGCAGAAGGGUUUUACGCAAUCAACAACGAGUUUCUCAUGAAUGGGCCAAAAGGGUUUCAGGAGUACAAGAUGCUUGAGAACGAUAUCAUGUUCGUGAGAAUGGAUUUUCCCGGCGUUCCAGAAGAUGGCGUUAGUGUUACUCUUGAACCCUCCAAGACCCUUGUGAGUGUCAGCGCCCACGCACCCAAGGUCCAUACACACGACUUCUCUCACCGGAACUACCUCAUCAUCACCGGACUCGUAUGCGGAUGCUGCGAGAUCUCCGGCUUCACCUACCACAUGACCGACGGUGUUCUCAGGCUUCAUCUCUCCAAGACUAACAUCCUCCAUCCUCAACGCUCUUCCUGCAACUGUAACCCAUUAAUUAUCUAUUUUAGUUUAUUAUAUAUACCGAAUCAUUCAAAAUUUUACUUUAUUUAUAUCUUACAAUUAAAAAUAAACUGAGUUACGUUGUUUUUUUGGUCAGCGUUUCUCGGUGGCAUACGUUUCAGAGGAGAUGGUAAUUUUAUUUUAUUUUCUUUUGAACUUUUUCUUACACUUUGUAAAUGUUUUUACCGUACUCUCCUCUAUAUAUGUGUGGUCGCAGAUCUCUGUCGAUGUCCUCAGAGGCUUCCCUAUAACAGGGAUCCUUAUCGUACGUGUUAAUUUUUAAUUAAUACUACUAUAUAAAUUAAUCAUAUUAUGAUUCAGUACUAUGUUUGGUUUAUUAAUUUGUCAUUGUGGUAAUUCCUAUGUGUGGAAGAGCAGACCCGGAUUUAACGGGUCCGUUGUUGAUUCCUCACCCGAAUGUGCGUCAAGGAACGACUAUGGCUUAUGAGUCAAAGCAGCUCGAGAGCGGCAGCCUAUACGUGCGUUUAGACAUGCCAGGUGUUCCCAAAGACAACUUCAACGUCUCCGUUUCGAGCGGGAGAGUCAAGGUGACUGGUCAAGCUCCUGCCGUUAGCCAUGACUCCGACGGUCGCUUCUACUCUGGUGACGUGGCUAUGCUUUCUGCUCCUGUUGACGUUCCUAGCCGUCCGAUCAAAACUAUCAUCAAGGAUGGUGUCAUUCGCCUCCUCAUCCCUUCCGUUUGAUGUGAAAAAACUCGUUCGCGUUUGAAAUAAUCUGUCUCCCGUGGUGGACCCCAGUUAUGUCGUUGCUUUGAGGAUUAUGUCAUUUUAUUUUAUGGACUUUAAUUUGGAUAUGUUCGCAACUGUUUUUUUUUAAAGCCCAUUCCCUUUAUGCACGAGUAGUGUUUUAACAACACUCGAUAUACAAGUUCAACACUACUUUGUUGAACCGUGCAAUAUACAAGUUCAACAAAGCUAGAGCUAAAACCGUAUGCUUCUCAGUUAUGGGAAUAUGUUGCUAAAGGUAUUCUGGGAUCUGCUUAUACUAAAGAUUGGUCUGAGAUACUGGUGAUUAUAUCGGAUGAGAAAAGGGAAAGAUGAGUAGAUUUUGUAUAAGAUAUGCAUUCCAGGUGGUGCUAUAUGCUGUGUGGAGAGAGCGUAACAAGCUAAGGCAUGGAGAGAAGCUGUUGCCUCUUCAAAUUAUCAAAAUACAGGUUGAGAAAGGAAUUAGAAACAAGAUCUCUUUGAUGAGAAUGGAUGAGGUGAAGGGUAUGGAGCAACUGAUGCAAUUUUGGUUUCUUACUAGAAUGUAAAAAGGAAGCUAAUAUGUAAGAAGGGGAGGGUAGUUGAUCUUGAGUUUUCUUUAUAGAAACAAAUGAUGCACUUGAUGUAUACAGGUUUUUUUGAAUGAAUCAAAAAAAAUAAAAAUAAAAAUAAAAUAAAAUAAAAUAAAACCGUACCAAUAAAUGGAAAAAAUGAGAGACUAAACAAAUCAGCAACACUCAAUUUCAUUACUCAAACUUCAACAAAACAAAAACAUCAAUCGAGGCAUUUCUCCAAAAAAGUUACCUUUUCUUUUUUGAAAUAAUGUUAAAUUUAUUCAAAAUUUUUUUUGUACAGACUGUUACAUUAACUGAAUGUUUUGAAAAAAGGAAAACAGAGACAGAAAACAAAGAAUCAUCUGUAGGAGAACCAAGUUUCCAUGGCCUUGUUAUACUUUCGAGCAUCCAACAUUCUCAAACUGGUUAUUCGAUUCCUAACCAGCUUGUCGAUGCGAGCGACCAAUACGGAUGUGGCCUUUGGCGUUUCACCAUGCCUUCUCCCAUUCAUUUCAUACCAAAUAGUGGAUAAGGUAGCUCCAAAAAGGUUACCAUUUAUAACAAAAACAUCAAAACAAAAACAUCAAUCUUAACAAAUUCAGUCUUUUUUUUCUUUCAACAGAGUUGGUUGAAUUAUUUGCAACUCGCAACUAUUUUUUAAUUCAAAUGGUAACCUUUUGGUGAAAUGUCAAAUUCACACCCAAUUAUUCCUUUAGCUGUGUGUAACCAUUUGCAUCUCAGACAAAGGGAUUUGUCUGCUAUAUAUAGCUCUAGCGAAAGAAAGAAAUAUAAUUUCUUGAGAAUGGCGCGUGGCUGAUGUGGUUGUUGUGGAUGCGUAGAGAGAAACUUAGUUGGGUGUUAUGUAGCUCUAUAUAGCGAUGUAUUAGUUGGUGACAUGCAGAAAAAUUGGUUGCUUGGGAAAAGGGAGAGAGGUGUAGGCUAGUUGCUCGAGAGCAUAGACAAUAGAUGAAGAUAAGGAAGAAGAGAGGAGAAAAAGAAACCGUUGUUAAUGUAAAUUUUACUUUUUCCAUGUCUCUUCCUCUUGAUCAUGCAUGUGUGUUAUUUCUUGUGGAUAACAAAGAGCUAAUUAACACGUUGAGUUCAUGUAAAAUGAUCUUCCAAUAGUUGAAAACAAGCUAGAACUAGUUGCAAAUUUGUAGUCGUCAAUAUGGAGACACGCCAGUUGUUUCUCUACACCGAUGCCUAUGGGGGAAAAUAAAAGCAACUUAAAAUCUAUAUGUGAUUGAUAGAGAACAGUCACAGAGCAGUUUGAACGGUGUUUCGCUUGCCGUUAAAAGCCCAUGUACGAGUUAACUAAGAUGAUUGAUCGAGUAAAUUAAACAUUAAGAGCCUCUCUUUUAUUAUGGAGUAGUGCUAAUUUUACAUUAGCCUCAAACAUCCUAGAUAAAACCUUACAUAUUAUUAUGAAACACGCGAUGAGGUGUGGUGUUGACAUAUAUCGACAACCACAUUCAUACACUCGAGGGUUUCGUUUGGAAUCUAGUAGGAGGGCCCAGGCAUGGUCUUCUGGAAGGGACAAACGCUAACUUGCGGGAUGUUGCAAACUUUAGGUAAGUGCGUAGCGGUCUGGUAGAUACGGCUCACCAUUUGCUGCUUUCCUUGCUGUUGUCCCUGUUGUUGAAUUUGUUGUUUAACCGCUUUGGAUGCUCCUUUCAAGGUUGGGCAAACGCAAAGGGGCUCUUCCUGGUGGAGCUCGUUACAGCACUGCUGGAGUAGAGGCGGUCUCUGCUGUGGACCCUGCGGGUUCUCCAUGUCGUCUUCAAAGUCAAACUCACCGUCGAGGGUCCAGCUAGGACCACCGCCAGACUGCAUUGCUUGCUUGUGGAGCCACUGCUGGCAAGCUCUUAGGUGUUGUGCUUGCUGAAACUCCUUCCUACAUUUUGGAAUCCUAAAUGGGCCGGCUGAGUUUGUGGCAUCAUCUUCGUCGAACUCGACGACCGUCCGGUAGAUGGAGGCAUUGGUGAGAAGGAAGAAGAAGGCGAGAGUUGCCGAGACGAGGAAGAGCUUGUUCGCCAUUCGUGUAUGUUUUUAAUCUUGUUUGUAUUGAUGAGUUUUGGUUUGAGUAAAGAGUGAAGCGGAUGAGUUAAUUUAUAGGCUAUAAAGGAGAUUUGCAUGGCGAUCACGUGUAAUAAUGCAUGCACGCAUGUGAUUGUAUGUGUGUGCUGUGAGAGAGAAGCUCUUAGGUGUUUGAAGGGAGUGACAAGUGGCGAAGAAAAACAAUUCUCCGCGGCUGCAUGCUAUGUGUAACGUGUAGCUAAUGUUCUGGCAUGGCAUCUUAUGAACGAUUCUUUUUAAAAACAAGGUAAAAACUUAACUUCAUAAAAUUAAAAAAAAAAACGUUUACUAAGUUGGUUUAAAAGGGGAUGAGAGUCUAUAAAUUUUGGAGGUAGUGCCGUUGGGAAUAUAAAUUGGGAGCUUAAUCAGAAUUAUAGAAGUUAAAGUUGAUUUAGUCACGGUCAAUAUAAAUUGGGAAUUUGAGUCAAAAUCUUCCAAAUUCGGAAUCCGUCUUGUUACACCCGGUGGAUAGGAGCCGAACGGUUUGAAAAUACUUGAAAUGUGGAUGCAGGUGCAGGCUGGUUUAAUUUUAUGUUGAAUGGAUACAUGUCAAUCGAAUUUGAGUUAUAGGUACACAUUUUACUCUGAUACUAAAAUGUAACAUUUGUCUCAAGAAUGGGUAGGUCAUCCUUACUCGAGAACGGUAUGCCAUUCACUUGAACGUAUAUCUCAUUCAACCCAACUCUAACACACAUUUCAUACCCAUGUCUAAAAUAAAGAAAAUUGAAGAAAAACGCUCAAUAGCGUCAAUCCUUACAAAUAUAAUGUACAUGGCAACCUCGCAUGAAAAUAGUAAUAAAGAGGAGUGAAUAAUAUAAAGUAGUCACUAAUUGGAUGACAAAGCAAAUGGAACCAUCCGAUAGAUGUUUUGAGAACAAGAGGUACAUUUGUAUAUAUGCAUUGGUUGAUACAUUUCUGCCAUCUGAAUUGUUUCUUCCUCAAAGAAGAAGCAUUCAGCCAAUAGUGAAAUUUAAAAUGUUGGAAAAAUGAGGAUGCAGUCAGAAAGUCCAGAAUAUAAGUGGUAACUGGUAACUGAAUACUUGCCUCAGAAGCAAGAUAAGAAACAUAAGUCUUUAAAGGAAUCAAUCACCGAUGAAGAAAGCUUAAGGAUUCAAGUCUAUAUUUGGCCACUAGAGACGUCCACGCUAGGCUUGUCUCUACAAAUGCAAACAACUUCAAGCAAGGCAGUGACAGGACAGAUAAUGCUUAGAGAAACCGUUGAAAAGAAGCAUAAAGCACAACUCCCUGAAUGAUCUAAUUAUUGGCUGAUCUAGGAUUUGCACUGACCAUAUUACUUCAAAGAUAGUUCCAUUUCAAGAAACAUAAACAGAGAACUUGAAUGAGAAAAUUCUAUUAUCAAAUUCAAAGGAUAUGAUAAUCAAAGAAAAAUUGCAAGAGUACAUAGACAAAUUCAGCAGCACAUAGAAAAACCCAAUUGAUCUGCGUAAAAACCCCAAUUCUCUCUUCUGUAUACAAAAUCACGAAUCCAUAUACUCUUCGAUUUUCAAAUCAAAACCAAAUAACCAGCCCUAAAUUAUAAAGUAAAAUCCCGAUCAAAACGGGUUAAUAAUUUUAUGAAAUAAUACAAAAAGAAACAGACUGAGAUCGGCAAAACCUCGACCAAUAAAUCAAACAACAUCGUCCUUCUUGGGUUUCCGAUAAUUCUUUUCGAUGUGCUCGACGAUGACGAGAACAGUGUUCGUCAGCUUCUUUACAUCGGGAACACCCCUCUCUACUACACUUUCUCCGGCGAAGUUUCAGGUUUGUAGUAGUGUUCUAUUUGCACUUGUAUAUGAAACUUUAAUGGGCCUUCAAUAUUUAUUUCUAAGGCCCAUAAUGGGCCCAAAACAAAUAAACCCGGCAUGCUCAUUCCCCUUGGUUACCACCCUUGCGUGCUUCUUGACCAAACCCAAAGUUGUUAGGGGUAAAAUACGUCAGAAACGUGAUCCCGGCAUAUCCGAGUAUCCUUUUUCCGAGGUAGUGUUAAGGUGCAGUAUUUCCCUCGUACACCGUCAUUAGAAUGAACGGUUAAGAUUUUCUCUCCAAGAUAUUAAUAAACACGUACCGUCAGAUACUAUUCUAAGCGUGCCACGUCAGCUGAGGAGUUCAGAUAUUAUCCCGCUCCAUCUGUAUACAAUCUUUUAUCCUUAUCGCGUAAUUUUUUAAAUGGUUAGCAGAAUUUUAGUAGGUUGCUUGAUUUUCGUUUUUCUUGGAUAUUCGGUUUGUUAAUUGUGUCGCUGUUUGUUAUCUUCAAACGAUAGCGUUGAGCUCUAGGAAAAGUGUGUUUGAUCGCAGAAAAGGCUUCGUCUUUUGUCUUGCAACAGGUUCGAUCAUGGAGUUCUUUUACCUUAUUGCGAUCUUGUACUUCGUUUUAGAUUAAGUUUAUGUUGAUCAAUCGAUUUAGGCUUUAAGGAGAGUCUCUACUAUGUCUUGUGAGAAAAAAGGGGGUUUCUGAAGUUUUUUGGGAUUUAAGACAUGAUCGACAGAUUAAAUGACUUCUCGGUUUGAUUCUGUUUUUGAUGGUUGUCUGAUUGGGGGGUUGUUAUUGUACAUGUAGGCUUAUAAGGAAUGGCAAAGAGCACAUUCAAGGAAGAGCAUGACCUAGGUUUGGAUCCUACCGUUUGUGUUUGAUUCUCAAGUAAACUUACUCACUUUUGGAUCUAAUGAUGAUUCUAUUUUCAGAGAAAAGAAGUGCAGAGGCUGCUCGGAUUAGAGAGAAAUAUCCAGAUAGGAUUCCGGUUAGUGCUCAGUGUUUUACAUUACCUAAACUCAUUUGUGAUUAGCAUAUUGUCUUCCUUUUCCAUGUUUGGACGAUCCCUUUGUGUUUAAGCUCUUGUUAUGUUUCAUGGCCCAGCAUCUAUCUGCCUAUAUUAUAGUUUUCCCUUUUUGUCUCUCUGUCUAGGUGAUUAUGAACUUAUCAUAUCUUUGCCUAUAGUUUUGUAGAUAACCAUCUGGCUUUAAAUAUACUCCUCCCAAUUAACAGUUGGUUAUCAAGUAAUCAACAUCUGAUUAGCCUCAUGCUUGUGCUAUAUAUAUAUAUAUAUGUAUAUAUAUUUUUUUUUGGCAUUGUAUCAACUGCUUUAUGGAGUUUUUUGAAUUCUACUGUCAAUAACGACGGUAAGAUUUCGAACUUGUUUGUUCUUUUUUGAAAUGUAGCUUUCGAAAACUUGGUUUUAACAAGUACUGCUUGGUAACACUUACGACUGAAUGGGUUGAUUUGCAUAGUUCAUAUUGGGAAGUGAUUAUUGAUUUUAUAUGGUUACUUAAAAGCCCCACUUGAGUGAUGAUUGUCACACUUUUUGUAUUUGUGUGGGAUCCAGGUGAUUGUUGAGAAGGGGGAGAAGAGUGAUAUACCAACCAUCGACAAGAAAAAGUAAGCAUCUUGAUUACUGUAAUCAAUGUACAUCUCCCUCGGACCUGGCCUGUGAUUGACAACUAAGCUUUUUUAUCCUGGAUGCAGAUACCUAGUCCCAGCUGAUCUGACAGUGGGGCAAUUCGUGUAUGUCAUUCGCAAAAGAAUCAAACUGAGUGCUGAAAAGGCUAUCUUUAUCUUUGUGGACAAUGUUCUUCCUCCAACUGGUAACACAGAUAACACCUACUGUAUUUCAAGACUUAUUAAAAUCAUUCUGAGACAUCUACUUUGGCAGGUGCACUAAUGUCUGCUGUGUACGAAGAGAAAAAGGAUGACGAUGGCUUUCUCUAUGUCACUUACAGCGGAGAGAACACAUUUGGAUCUCCAUAGAGAUCUCUUGCUGGAUAUUUCGUUUCUAUUUUACCUAUUUCGCCUGAGUAUUUCAUAUCUUAUUAUUAGUUAUCUAUGUACUACUUUCUCUAAGAACUUUAAGAUGGCCGUUAAUGUGUACAGAGAACAUAAAAAUAAUGUAGUAUAUAUAAUCUCAAAACCUACUUUGUCACGACUUGAUUGUGUUUUUUAUUUGACUUUCACUCAAUAAGCCGACAUAACAUGAUGCCCUGAUGUGCCACAGUAGUUACAGAGGCAAAAGAGUCUUAACUAAAUAGAACAGCAAUGGCCGGUUAUGGUACAAAAGGUCCCACAUUGUCGUUGACGGAGAGAGGAAGAGACGGUCGGACCAUGUUGCCUUGUUCUACUAACUCUCCACUCUGUCCAUGUUGAUUUUUGCUUCUUCAUGUUUAUUUGUCAAUCGUUAAAGCUUGCUCGAUUUAUGUAUUUAUGAGUGAUCCGUAAAGAUAUUAUCUCAUUCAAGGCGAGAAGGCCUCCUAACCAGUCACGUGAAACGUGAGACACGCGGUUGUGUCCUUAGGAAAAGAUAGGUACUUUGAAUAUUUAAGUGAAAGUUGAACGAAAAGGUUCAUAGCCAGUGUCUGUAAACUGAAUAGAUGGGGAUGUUAUCAUGUUAACGUAUGUAACAUGUCUAGUAGUGUCUUGAUAAGAAGAUGAAUGUCAUCUGAGUAUGACUUGCGAAUGUUACGUCAAACUAUUGUGUUAUAUGCUAAAUAUAUCUGAAUAAACUGCCGUGAAAUUGUACAAUAAAGAUGGGUUACGAGGGUAAGUAUAAGGUUUGCUAAUGGAAAAUGAGAGAUUGACCCCACACGAAGACUUAAGUAGACAAAAAGUUUGGCCGAUCAAGACACACCACUAUACAUCAAUAGAUACGUAUAUGUAAUGCAGAAAUGAAUGUGAAUAUGUUUGAAAAAAUGGACAAGAGAGAGAGAAGGUAAAAGAACAAGAGAGGAACAAGAGCAUGUUAUGGUAAUGAAGGACCCCCCCACCUGCAUUCAGUGCUUGUCUUUCUCUCUUUACUCUCUACAUUAACUUUCUUCUCACUACAAAUACUCCUUCCCUCUUCUCUUCUCUUCUCUUACACUUACAUUUGAAAAUAUAUUCGUCUUGCCACAUUAUAUAAGUAUUUAAGGAAAAAGAAGAAAAAGAGAGUCAUGUCUUGGUCUGUGAGGAGUGGAUUUGGGUUGGUAUUCUGUUUCAUUCUUCUGCUUUUGGCAUCCAAUGUUGGAUGUGCUAAUGCUCGUCGUCUAGGAUUUCACAAGCAUCAUCACAAGAUCCAAAAGGUUGCUUCUUCAGUACAAGACGUUGUCAAUGGUGGAGGGAGGAAGAGGGCUUUGGGUGGAGUAGAGACGGGGGGAGAAGUAGUAGUCAUGGAUUAUCCUCAGCCUCAUCGCAAGCCUCCCAUUCACAACGAGAAGGCUCACUGUACCUCUCUCUAUACAUCAUAUGAUCACGAGACUGUUACAUGCAUAUGCAUUCACCAUGACAUUCUUGAACUAUAUUCAUUACCAACUUCUUUUAUUCUCGCUUCCUUCGUUCUAUAAAACAAACAAGCUGCACCUCUCCCUUAUAAAUAUACUGUAUUUCAUGUGGAAGUAGCUUUAGUAGUACGUAACGAACAUUCUUCUGCUUAUAAUAUACUGUAUUUCAUGUGGAAUGAGCUUACUUUAGAACUCUUCACCACCAUUUUAGCUCUAAGUAGCUUUAGCAGUACGUAACCAACAUCAUCAUUACAGAGAAUACCAAUCAAUGUCGGUGAGAGGUACAAAACCCUCACUGCAGCUCAAAACUUAGCUAAUGGUAUAUAGUACCGACCGUAUACUUCUGGUUAAAUUAGGAUGGAAGACGGGAAUAAUAUUGUUAAAACAGACUCCAACUAUGAAUGGUUUCACAAAAUCAAUGAAUUCAGAUGUCCUGACGCCGAGCUUCAGAUCAAUCUCUCCACUGCCCAACCAGAAGAAGGCCGGUCUAAGUUUGGUUAUGGCCUCAUCCAGUAUCACCUAAAAGUUUCCCAAAACCCAUCCAACUCAUCAGUGCUGCUCAAAUGUCAACAUAGUAAACCAUAUUUAAUUUUCACAUCAAAAUCAAUCCAAAAUGCCUAGAAAAAAGUCUAAACAUGAAGCAUUUCAUACAUAUCUCCACGAAAGGAACUUCCAACUCUAUGUUUACUUUCCAAAUAACAUUUUGUUCUGCACAGACCGAACUGGAAUCCAAUGGUCUUUUUUUAUCAUGAGAACACAAGCAACAGAACUGAAUACUCAAAAGGGAAAACUCACUAAUACUUAAAAGAUGAUUUUGAUGUGUCACAGAUACAGUAGGAUGAAUAGUGUUUUGUCUGAAGUGGGCCACUUCUGCAUAAGAGAAGGAGGAAUACACAUCAAUGCAGUAGGGUAUGAGCCUACUAAGAUUAUUUCUGCACACUCAACAAAAAUAACGCCAUUUAAGUCUCUAACUGCUAGUAUUAGCAGUUCAAAGAAAGGGCUGUUUGCGAUAUAAUACGUGGCAGCGUCAGCGUCAGCAUUUUUUUUUUUUUUACACUUUUCGGUUAAGAACUGGUUUUUAUAUAUUUAAGAACCGGUUCUUAGCUUUUCUUAGUUAAAAGUUAAGAAAUGAUUCUUAACCAAAACUAAGAACCCCACCCUAAGAACCCGGGUUAAUCAUGGUCUAACGCUAGUAUUAGCAGUUCAAAGAAGGCAUCGGACCGUAAAAAAAGUGGUUCUAGUUUUUCAUAACGGCAAAAAUACUAAAGAAAAUGAGUGGUACAAACAGAAGCUGGCUCGCAAGAAAAAACUUUAACUAAUUUUGGGCCCGUAUCAAAUGCAAACAGUGUUAAAAUGUACCACACCUCCAUUACAGACUUAAAGAAACAACCCAAAAAAAAAACUAGCUGUCAGACCUUCGGGGCCUCUGUGACAAUUAGGACAGGCAUGUCUGGGAAACGCUUGGCAAGAACAUGUGUGGUAAAGGGAAAACUCUCUGUAACUAUUUAUGAACACAGAAGACAACACAAAACUGUUUGUCUAGGAGAAGAAAACACAAGUGGGCAGAGGUUAUUAUCAUGCUAAUCCUCAUAUCUUACACAUGUCUAAUAUAUAAUUAACAGUGUAGCAGCAAUGAGCAAGUACCAAGAGAUAAUCACCAGAGCAUGGCAAAGUCGGUCAGCUUCAGACAGAUUUGAUUCUACAACGGAAAUAAAAGUUUAAUCGACGUCUCCUCAGGAGCAAGUCUUACUACACAAAGAUUAGAGAAAGCCUGUCAACAAAGGGAAGCAAGGUAUAACCUUCAAUAUCACCAUUAUAUAAAAAAGAGUCACUAACGAUUAAAUCGUUUCUUUGGGAUCUUGCCCUCGUUUAGAGGAUAAAGAAAGUUCUUCGCUGCAUCAUGGACGUUAAAUCUAGCAGAGUACUGCCAUAGGAAAAAUAAAUAAAAAAAUAGUAGGUGGUCAGAUGAAUACAGUUAAAAAACGAAUUAAAUGUGAGAAUAUAUGCUAGGAACCAUUAGGAGCACCUAAACAACAACCACAUAGUAUUUAGAGUUGUUGCGAUCACUGCAAUCCAAAAUGUUUGAUGAAGCUUGAGUAUUAACCUGCAUUAGUAAACAUUUGGUGAUACGAAAAGAAACCACCUUCAAUAGCAUAGAUACGCUUUGCCUUUGCAACAUGAUUCAACAAGUGUAACAUGAAACUCUAUCCGAGGGCAAAAAAAAAAAAAAAAUGAAUCCAAGGAUGAAAAUGCUCUUGCAGAGAUGGUGGACAGAGGAAGAGCCGAGAAUGUUGCGGCGGGAUUCGAGAGUCCAGUCCUAGUAAUUGGGCUUUCAACUUAGUAGUAUUUGAGCGUCAAUCUAUUCCAUUAGAGUCUUAUGUGAUUGUAGAUUUUCUUCAAGUAAGUUGGCUCGAGCUCAACACCAACUAUCAAUACUUUAACCUUGGUCCAAAAAUCUUAUGUGACUGUAUAAGGUUCUCAUGUAACCGCAGCGGUUGCGAUUGCGGUUGUGGGAGUUUGCGGAUGCGGGUGGUUGUGAUUUUAAACGGGUUAAAGAAAUUUGUACUGCAGUUAGAAAUAUAGAAUCACAAGUAAUAAGAAGUCCUUCUAUUAUUCAAUCACAAAGUUCUCAAAUCACAAAUCACAAAUCACAAAUCAUAUGUUAUGCAACACAAUAUGCAUCUCCAUAUAUAUAGAACUAGAUAACUCCUAAUUCUAAUAGUAUUAUCACAAUCCAUAUUUCCUAAUUCUUUUAGAUAAUUAUAACUCAAUAAGAAAAGGAAACUUGCAAGUCAAGCUUAUCCAACAAUUUUCCCCGUAAGCUUGAAUUCGCCUUCAUCCACGUUCUUGACCCCGAUCAAAUUCCUCAUCUCGACAAACUUGGUUCUUCCCAAUGACUUGGUUAGUAUGUCUGCUCGCUGCUCACUUCCUGGCACAUGUUCCACUUCAGUUCGCUCUUUCUCAACACAUUCGCGUAUAAAGUGGAACCUUCAGUGUAUAUGUUUACUUCGGCCGUGAAAAACAUGAUUUUUCGUCGAGCAAUUGCAGAUUUGUUAUCCACCAUUAUCUUCACUUUCUCGCAAAUCUUUCCUAUGACCUCACCAAGUAAUUCUUGCAACCAUAUCGCUUGCUUUGCUGCCUCUGUAGCAGCCAUGAAUUCUGCCUCACAUGAUGAUAGAGCAACAAUCUCUUGCUUCUGUGAACACCACAUUAUUGGACUGUCAUCGAGAUAGAAUAUGUGACCUGUAGUGCUCUUACCAUCAUCUUCAUCGACGUUAUGAGAGCUAUCACUGAAUCCGACCACUUCUAACUUUGACUGCCUUGAAUACAAAACACCUAAAGAGACACUUCCUCGUACGUAUCUCAGUACUUGCUUUAAUGCUUCACCAUAUGAUUCCUUUGGUUCCUGCAUGUAUCGGCUUAGUAGUCCCACGCUAAAAGACAGGUCCGGACUAGUGUGCAAUAAGUACUGCAUGCAACCUAUGUUCCUUUUGUACUAUGUUUCAUCAACACCUCUUUCUGCAGGUGACUUGGACAGCUUUAUGUUGAAGUCCAUAGGAACAUGAGUUAAGUUGCACGUGCCCAUACCGCCUUCCUCAAGGAGCUUCAUCGCAUAUCGGCUUUGUUUCAAUGUAAUACCUCUGUCGAACUGAUGUACUUCAAUGCCCAAGUAAUAUGUCAAUCUUCCAAGGUCACUCAUCUCAAACACAAUUGCCAUACUUCUCUUAAAGUCAACGAAGACACCUGAUGAGCAAGUCAUCGACAUAUACUACCACGAUGAAAGUUCAACCCAACAAGAAUCUUGUUUAGCUUAGCAUUCCAUGCUCGAGGCGCUUGCUUCAAACCAUACAAAGCUUUUCUUAACUGAUAAACUUUCCCUUCUGGUCAUGCGAUCACAAAGGCCUCAGGCUGUGCAAUGAAUACUUCUUCCUUUAGUUCACCAUGCAAGAAUGUGGUUUUCACGUCGAGGUGAUGUAUCUUCCAACCAGAUGAAGCGGCCAACGAGAUAACUAGACGAAUUGUCUCGAGCAACUGGAGCGAAGACUUCGUCAUAGUCGAUCCCAUGUUUCUGAACGUAACCUUUAGCUACUAACCGCGCUUUGUAUUUGAUGAUACUUCCGUCGGCAUUACAUUUUAUUUUGAAUACCCACUUCAAUCCGAUCGGCUUCACUCCUUUAGGUAAAUCAACUAGGAUCCAUGUAUUGUUCUUCUCAAUUGAACUUAUCUUGUCUAAACACGCAUCGAUCCAGACCUGUAGCUUCCUUGCCUCUGUAAAAUCCCAUGGCUCAUCGUUGAUGACCAUGAGAAGGCGUUCACAUUCUUCAUCGGCUAAGAGGACGUAAUCUUCUAAGUACAAAGGUUUAUUGCUUACUCUUGUUGAUCGUCUUGGUUGUACCUGAGGUUGAUCAGUAUCAGCAUCAUCAUCUUCUUCUUCUUCUUCUAUUUCACUAGUUGGAAUAAUACUUUCAUUGUCUCCUACUGCUCUUGUCUCAUGAGUUUCUCUAUUGUCAUCGAGUGUCUUCAGUUCAAACUCAAAGGUACCGGAGUUAUCAUCUUCUCUCGCCUCCUCUGCUUUCCAAUUCCAACUUUGGUCUUCCUUGAAAACUACAUUGCGGUUUACGACAAUCUUUCUCUUCGAUGGGUCUAAAAGGCGAUAGGCUUUAGACCAUGUCUCUGUCCCGAGAUGCACUAGACGUCUAGAUUGAUCAUCAAGCUUCUUCCUUCCUGUUGUAUCACUUGUAGCAUAGCACACACACCCAAAUACUCAUAGGUGAUCGAGAUUUGGCUUCUUGUCCCGAAGAGCUUCAUAUGGUGUAUUUCCCUUUAGCGAUCUUGUCGCAAGUCGAUUGAUCAAAUAGGUAGCAUCUCGUACUGCCUCUCCCCACAAGAAUUUUGGAACACUCAUGUGUUUUAAUAUGCUUCUGGUCAUCUCUAAUAGCAUACAAUUCCGUCUCUCGACAACUCCGUUAUGUUGAGGAGAGUAUGGUGUUGUAAGAUGUCUCCUGAUACCAUGUCGAUCACAAUAGGUUUCAAACUCAUGAGAUAUGAACUCACCGCCUCUGUAUGUUCUCAACGUCUGGAUUGUAGCCUUUGUCUCCUGUUCGACCAUCACCUUAAAACGCUUGAAGCUUUCAAAAGCUUCACUCUUAUUUUUCAACAAAACGGUCCACAUAUAGCGAGAAAAAUCAUCAAUAAGAACAAAAAUGUAUCGUUUAUGUCCUGGGGUAGCAGGAGUAAUGGGUUCACAUAGGUCUCCAUGGAUGAGUUCAAUGGAUGGCUUGCUCGAUAUUGAGUUGUCUGUGGGUAUGGUUGUCUAGCUUGUUUUCCAAGUAAGCAAGACGCACAUGUUUCUUUUCCGACUGUGAUGUUUGGAAUGCCGGUGACAAGAUCUUUAUUUAUCAUCAGUUUCAUCGUCUCAACAUUGACGUGACCGAGUCGGGCGUGCCAUGUCGAUGAUUCAGUUGACGCUAUUUGCAAGUAUUGAAUAUUAUCCGUCUGCAAGGUGACUUUAUAAAGCCGAUUUCUUGAUCGUAUGCUCUCGAUCAUGAGAUGUCCACAGCGAUCGAAUAGCAUUAGCGUGUUACCUUUCAUUCGUACCUCGCAGCCAACUUCUGUGGCUUGUCCCAGACUCACAAUAUUGCUCUUCAAAGCUGGAAUAUAAUAUACGUCGUUUAGAACUUUUUUAGCACCUCCCGAGAAGACAAAUCGAAUGGAGCCCUUUCCUUUGAUAUCAACACGUGAAUCAUCCCCAAACCGCACUUUGCCUGUAAUUUUCUCGUCCAUUGUAUGAAAGAACAUACGAUUUCCACUCAUAUGGUUGCUUGCUCCAUUAUCAAGAUACCACAAGUUCUUGUUAUCAUGACCAGAAUCGUAGAUGCUCAGGUUGACCUUUUGUUCAUUGAGGUAGACUACCUCAUGCACUAUUAGCUCAUCGGCCUCUUGAGUAUCAUCACCUUUCUUCUCAAUAGUUUCUUGAAGCUUAAGUAAUUUGUCCGGACAUCAUUUGCGUAGUGUCCAAGCUUAUCGCACUUGAAGCACGCAAUGUGUGAAGCGUCCCAUUGAGUUCCUUGUCGAUAAGCGUCACGUUGUUGUUGAAAUUGCUAUAUCUACCACGACCUCAGCCUCUCCGCGAGUUAUAUCGACCUCCACGUCCUCGACCUCCGCGUCCUCCAUAUUGAUCUUGUUGUGACUCCGUAUUGGAGUACAACAAUUUGGUUUUAUCAUCUUGUAUGAUGAAAACCUCCCGAGGAGUCGACACUCUAAGUUGGUAAAGGGGAUAAGCCUUGCUGCUAUGAAACCGUAAAGCUUCAAAGACAAGGGAUGUGGAGUGAAUGGUCACACGAAGGAUGCGGAAGGCCAUCGAUAUUCCAACUCAAUGACCUAGGAUAUGACGCACCUAGACGACAAUGAGGAUGAUUCCCUGGAUAUGACGCACCAGGACGAAUCGGUUUGAUCCCUUGGAUAUGACUCACCAAGACGGAUCAAAAAUAUCAAUGGAUAUUACACACCAUUGAAAGAAAAGUGAGAAUCACUCUCAAGGUUCCAAAAAUAAUCACUCAAAGCUUAUUUUAUUUCAAUGGAGAUUACAACUUAUUUAUAAGAGAGUAAACUUGUUCACAAAGCUAUAUAUUUAUUACAUUGGAAAUCAUAAAACUAGUGCAUGGAGGAGAGAGAGUGUUUUUGAAACAAGCAUUCCUUGCAUGUAGGAGAGAGAAGCUUUUCAUGCAAUUAACCACCUAAUUUUCGUCACUCUCUUUGGACAGCAAAGAAACCAUUUGAUUUUGAAUCUUCUUGGGCUUGUAACUUGAUAAAAAUGGGUUGGACAUGUUAACUAACAUCUUGGGUCAAUUUCUGAAUGUCUUCCAUGUCCAUAGCUUCAUAUAUGAGCCCAAUAUCACAGCAUACUCCUCCUCUUCAAAAAGAUUUGUCCUCAAAUCUUGCUCUCCAAAGAAAGAAAAACUUGAACACACACUUCCAAAUGAUCCAGCAGAUUUGAAAAACAUAAAUAAUAAAACUCUUUUUUUUCUUUGUUUGUAGAAGAUGAAUAGAUGAGAAUGGUGGAUAACAGAAGUGAAUACCAAACUCAGAGUGUUGCUCUGAUACCAAAUGAUAAAAAAACCUCCCAAGGAAUACACUCUGAAAUUGGUAAGGGAUAAGUAAUGAGAUCCUAGGACUCUUCUCUGGAUGGUUUUGGAUAGAUCAUUGCAUAAACGAAUCAAAAACUCAAGUUUAUCAAGGCUGUGGAUCGUAUGGUGACACAAGAGGCUGCGGAAAGGCUUCUUGAUACUCCUAGGCUUAGAUCGGAUAUGACACACCUUUCUAAAGCCCUUGGGUGUUGGAUAUUACACACCAACAGACUAGAGAUUACACACCUGACGCUCUCUUAACUCGUGAAAGCAAAGGGAGAAGAAAACACAAAGGUUUUAAGUGAAAGAAGACUUGAUAGAUUGCUAGGGUUGCCGUCACACACAUAUAUAUAGUGAAAGGCUUGGAACAGGCUCCAAGCAUUUCAAAACUAAAGGAACACACUCCUUUAAUAAUGUAGAAACAAAGACAUAACUUAGAUAGAGUUUUUUUUUUGAAAAUAAAAGACAUAAGUACUUAGAAAUAAAAGAUAACAUAAGGUUCUUCAUGUGGUUUGGUCCGAGAGUAUCAACUAGGUGAUGUGUUAGCAAGACUAUGGCCUCGUUAAAAACCUAUCAUUGCAAAACCCAGUGGGACAAAAACAAUGACAGGAAAAGAGCACACAUAGCUUGCUAGCCUAGAUGAUACUCAGCUUGAUGGUAAGAUGGCUUGAAUGAUAAUGAGUGUGUCUUGAUGUAUCAAGCUUCCUCCAAGACAUUCUUCUUGCUCCAAAGACUUCCUGAUUAAUCCUCCAAUAGCUUCUUUGAGUUUCCUGGUUCUGGCUCGAGUUAUGGGACCUUCAGGAAUAGUUAAGACAUCUUCUUCAGCUAGUUCAUCUCUAAGCUCUCCAUCUCUAUCUCCAUCAACUGGCUGGUCCAUGAUCAUAUCAUCCCCUCCCUCUUGAAAAGGAUUUGACCUCAAAUCAGGUUCAUCUGCAAUAAAAUGGAUCAAGUCAGUAACAUUGAAGCUAUUACUCACAUCAUACUUACCUUGGAGAUCAAUCUUGUAGGCAUUGUUGCUGAUCUUCCUUGUGAUCUCAAAAGGUUCAUCAAUUCUCGGCAUAAGCUUGGACUUCCUCUCAUUAGGAAACCUCUCUUUUCUUAGAUGAACCCAGACUUGGUCACCCUCUUUAAAGACCAUCUCAUUCCUUCCUUUGUUGGCAUGCUUGACAUACUGCUUAGUUUUCUCUUCAAUGUUGAGCCUAGCCUGCUCGUGGAGUUGUUUCACUAUCUCUGCCUUAUUUUUGCCAUCCAAACUGACCCUUUCACACUCAAGUAAAGGGGUUAAAUCCAAAGGAGAGGUGGAGUUGAUUUUCAAAUGUCAAAGCUAUUCUGAAGUAAAGAAGAUUCAAAUAGCCACUGCUGAGUUUUAUGGUUAUGCUUCAAGCUGGUGGAAUCAAUUGGUGUCGUCUAGGAGACAUUGGAAAAGAACCAGUUGCAACAUGGCUUAAGUUAAGGGCUUUGAUGCGUCAUAAGUAUGUUCCCAGACAGUACCACAAGGGAGUCCUUCGAAAGCAGUCUGAGGCAAGGCUAUGUUCUUCAAUCUUGGAUCGGAAACAACAAGGAAGCAUGAGAUCAACUCCAACCAGUGUCAUUAGUUUAUCUAGAAAAACAACAAGCCGGGUCAGUAAGGAGGACAUCAAGGAGCUUUCUCAGUUGAUUAAGGACGUGGGGAAACCACUCAAGAGAACCAAUACAACACGACCAUUCAUUGAAGCACAACAUCAAGAACCAGUUACUACUGUCUCAGAACUCCAAGUUGAAGAGCCGGUAUCAAUUCAUCAAUUCUCGGCAUAAGCUUGGACUUCCUCUCAUUAGGAAACCUCUCUUUUCUUAGAUGAACCCAGACUUGGUCACCCUCUUUAAAGACCAUCUCAUUCCUUCCUUUGUUGGCAUGCUUGACAUACUGCUUAGUUUUCUCUUCAAUGUUGAGCCUAGCCUGCUCGUGGAGUUGUUUCACUAUCUCUGCCUUAUUUUUGCCAUCCAAACUGACCCUUUCACACUCAAGUAAAGGGGUUAAAUCCAAAGGAGAGGUGGAGUUGAUUUUCAAAUGUCAAAGCUAUUCUGAAGUAAAGAAGAUUCAAAUAGCCACUGCUGAGUUUUAUGGUUAUGCUUCAAGCUGGUGGAAUCAAUUGGUGUCGUCUAGGAGACAUUGGAAAAGAACCAGUUGCAACAUGGCUUAAGUUAAGGGCUUUGAUGCGUCAUAAGUAUGUUCCCAGACAGUACCACAAGGGAGUCCUUCGAAAGCAGUCUGAGGCAAGGCUAUGUUCUUCAAUCUUGGAUCGGAAACAACAAGGAAGCAUGAGAUCAACUCCAACCAGUGUCAUUAGUUUAUCUAGAAAAACAACAAGCCGGGUCAGUAAGGAGGACAUCAAGGAGCUUUCUCAGUUGAUUAAGGACGUGGGGAAACCACUCAAGAGAACCAAUACAACACGACCAUUCAUUGAAGCACAACAUCAAGAACCAGUUACUACUGUCUCAGAACUCCAAGUUGAAGAGCCGGUAUCAAAUGAACAUAUUCAAGAAGAUCAAGCCAAAGAAUCAUCACCUACCAUUCAGAAAGAAGAGCAACCAGUUCAGGACGUGAUGGUUACUAUCAUUCAGGAUGUGAAAGAAGAUGAGGCUGAGGCCCCUCCUCUCAUUAGGAAACCUCUCUUUUCUUAGAUGAACCCAGACUUGGUCACCCUCUUUAAAGACCAUCUCAUUCCUUCCUUUGUUGGCAUGCUUGACAUACUGCUUAGUUUUCUCUUCAAUGUUGAGCCUAGCCUGCUCGUGGAGUUGUUUCACUAUCUCUGCCUUAUUUUUGCCAUCCAAACUGACCCUUUCACACUCAAGUAAAGGGGUUAAAUCCAAAGGAGAGGUGGAGUUGAUUUUCAAAUGUCAAAGCUAUUCUGAAGUAAAGAAGAUUCAAAUAGCCACUGCUGAGUUUUAUGGUUAUGCUUCAAGCUGGUGGAAUCAAUUGGUGUCGUCUAGGAGACAUUGGAAAAGAACCAGUUGCAACAUGGCUUAAGUUAAGGGCUUUGAUGCGUCAUAAGUAUGUUCCCAGACAGUACCACAAGGGAGUCCUUCGAAAGCAGUCUGAGGCAAGGCUAUGUUCUUCAAUCUUGGAUCGGAAACAACAAGGAAGCAUGAGAUCAACUCCAACCAGUGUCAUUAGUUUAUCUAGAAAAACAACAAGCCGGGUCAGUAAGGAGGACAUCAAGGAGCUUUCUCAGUUGAUUAAGGACGUGGGGAAACCACUCAAGAGAACCAAUACAACACGACCAUUCAUUGAAGCACAACAUCAAGAACCAGUUACUACUGUCUCAGAACUCCAAGUUGAAGAGCCGGUAUCAAAUGAACAUAUUCAAGAAGAUCAAGCCAAAGAAUCAUCACCUACCAUUCAGAAAGAAGAGCAACCAGUUCAGGACGUGAUGGUUACUAUCAUUCAGGAUGUGAAAGAAGAUGAGGCUGAGGCCCCCAUGGAACCACAAUCAGACCGUGGACUGAAUCAACUGAUUGUCUUUGAUCUGUCUGAUUUCCAAAAGACAUUCUUGAGUACUUUUCUGAUCAGUCCCUUUGUUUGGAACAAGACCAGAGCAGUGGAGCUUUCAAGACACGAAUUGGGGAUGAAGCAAUUUGUAUUUGAGCCUGGAGGAGAGUUGUGUAAUCUCAGGAACAAGAACAAACUGAUUGAGAAAAAAUCAGCUACAUCAACAAUUGAUUUUGUUGACUUCUCAUCGUCUGAAGAUAAGGUGUUGCACGUCUCAUCUCAGCAAGACUUUCACUACAAAACCAAUUGUAGAAUGUUUACCACUCAGUCCUUGAUCCAACAAACCAGACCACGCAGUAAAUGGCCUCCUGAUCAUCAAGAUAUUGCCAAUUUUGCAAAACACAUCGAUUUGGAUCAAUUCCGUGAGAUACUUAUAUCUGAUUGGGUUGGAAGGUUACAGACCUACUUGUGGAGACCUGGAGAAUAUGUCAGCAUAUUUAUCUUCCUUGAAGAGCACUUUGCCCGUGCUAGAAUCAUCUUGGGUUAUAAGGAGUUGGAAGCAGGUCAAAACGCCUUGCUUCUCGACCAUGUCAAGAUAUGGAAGCCACCAGAUAUGCAGCAGCUUCAGCACCAUUACAAAGAUUAUCAAACCAUGAGUGGAGAUGGAGGAUUCACUGGAGAAAAUGGUGAAGUAAUUACUGGAUCAGAAGAAGAACUCAUGGUUUCUUCUCAAAUCAAGGAGAAACCACCAGAUCAACUUAGCUUAUAACAAACUCCAAAGCAACCAACCCGAGGUCAGACUAUUUUGAGGUCUACACUUUUCGAAAAGAAGGGUUCUAAUGAUCAGAGUAUCAAUGAUGAGUCCCUGGCUAAGUUGGAGAAGCAACAAGCUUUCCCCUGAGAAGCUUUGGACAUGAUUCCAAUUCACCGUGAGCCCCUGAUGAGUUAAGUUUCCAUGGAAGUUUAGUUUGUUGCUUUCUUCCCUUUGGUUAUUGAGAUAUGAUCCUUGGACUGCUCCUAUGUCAAAGCUGGCAGCUAGACAGUUUUCAAGGUUUGCUUGUUGCUUCUCCAACUUAGCCAAGGACUCAUCAUUGAUACUCUGGUCAUUAGAACCCUUCUUUUCAAAAAGUGUAGACCUCAAAAUAGUCUGACCUCGGGUUGGUUGCUAGAUAUUGCCAAUUUUGCAAAACACAUCGAUUUGGAUCAAUUCCGUGAGAUACUUAUAUCUGAUUGGGUUGGAAGGUUACAGACCUACUUGUGGAGACCUGGAGAAUAUGUCAGCAUAUUUAUCUUCCUUGAAGAGCACUUUGCCCGUGCUAGAAUCAUCUUGGGUUAUAAGGAGUUGGAAGCAUAAGCUAAGUUGAUCUGGUGGUUUCUCCUUGAUUUGAGAAGAAACAAUGAGUUCUUCUUCUGAUCCAGUAAUUACUUCACCAUUUUUUCCAGUGAAUCCUCAACCUCCACUCAUGGUUUGAUAAUCUUUGUAAUGGUUCAUGUCAAGAUAUGGAAACCACCUGAUAUGCAGCAGCUUCAGCACCAUUACAAAGACUAUCAAACCAUGAGUGGAGAUGGAGGAUUCACUGGAGAAAAUGGUGAAGUAAUUACUGUGGCUUCCAUAUCUUGACAUGGUCGAGAAGCAAGGCGUUUUGACCAGCUUCCAACUCCUUAUAACCCAAGAUGAUUCUAGCACGGGCAGAGUGCUCUUCAAGGAAGAUAAAUAUGCUUGUUUCUUCUCAAAUCAAGGAGAAACCACCAGAUCAACUUAGCUUAUAACAAACUCCAAAGCAACCAACCCGAGGUCAGACUAUUUUGAGGUCUACACUUUUCGAAAAGAAGGGUUCUAAUGAUCAGAGUAUCAAUGAUGAGUCCCUGGCUAAGUUGGAGAAGCAACAAGCAAACCUUGAAAACUGUCUAGCCGCCAGCUUUGACAUAGGAGCAGUCCAAGGAUCAUAUCUCAACAACCAAAGGGAAGAAAGCAACAAACUCGACUUCCACGGAAACUUAACUCAUAAGGGGCUCACGGCGAAUUGGAAUCAUGUCCAAAGCUUCUCAGGGGAAAUAGUACAACUCUCCUCCAGGCUCAAAUACAAAUUGCUUCAUCCCCAAUUUGUGUCUUAAAAGCUCCACUGCUCUGGUCUUGUUCCAAACAAAGGGACUGAUCAGAAAAGUACUCAAGAAUGUCUUUUGGAAAUCAGACAGAUCAAAGACAAUCAGUUGAUUCAGUCCACGGUCUGAUUGUGGUUCCAUGAGGGCCUCAGCCUCCUCUUCUUUCACAUCCUGAAUGAUAGGAACCAUCACGUCCUGAACUGGUUGCUCUUCUUUCUGAAUGGUAGGUGAUGAUUCUUUGGCUUGAUCUUCUUGAAUAUGUUCAUCUGAUACCGGUUCUUCAACUUGGAGUUCUGAGACAGUAGUAACUGGUUCUUGCAGUUGUGCUUCAAUGAAUGGUCGUGUUGUAUUGGUUCUCUUGAGUGGUUUCCCCACGUACUUAAUCAACUGAGACAGCUCCUUGAUGUCCUCCUUACUGACCCGGUUUGUUGUUUUGCUAGAUAAACUAAUGACACUGGUUGGAGUUGAUCUCAUGGUUCCUUGUUGUUUCCGAUCCAAGAUUGAAGAACAUAGCCUUGCCUCAAACUGCUUUUGAAGGACUUCCUUGUGGUACUGUCUGGGAACAUACUUAUGAUGCAUCAAAGCCCUCAAUUUAAGCCAGGUUGCAACUGGUUCUAUUCCAUAGUGUCUCCUAGACGACACCAAUUGAUUCCACCAGCUUGAAGCAUAACCAUAAAACUCAGCAGUGGCUAUUUGAAUCUUCUUUACUUCAGAAUAGCUUUGACAUUUGAAAAUCAACUCCAUCUUCUCUUCCCAUUCCACAUAUGCAGUAGGAUCAGCCUCCCCAAGGAAAGAAGGGAUUUGAAAUUUCAAUCCAGCAUGCUUCUGGUUUCUGUCCAUCUGAUCAAACUCCUUUUUCUUGUACUCAUCUCUGGAUGAUCUGCUUUUCCUUUGCUGCUGUAUGUCUUGUCUGAAUUUUCUCAUUUGAUCUUUGCAGACUUUAUCCAGAAUGACCGUGAAUUCUUCAAGAAAAAACUUAUCUUUCUUGCUGAGUUCUCCUUUUUGAUCUCCUGCCAUGGUACCUGAGACCGAAAACAACACGCAGCAGUAACAAGUUCUACAGAGAAAACAAAAAUAAUCAAUUUGCAAAACAAAAAAACAGAUUCAAAUCGAAACUUAAAACCUUAAACAACUCUGAUUAAUUUCGAUCCCAGCCUGAUUAUUCUUACUCUUAACAGACCAAAACGAAAAUAAUAAACCCAAACACAAGCAGAUUCGAAAUCAGAUUCAAUAAGAUCAAACCUAAAUUCCUCUGAUCAAUUUCGAACUCAACCAAAGACAAGUACAAAUCAAAACUUGAGCAAUACGGAACAGAUUUAAACAGAUCAGACUUGUGAGAAGAGAGGGAGAGAGAGAUCACAAAAUCAGGUUCAGUUUCAGGCUUUGAGUUGUAAAAAUUCAGAAUAGAACAGAUUCACAACAACAGAAACAGAUCAACUCAGUUUAACAACAGAAACAUAUCACAGCAAAUUAAAAACUUUCUGAUCAAGGAUGUGAAGAGUCUAAACACAGAAAUCAGAUCAAGAAACCCUAUUUUAUCAGAGUUUUGUCAUAGAACACAGAUCAACACGAAAUCAAAGUGAAUAUGAAAGAACAGAAACAAAUUCGUGAUCAAAACACUCAGAUUUAUCAGUUUUCAACAACAGAAACAUAGCUCGAUCAAAACUGAACAAGAAGAUGAACAUAUCAAAUCGAAAACUUUAGAGAAAACAUAAACUUCCCUUCCAGAGUUACUCUGAUACCACAUAAUGAAAACCUCCCGAGGAGUCGGCACUCUAAGUUGGUAAAGGGGAUAAGCCUUGCUGCUAUGAAACCGUAAAGCUUCAAAGACAAGGGAUGUGGAGUGAAUGGUCACACGAAGGAUGCGAAAGGCCAUCGAUAUUCCAACUCAAUGCCCUAGGAUAUGACGCACCUAGACGACAAUGAGGAUGAUUCCCUGGAUAUGACGCACCAGGACGAAUCGGUUUUAUCCCUUGGAUAUGACGAACCAAGACGGAUCGAAAAUAUCAAUGGAUAUUACACACCAUUGAAAGAAAAGUGAGAAUCAUUCUCAAGGUUCCAAAAAUAAUCACUCAAAGUUUAUUUUAUUUCAAUGGAGAUUACAACUUAUUUAUAAGAGAGUAAACUUGUUCACAAAGCUAGAUAUUUAUUACAUUGGAAAUGAUAAAACUAGUGCAUGGAGGAGAGAGAGUGUUCUUGAAACAAGCAUUCCUUGCAUGUAGGAGAGAGAAGCUUUCCAUGCAAUUAACCACCUAAUUUUCGUCACUCUCUUUGGACAGCAAAGAAACCAUUUGAUUUUGAAUCUUCUUGGACUUGUAACUUGAUAAAAAUGGGGUGGCCAUGUUAGCUAACAUCUUGGGUCAAUUUUUGAAUGUCUUCCAUGUCCAUAGCUUCAUAUAUGAGCCCAAUAUCACAUCAUUGUAGCUCCUCCUCUUCUUCUCCUAUUCGUUCUUCAUAUGCUUUCAAUCUCUCAACAAUAUCUUCAAAACUUGUGGUGUUGAGAUCGAGAACUUGUUCCAAAGAUGCAACAAUGUGGAUAUAUCUUCUUCUCGGUAAGCUUUUAAGAAAUUUCUUCACAAUUUUGGGUUCUUCAAUGAUCUCCCCUAGCGAGGCUGACUUCGAAGAAAUCUCUGAUAGCUUUCCAACGAUUACAUCGAUUGUAUCUUCUUAUUUCAUCUUAAGUCUAUCAAACUCUGCCAUUAGGGUUUGUAGUCUUGCUUCUCUAACUCUCUCAGCUCCAACAUGUCGGGUUUUAAUCGCAUUCCAAAUUGUUUUAGCUUUAUCUAGGUCACCAACUUGUAGUGUUAAGGCCUCGGGUAUAGAAUGAAAUAGCAAGGCAAUAGCCAUAUCAUUCUUUUCUUCAGCUUUACUUCCGGGGUCUAUAGCCUCCCACGCUUUGUUGACCUUGAGUGCUAUCUUCAUACGCAUAGCCCACACCGCAUAGUUUGAGGAGUUUAGCAUUGGAAAUUUUAUGGAGGAGGGGCCGGUUUCUUUGAUCUUCAUCGCAUUAAUAUCUUCUGUCUCAUCUCCCAUCGUUUUAAUUUUGUAGUUUGUGUGGCUCUGAUACCAAAUAUAGAAUCAUAAGUAAUAAGAAGUCGUUCUCUUAUUCAAUCACAAGUCUUAUCUUAUGUUAUGCAACACAAAAUGCAUCUCCAUAUAUAUAUAACUAGAUAACUCCUAAUUCUAAUAGUAUUAUCACAAUCCAUAUUUCCUAAUUCUUUUAGAUAAUCAUAACUCAAUAAGAAAAUUAAACUUGCAAGUCAAGCUUAUCAAACAAGAAACUGGUGCGUUUGCGGGAUACUUAUGACUGGUUAGCCACUAAAUACGACAACAGUUAAAUAAUAAAUAAAUAAUAUUUACAUUUUAUAUAAUUAUAAAAGUAUUAAACAUUAUAAUAUUAUAAUAAAUAUAAAAAUUGUAUUUUAAAUUUUUUAAAACUAAUAGAAAUAGAAAAUAAUUUUAUUUAAAAAAAUUAUAAUAUAAAUUAAAAUAUGAUAGAUACAUUUUAGUAUUUUUAUUAUUUCAAUUUUUAUUUUUAUUUUUAUUUUUGUAUUUAUAUGUAUAUUGUUUUUAAAAAAAUGAAAUUUUUUUUUACCCUCCCGUAACUGCAAACGCUAGAUGAAACCAACUUUUAAAUUUAAAAGGUUUAGAACGGUUUGAAGCGGUUUAGAGCGGUUUGAGUAAUUAUUGUAAAACGUUAACAACCACUACAAACCGCAAAAACUAGGUUUGUGGUUGGUAGAAAAGAAACCUGUCAUGCCCUAGGUCUGGCUACUCCCGACGCAGUAGGAUCUCAUAUCGUUUAGGCGACGCGAUUCCACGUUAGCCCAAAUCAACAAAUCUGGGCCCAUUUAGUGCCCACUGCAUUCCUUUACAAUGAUGACUCUUUGGACAGUACAUGUGUAGUACAGCCACGGGCCACCGUACUCUAUCACGUUACAUGCCUUACGCCACGUGGAUGAAUCCAUUUUUCGGUGUUAAAAGCCAAUAGACCAUUGGACUCUUCUUAAAUUUAUAUAAAUAGACUCCAACCCGACGACAACGUUAAGACUAGCGAAAGAAAACGAUAAGAACAAAAACAAAAAAUGAUGAAGUGUUUGAUCUGUCUCUCUCUUAUCCUCCUCUCUCUCAUCUCCGUCGUGGAAAGUAAUCUUGGUGGCUGGAAGCAGAUUGAUUUAUCUGAUCUGAACAUUCAUUAAUCGCCACAACAAGAAAACAGCGAUAUUCUGACGGACAUUCUGACGGAAAAUGAAAUCCUCGGAAUAUCCCGAGGAACCACAAAAUUGGGUUUCCUCGGAAUUUCCUCGGAAUAUACCGACGGAAUUCCGAGGAAAUAUCAAUCCGUCGGAAUAUUCCGAGGAAAUUCCGAGGAAAAAUGGGUUCUUCGGAAAAAACCGAUGAAUUUUGAGGAAAUAUUAUAGCCGUUGGAGAGCCGUUGGGGGAUUUUACAAAAUUCCGAGGAAAUUCCGACAAACUAGCCUUUUCCGUCGGAAUUCCGUCGGAAUUUCCUCGGUCUGUCGGCAGGAUUUAAACUAUAAAUACAAGCACUCCUCUUCCUCUUCAUUCACUCCAUAUCUUCAUCCUCCCUCUUACUCUAUUUACACACGAAUUUGAUUCAUAAAAAAUAUGUCUUCUUCAAAUUAUUUUCGUUCUUGGAUCGAUCGACCUCAUUUGGAUCCGAACACGAGAUUGCUUACGGAAGAAUACCAACGAGGUAUAACCGAAUUCAUGGGGUUAGUUCACCGACAACCGGAAGAAAAAACAGGUAUGUUAAGAUGUCCUUGCUCUAAUUGUAAAAAUAGAAAGGUUAUUAAAGAGUGGGAUGUUUGGACUCAUCUAUAUUUGAGUGGGUUUACACGAAGUUACAAAAUUUGGUAUCAUCAUGGGGAAACUGAUUAUGAACAUGGUAGUACUAGCGAACCUCAGCCAGCGGUUAGAUUAGAAGAACCAAUUAGAACGGAUGUAGAUUAUGGUGUAGGUACUGAGCAGAUGGUAAAUGAUCAUUUUAGAGGGGAAGAUUUACCCAAUGCAGAAGCUAGGAGAUUUUAUGAUAUGUUGGAUGCUGGAAAGCAACCAUUGUACGAAGGUUGCAGAGAUGGUCAUUCAGCUUUAUCAUCUGCUACAAGAUUGAUGGGCAUUAAAACAGAUUAUAAUUUGGCUGAAGACUGUGUGGAUGCGAUUGCUGAUUUUGUAAAAGGUAUUCUACCCGAGGAUAAUGUAGCUCCUGGUUCAUACUACGAGGUUCAGAAACUCGUAGCUGGUCUUGGUUUAUCGUAUCAGGUAAUAGAUGUAUGCAGCGACAACUGCAUGAUUUAUUGGAGGGCGGAUGAACAGCGGGUUACAUGCAAAUUUUGUGGAAAGCCUCGUUAUAAAGAUACGAGUGGAAGAGUUCCAGUGCCAUAUAAAAGGAUGUGGUAUUUACCUUUGACGGAAAGGUUGCAGAGGUUGUAUCUGUCUGAACGCACAGCGCAACCAAUGAGAUGGCAUGCGGAGCACUCAACAGAUGGUGAGAUCAGACAUCCUUCAGAUGCAAAAGCGUGGAAGCAUUUCCAAUCAAAGUAUCCCGACUUUGCGUAUGAGAGAAGAAAUGUCUACCUUGGAUUAUGUACUGAUGGUUUCAGUCCGUUUGGCAAGAGUGGAAGACAGUAUUCUCUAUGGCCCGUCAUUCUUACACCAUACAACCUACCCCCAAACUUGUGCUUGCGACGAGAGUUUUUGUUUCUCUCGAUUCUCGUUCCCGGACCAGAGCAUCCUAAGAGAUCACUUGAUGUGUUUCUUCAGCCACUAAUAUAUGAGUUGCAACAACUAUGGGCUCAAGGUGCUGAAACAUACGAUGUUUCGUGUAAAGAAAACUUUCAAAUGCGGGCAGUACUAAUGUGGACAAUAAGUGAUUUUCCAGCAUAUGGUAUGUUGUCUGGAUGGACAACGCAUGGAAGGCUAUCAUGUCCAUAUUGUCAAGAUAACACUGAUGCUUUCCAACUAAAACACGGAAGGAAAACGUGUUGGUUUGACUGUCACAGGAGAUUCCUACCACCUGAUCAUCCAUAUCGUAGGAGUAGGAAUUUGUUUACGAAGAACAAGAGGGUGUUUGACAGUCCACCUCCGGAAAUUUGUGGGAAAGAUUUGAAGAUACAACUAAGAGAUUUUGGUGCAGAAAGGACGCCAGACGUCGGUGGACAUGAGCGUUUUCCGGUAGAUGCUGUUGGAGAACUACAUAACUGGCACAAAAAAAGUAUUUUCUGGGAUCUGCCAUACUGGGAGGAUCAUCUGCUAAGGCAUAAUUUAGAUGUCAUGCAUAUUGAGAAGAACUUUUUUGACAAUCUCAUGAACACGAUCCUUAAUGUUCAAGGUAAAACAAAGGAUAAUUUGAAGUCAAGACUGGAUUUAGUCGAUAUAUGUGCUCGUUCAGAACUUCAUGUUGAUGAGAAUGGUAGGGCUCCUUUUCCCAUAUACCGACUUGAUGCAGAGGGAAAAGAUGCGUUCUUUGAUUGGAUUUCAAACGAUGUGGAAUUUCCAGACGGUUACGCAUCAAAUUUGCGUAACUGUAUCGACAGAAAGGAAGGAAAGUUUACUGGCUUGAAAAGCCACGAUUGCCAUGUAAUGAUGCAGCGCCUCCUUCCGUUUGCCUUCAAGGAACUAUUACCACGAAAUGUUCAUGAAGCAAUUGCAGGGAUAAGUGGUUUCUUCCGCGAUUUAUGCACGAGAUCAGUGACUCUUGAAGGUAUUGAAAAUUUGAAGACUAACAUAGCCGUGAUUCAGUGCAACCUUGAGAAGAUAUUUCCUCCCUCAUUUUUUGAUGUUAUGGAGCAUCUUGUUAUUCACCUGGCAAGAGAAUUGGAACUUGGUGGUCCUGUGCAGUAUAGAUGGAUGUAUCUGUAUGAGCGGUAUAUGUUCCAUUUGAAGAAGAUGGUGAAAAAUUUAAGUAGGGUGGAAGGUUCUAUAGUCGCACAGAUGAUCAAUGAAGAAACUUCAAACUUUGCCGAGUACUACUUUCCAGCAGAAGUUCAGACCAAAAACAGAAGACCUGCUCGGCAUGAUGAUAGAGGCGAACGGGCAACAUAUCAUGUUACGGUUCCAGACAUUUUCACAGACGUUGGACGACUUAGCGGAAAACCAAAGGACCGUCGACUUACUGAGCAGGAGCGCAGUCAUUUGCAAACAUAUUUGCUCACCAACUGCGAAGACGUUCUUCAAUAUGAGAGGUAAAUAAAUGAGCUUACAAAUUUUUAUUUUAACAAGUUGAAAUUUAAAUCUUAAUUAAUUACAUUAUUGUCAUCAUAUACAGGAUUUUCAUGGCAGAAAAGCGGUUCGAGUAUAGAUACGCCACAGAGGACGAACUAGAAGAAAUGAAGCAGAGAGAAUUUACUGGAUGGAUGUUUACUUAUGUGAGUGCUUUAAACAAAUUAAAAUAUAUUUUAUCACAUAUUUAUACUAAUUCACAUUUAUUGAUAUAAUAUAUAUAUAUGUGCUAUUAAUAGGUGUCUGCUGGUUUGGCCAGAGGUGAAACAUUUGACGAUUGGAUACGUGAGAUGGUCGUUGGACCAAACUUUGUUGUGAAGUCAUAUCCGAGAUUUUGUACUCGAGGAUAUGCAUUCACAACUCAGAAGAGGAGACGUUCGAGUACGACUUAUGAUGCUGGCGUUUGUUCUGCAUCAGGAGAUGAUGUAUACUACGGACACAUACAUGAGAUUUUGGAAAUCAAGUAUUUGGGCAUGGUUGGAUUGCGCUGUACUGUUUUCUAUUGUGAUUGGCACGACAACACUCCAGAUCGAGGUGUGAGAACAGAUGCAUUUGGUGUUACAUCAGUAAAUUCGAGGCGAAAGCUGCAAUAUUAUGAUCCUUUCAUUCUUGCUUCUCAGGCCGAUCAGGUAAUUAAAUGUUAAUUAUUCAGAAUGAUUCAUCAUCAUGUGUAUUAAUUUAUAAUUUUUCUAAAUGUUACAGGUUUGUUAUAUCAAGUACCCCCGGGUAAGGAACAGAGAUGAUCCAUGGGUUACUGUUACAAGACUCAACCCGAGAGGCCGAGUUCAGGGAAGUUCUGAGCUGGAAGACCCACUACAACCAAGCACAUCCGGCAACUUAAGUGCAGCAGAAGAUUUAGCUGGAGUUGGCCUUGUAGUCGAUUUAACCGACUUUGGAGAGGAAGCCGUCGUUCACGUAGAGGAUGAACCAGUGAUUGGAGAGUUUCACCAAGAUCCAGAUUCAGAUUCAUCUGGUGAUGAUGACUCGGAAACAGACUACCAUUGAUCUUAUUUUUUUUUUUUUUUAAGAAAUACCGAGGAAAUUCCGAGGAACACUUGAUAUAACCUCUUUCCUCGGAUAAUAGUUAUUUGGUUUAUCUAGCAAGGCAAAGCUGAAUACGAAUUAAAAACUACUCAAAACACAACCAAAUAAAACGAAGAAACCAUGUAAAAGAAAUACGAACUCAUAAUUAAGAAACCCAAAAAAAAACUCAGUUCAAAAUUAACAGAAAAUAAGACCAUAAAACGUUAGAAUAGAAAAGAAAAUAAAAUAGCCGGUGAUAGCUCCUACUCCUCGUCUCCUGCUCCAGAUGUUCCUGCAUCGUUGGGUCUCUUGGACCUCUUUCUUACCCUGUGUGUACCACUCGAACCCGAACCAGAGCUGGAUGGAGAGUUGUCCCGAUGAACUACAUCAUCCUUUUGGCAACGACACGGCCUGAUACGUGAAAUGGCAGCCCAGAUCUUGUGUAGCAUGUCGUUGUUUGUCUUUAUGCUCUGAUCUCUCCAAUGUUGUUGCUGGCGCGAAGUGGCGUUCGGUGGAAGCUCUUGCAGCUUGUACUGGCUGGAGUCUGAUGGGAGUAGCUGAUGGGGUUGUGAAUCAUCUGGAAUGGCUUGUGCAGCCUCAUCUUCUCCUUCUUCAUCAACCACGCCCUUGCCUUUGGUCUGAUAUUUUGGCGUGAAGAAGGAUGGCUUGUCUACUAGUGCGGUAGCAGGGGGUAGGAACUCAACUGCAGCCUCUGAAAGUAGAGCAGUCAGGCCGAUCUGAGGCAGGUGGCAGUAGAGUGUUUUCUUCGCUCGGUCCUGGAAUACGUAGACGUAAGGACCAUCCCGAUCGAUCCUCGAGUGGGGACCAGCUAUGAACUCCUUACUUACUAGAGAAAUGACAUCCAGGUAGUUCCAAGCAAUGUUGUUCGAUCUGUCCAGUGCUACCUGGUGGUUCUCACAGUCUACACCCACAUGUCUAAGGAUCCGAGUAAUCACUGCACCAAAUCCACAUGCAUUGCUCUUGGAUUUGGUUACUUUCCCCUUGUAUCCUGCUAAGUUUGCGGCCAGCACCGCUCCCAUGUUGAAGGCAGUAGCAGGUGGGAAUGUAGAGUUUCCAAAUGCCGGUAGCAAAUGCCUCACACCUUGGUACAGGAGGCACAACUCCCAUUGCGUGACUGAUGCGGCUGUGGUUGUCCCGUAUAGCAAUGAGCCAAUGAGGCGUGUGGCAUAUCUCAGUACUGGGCUCCGGAUAAGUGACUCCUUUGCCUGAGAAGAUCUAUAAACCCCUGUGCCAAUCGUUUCCCAGAAGUUCAACAGCUCUGAAGUCCAAUAAAGACCAGAUGUCCUCUCCCCUGCACUCAAUCCAAAUAGUCCGCAGAGGUCUGUGAAAGAUACCUCAUAGUAUACUUUCUGCACUACGAAUGCCAGAAAACCUUCCUGAUGGCUAUCAUCGGGACGGGUGACGUAUGCGGAUGCUAUGAACUGGCGUACCAACUCCGGAUAAGUGGGUUCGUUGAGGUUGCAUAGUUGGCCUAGACCCAUGUUCUGGAACAGUCCUUCAAUGUCUGCUUUGAUUCCCAAUAUUGUCAUCGUCUCAGGACAUGCUAGUUGUGUAGCCGGAACGGCUACCUUCUUCAUGUUGUUGUAGUGGGUGGUAUCAGACUUAUCCCACUUCUUUGGCCUUUGCUUCUCCAGCUGAGACGAACCCUCUUCUUGUGUGUUCUUCUUUGCUGAUGUUUUCGUGCGCUUCAUUCUCUACAAAAUAGAAUCAUUGCUCUCAACAUGGUUAUAAUCAAUUAAGAACUCAAAGCAACAUGAAAAUGAAAAGCGAAAUCGAGUUGUGAUAAAAAAAAACCAAAUUGAAAAAAAUUCUCUAUCCCUAAAUCAUCUCAAAUCAUGUUCCAAACUCGUUGAUCACAGACAAUUGUGUUCUAUUCCAUGUUUAAACAUCUGUUUCAUGCAUAUUUGAUCAAGGAAUCAACACGAAAAUAAGAAAUUCACAAAACCCAAAAAAUUGCUCAAGAACACGAUUUCAGAAUGUGGAGAUUCGCGGAGUAUACCUGUCUUAGGGUGAAGACGAGUGUAGGAAUCAGGUAGAGCUCGAAAAAUCAAGUGGAAUAGAGCCCAAAAUUGUUCAAAUCGGAUGAUUAUAGAGAGAGAAAGGGGGGGGGGAAUUAUAGGGGAAAUCGGAGGGGAUGAGAGUUCUAAGGUUUAGAUCCAAAAAAGGUCGGGUUUUGCCUUAUAAUUCUGUUUUCCGAACACGCAUCGAUCGAUGCGUUUUGUUUCUAUAACGCAUCGAUCGAUCACAUUCUUACGGCCCGGGCCAUCUUGGUAAUCGAUCGAUGCGUUUUUGUUCUAUAACGCAUCGAUCGAUGCGUUUUUAAAAAAACAUACAAGAUUUUCCGAGGAAAUUCCGAGGAACAAUUCAGAUUGUCGAUCGAUCGAUGGGAUACUCUCAUCGAUCGAUCACAAUCUUACGGCCCGGUCCAUCCUAGUAAUCGAUCGAUGCGUUUUUGUUCUAUAACGCAUCGAUCGAUGCAUUUUUAAAAAAACAUACAAGAUUUUCCGAGGAAAUUCCGAGGAACAAUUCAGAUUGUCGAUAGAUCGAUGGGAUACUCUCAUCGAUCGAUCACAAUCUUACGGCCCGGUCCAUCUUAGUAAUCGAUCGAUUUGUUUUUGUUCAAAAACGCAUCGAUCGAUGCGUUUUUAAAAAAAAAAUUACGUUUUGAAACCCCAAACACUAGUUCGUCGGAAUUUCCUCGGAAUAUUCCGAGGAAAUUCCGAGGAAGAAGAGGGUUUCCUCGGAGUUCCCUCGGAAUAAUCCGAGGAAAUUCCGAGGAAAUAGGGUUUUUAAACCGAAAACAACGUUUUGCCGUUUGAAUAACACCUAUAUAACCCUUAUUAAGUGUCUUACGUUCAUUAUGAAGUCAAAAAUUUGUUCCUUACCGUAUAAUUAACACUUUUCCGAUUGUAUGAACGAAAUCUCGCAACAUAAGAGAAACACUUAUACCUUUUAACGAACGGUAAAGGGAAUACUUUCAAUUAGUUUUGAAAUUUGUUAUUUCAUGGUUUAUGCUCAUGUAUACAAAGAAUCCUCAAUGGUAUGCAUUACAAUUGUAUAAGAAAUGAAAUACGGCAAAAAAAAUUGAUGUUUUGAAACCCCAAACACUAGUUCUUCGGUAUUUCCUCGGAAUAUUCAGAGGAAAUUCGGACGGAUAUUUUACUAUCUGUCGGAAUUUCCUCGGAAUAUUUUCAUUUUACCGGGCAAAUAUUUCGCGAAAAUUGAAAUUAGAAUUCCGACGGAAUUCCGACGGAUAAUGUCCGUCGGACCCUAGGUUUUAUAACCACGAGCCCCUUCUUCUUCCCCAUUUCUCUCUUCUUCCUCUGCGCGACUCCUCUCUUUCUCUCCGGCGAUUUCCCCCUGAAAUCCGACGAUAUCUCCGGCGAUCUCCCUCUUCUCUUACACAAAUCAUGUAAGGACCCUAUCCCACUCUCUUAGGUUCUAUUUGUUAGGUUUUUGUGUAGUUUUGAUAGAUUUUUGUUAGGGUGAUUGGUUAGGAUUGUGAUUUGGUUGUAUAAUAGGUUUAGAAUUGUGAUUUGGUUGAAUAAUUUGUUUUGUUGAAUUGAUUUAGAAUUUUUUUUAUUAGGUUCAACCGAUCCGGGAACGGGAUCAGCGCAUGGAUCAACCGUAUGAUGUACUCGGCCUUCGACAGUGGACAUCCGACUUUCACUCAGUUUGCGGUAAGUAUUCUGAUUUUUUACUUAUAUUUUUAAUCUUUAAUAUAAAUUUUCUACUAAUUGUGUUUUUUUUUCAGCAAGAAUUCAACUGGAAUUCCAAUGAGACACUCUUUAUCUAUCACCACUUCGUCCAUAAAGUUAUGGACAACUAUGGGAAGCAGAUCCACGAGUGGAAGAAGAAGUGAGAAAUCAACAAGGUUGUUUUUAAUUUAUUAAACAAUUUUUUUAUUUAUUAAACUAUUUUCUUUCUUUUUUUUUAUUAAAAGGUUCCAAAGUCGAUAAACAACACGGUCUGGACGGAGUUGUAUGCGCAUUGGGAUAAGGAAGAGACGAAAGAAACUUCUUCCACCAACUCCACCAACCGCAGGAGCGACCGUAAAGGGGAGGGCGUCUUCAAGCAUAACUUGGGUGCUCAAUCUAUUGCCUCUCUGGGAGAUCGCAUGGUAAGUUCAGUCGCUUUUUCUUCAAUUAUUUAAAUUUUGAAAUUUUAUUUUUUUGUGCAUUUCUUCUAAUUUUUAAUGAUUCUUUAAUUUAUGUUUUUUUUAAGGCGGAAGAAAAUGAUGGCGAGCCGGUUGAUGAUCUCGCCCUAAUGAGGAGGGCGUAUACCAACAAGAAGACCGGCCAGAUUGAUGACGGUCUUGUGAGGGACGUGGUCGACCUGGUCCAAACUCAGGUGGUAGACGAAGUGUCUCAGCUUCAAACCGAGGAUGANNNNNNNNNNNNNNNNNNNNNNNNNNNNNNNNNNNNNNNNNNNNNNNNNNNNNNNNNNNNNNNNNNNNNNNNNNNNNNNNNNNNNNNNNNNNNNNNNNNNNNNNNNNNNNNNNNNNNNNNNNNNNNNNNNNNNNNNNNNNNNNNNNNNNNNNNNNNNNNNNNNNNNNNNNNNNNNNNNNNNNNNNNNNNNNNNNNNNNNNNNNNNNNNNNNNNNNNNNNNNNNNNNNNNNNNNNNNNNNNNNNNNNNNNNNNNAAAAAAAUUAAUAUUUUUUACAUUCCGAGGAAAUUAAUUAUAUUUUUUACUCGAUCGAUCGAUGCGUUUUUGGACAAAAAUCCAUCGAUCGAUCUGUUUACAAAAAAACGUUCGGAAUAUACCGAGGGAACUGUUCCUCGGAAUAUACCGAGGAACUGUUCCCUCGGUAUAUACCGAGGGACAUUUCCCUCGGUAUAUACCGAGGGACAUUUCCCUCGGAAUAUGCCGAGGGACAUUUUCCUCGGAAUAUUCCGAGGAAUAUGUCCGUCGGUAUAUUCCUAUCGAUCGAUGUAUUUAUGUCCAAAAACGCAUCGAUCGAUGAACGUCCGAGGAAAUAUCCCGACGAAGUUCUCCCUCGGUAUAUUCCGAGGACAUUUCGACAAACUAGUGAUCCUCGGAAUUUCCUCGGAAGUUUGUUUCCUCGGAAUUCCGUCGGAAAAUUCCGAGGGAUUUCCGAGGAAAGAAGAAAUUCCGAGGAAUUAUUUCCGACGACUUGUUUCGUCGGUAUGUCGUCGGAAUAACGAUAUUCCGACAAAAUUCCGACGAUUUUUUCCCUCAGAAUCCUUGCUGUUUUCUUGUAGUGCGCUCGCCAACUAUGCGAUUAAUGAGCAUAACAUGAAAUCUAAGGCGAACCUUGUGUUCGUGAAGAACGUCGAGGAGAAGGAGCAAGUGGUUUCCGGGAAGAAGUACAAUCUGACCAUUGCGGCGAAGGAUGGCGGUGGCGCCACAAAGAACUACGAGGCCAUCGUCGUGGAAAGGGUGUGGGAUCAUUACAGGAGCCUUGAGUCAUUCAAGGCCUUAUAGAUCUAAGUUUUUUAUUUUUGUAAAUAAAAGCUCGAUAUGGAUCAGAUAUUCAAGACCGGCUCAAUUGUGUUACGGGACUAAGGCAAAAAAAAAUUUUAAUUUGUAAACUAUUAUUUUUUUAAAAAAAAUCUGAUAGAUAUAUGUUUUUUUUUUCAAAAUACCAGAUGUAUUUUAAAAAUAAAUCUUUGAAAAUAAAAAAAAACUUUCAUGUAAAAAAAAAAAUUGGGUCUAUUUUCUUAUUAUAAUAUAAAAAUACAUGUACUUUUUUAAAAAAAAAUCGGAUCCCUAUCUAUUAAAAAAUAAGAGAACAACGGAUUGGGCCCGGGACGGUCGCACCGCUUGCCUCUUAUCUAAGCCGACCCUGCGGAUAUUAUAAUAUGACUUAUUUUUGGGUUCAUCCCCUAGGGUGAACCUCUAAGUUCACCGACCAAUAGAAUUGUGUUAUUUAAUAUUUGAUAUCUUUUAAAAAAGGAAACAAAAUAUUGUCAAAUUAUAUUAUUUUUUAAAAAUUAAAAGGUAAAAAAAAUAAAUAAAAAAUAGUAGUAAUUACAAAAAAAAUAUUUUUAACGUCGUCAGCAAAACAUUAAACUCUAAAUCCUAUUCUUGAGAUUUUGAUAUUGUGCGUCCGUUAUUUGUUUUCUUUUCAAUAAAAACUAAAUUAUAGAUAUGUUUCUUUCUAAGAUUCAUAUAAAAUAAUGAUUAAAAAAAAGAUCAAGUGGAUUUGCUCUAAGCCUGUAAUUUAUAUGUUACUUUAAUUCAAAAUAGAUCUCUAUCCGCGCAACCGUGCGGAUUUUUGUUUUCAUUUAUUUUUAUAUAAACAUUUUGUUUUCAAUUCUAAAUUGGUAUAUAUUAUAAUAUACAUAUAUGUCUAUCAAUUUUUAAAACACAAUAAGUUUACGGUAUAUUUUUUUCAUUGAAUAGAUUGUUUCAAACUUUCACAUGUAUUUGUAUCUUCUUCUAUAUAUAUAUUUUUGGAUUAUUAUUUCAUUAUUAAAAUUGUAACUAUAUAUAUAAAUAUUAGUAAAAUAUUAUUUUAUUGUCAUAUUCAAAAAUAUUUUAACAUUUCACAAAUUUAGAAAGUUUUUUUUUUAAAUUAAACUUUUCGCUUCACAGAUUUAUAUUAUCGAGUAAAUAAUUAAACAUUUAGUUUUUGUUUAAUUUUUAAAAUAUACUUUUAAAAUUUGUUUUCAUUGGUUUAAUGUAGUAAAGAAUAAUCAUUGUUAGAUAAUAUGAUUUCUGUUAUUUAAAAAAAAUCUUCAUAAUUUUAAAAUUUAACAUCGACAAAUAUUUAAAUAAUUAACAUAUGGAGGUAUAGUAUUACACUAUUAAAUCAUAUCUAUUUAAUUUAUACAAUCUAUAAAUUCAAAAGAUCAUCUAUUGUUUAAAUCCAAUUAUUGAUAUCCCAAUAAAAUUUUUUGGUAGGCCUAAAAUUUAAAUGAUAAGAUUAGAGAUAAAAUAUAACAUGACUUUAUAGGAAUAUGUCCAUUAGGUCCAUUUUAAAAAAAAAUCACACAUGAAUCAAAGUUGUGACUUCUGUUUUAAUAUAUAAGAACAUAUAAUGCAUAGCAAGUUGUCAACUUAUUAACCCCAAAUUGACAAGUUGUCAACUUAUUAACCCCAAAUUGACGAUGAACAGGCCUAAUAUUUGCAUGCAGAAUAUUCUAUGGGGGGUUUUUUAGAAAUCAGUAACAAAAUUUGAGAUUAAAACAUUAUUCGUAUCUCUUUUUGGGCGUUGGAUUUUAAAAUCUACUUGUCAAUUAAGUUUUUUUUUGUCAUCAUAUACUUGUGAAUUAAUUAUGACAGAAUCUACUCCCUUAAGUAUCUAAAUUAAUUCUACUUAUUUUACAUUCGAUUUAAGAAAUUAUUAAUUAAAUUAAAAAAAAAGACAAUAUUUUGGAUAAGGGUUUGGGCUUACAAAUAUUAUCAGGAGGUAAUAACAUACAUUUGAGCCUCAGUCAAUUCCAGUAUGAAUAUUUUUAUUCGAGCUCAUGACUAGCAACUAUCGAAUACUAUCUAUAUAUCGUGGUCUAAAAAUCUUAUGCGACUGUAUAAGUAUGCUCUCGAGAUUUAUAAAGUAAACUAGGCGUUUUCCUGUACUGUGUGCAGUAAUAAAAAUAUUAAAUUUAAAUUAUAUCUAAAAUAAAUUUUAUUAUUUCAGAUUUUAUUAUUUUCUUAUCAUUAUUUUAAUAUAAUUUUUUAUUUGAUUGGGCAUAGAAUUAAAUUAAAAUAAAUUAUUUUUAUUUAUUUUAAAUUAUAUUUAUGAAUAGAUAUGUAUAUAUUUAAACUUAUAAUUUUAGAUAGAUUUUUAUCUAUUCUUUUUGAUAAAACAUAUUAAAUCAACUCGUAUAAUGUUAAUAAAAAAUUAAUACAAAGAUGUAUAAUUACCAAAAAGUAUAAAUAAACUCCAGUAUAAUCUAUAUAGUCUGAUUCUUUUGUAAAUAUAAUUCUUUAGCAUGAUAAAUCAAUAAAUUUGAAAUUUCAUAAGAAAAAGUACAAAAAACAAAAUUUUUAAAAUGUGUACAUAUAUAAUGGAAACGAAUAAUAUUAUGAUUAAAAUUAUAUAUUUUUAAAAUAAAAUUUUAAAGAAUUUGAAAAUAAUUUUAGCAGUAAAAUUUUGUAGUGAUAACAAAUAAAAAUAAAUAAUAUUUCAAAAAUUGUAAAAUAUUAUUUAAUGUCAUAUUUGAAUAUAUUAAUGAUGAUGUAUAAUUUACUACCAUAUUCUAAAAAGUUUAACAAAAAUAUAAAUAAAAAUUAAAUGCAAUUAUACAUGUCAUAUUUAGCCAUAACCAUGUCAUUAUCUAUAUUAUUAAAACUGAAGUACAAAUUAGGUUUGUUUGGAAACAUGAAUUGCAGUUUAAAAGGGAGGUUUGUGGAUGAAAAUAUUAAAUGAGAAUUGUUUGUAAACUUGGAUAGCAGUAUAUGCAUUUUCUUUUAUUUACACAUUUAGUCAUUGCAUUUAUAAUAAAUUAGGUAUUUCUUUUUAUAUUUCUUUUUAUUUACAGAUUCUACCACUACAUUUAAAAUCAAUUUAAAUUAAUUAAUUACAAUUCCAAACUUAUCUAAACAAAUCGAUAUUCAUAUAUUGAUCAUUAUUAAUAUUGUACAAAUAUUAGUAAAUAAAAAAAUUUCUGUUUAAUUUAAUUUAGCCAAACACAUUAAAAUAUUUUUUUAUUUGUUUACGGAAUCAGUUAGGCAUAGACAUUCAGGUACCCAUUUAAGUACGAGUUGUUUCUUUCGGGUAUAGAUUUUUUGGGUUUUGAAAUUUCUUUUUAGGUACUUCCUUUUUGUAUUUAUUUUUAUUUACAAAUUUUACCACGGCAUUUAAAAUCAAUUUAAAUUAAUUAAUUACAAUUCCAAAACUUAUUUAAACAAAUUGAUAUUCUUUUUUUUUUGUCAUCAACUUUACAGACUCAUAUUGACUCUGUGAACCACACUGGGAGAUAUUGAUCCAUGUGAACUACAAAAGACGUUUCCUUCCUAACGCUUAUGGCUAAGCUAUCCGCCUUCUUGUUCCGCGUUCUUGGUACAUAGAUAAUCUCUGCACUAGUAAAACUCUCUUUCAGGAUGUGUAUAUCUUCCAAAUAACUUGCAAACGAUGGUCAUUCUUCUGGUUCUGAAACCAUCUUCACCAAUUGAGAACAAUCCGUCGCAAAUGUAACCUGAAAUUGUUUUAAGUUUUUUAUGCAUUCCAUAGCCCAUAGUAAAGCUUCCAUCUCUGCAUGGAGAGGAGUGAGUGAAGCCUGGACAUUCCUUACUCCCAUUAGUCCCACAAAUCCUUCUAAUGUGCUGUACCACCCUUGACCUGAGAAACUUUCAUUUUCUUUCCAGGAUCCAUCCGUAAAACACCAUAUUCCUGGAAUUAACAGAAGAAUAUUAGCUUCUAUAUGUGUCGUCCUCUUUUUAUCAUUCAAUAUUCCGUUAUCAUUCAAAUUGAUAUUCAUAUAUUGAUUAUUAUUAAUAUUGUAAAAAUAUGACUAAAUAAUUUUUUUUCUAUUUCACUUAAUUUAGCCAAACACAUAAAUAUAUAUAUAUAUAUUUUUUUGUUUACGGAAUCUGGUAGGCAUAGACAUUCGGGGUACCCAUUUAGGUACGAGUGAGUUUUUCGGGUAUAGAUUUUUUUUGGUUUUGAAAUUAGGCCAUGUUGGAUAUAAAUUUAUGUGUGAGUUUCAAGUUGGAUCUCCCGGGUCUGUAUGAAUUUGGUUCUGAUGUACAAAAAACUAAAAAUAUUCAAAUAACGAAUGUAUUUGAAAGUGAUUUGGAUAUUUGAACAAAAAAUAAUCAUAUUAUCCGGUUCGAUCCGGAUCUUUUGAAUACACUUAGUUAAAUGAAAACAUAUCUAAAAUAUAUAGCACUAAUAAUAAAAUCAAAUAUCAAUGUAUAAAUACGUAGAAACUAAUACUCAAGCUCUAAUUUCUGUUAUGCUAUGAAACUGAUUGUAAAGAGAAUAUGUAUCAAAAUCAAUUUGUAAAUAAUAUCCGGGGACAACGUCAUAGAAUCUCGUACUUUGUUUAGACGAUGCGAGUCAACGUUGGACCAAAAUCAACAAAUCAUAGGAUCUCAUACCUGUUUAGCCGAUGCGAGUCAACGUUGGACCAAAUCAACAAAUCUGGCUCAUUUAGUGCUCAUCACUGCAUUACUCAACAAUGAUGACUCUUCAGAAAAUACAUGUGUAGUACAGCCACCGUACUCUAUCACGUUGUAAGCCACGUGUCCAUUUGUGAGUGUUAAAAAACAAUAGACCAUUGGGCUCUCCUUAAAUUUCUGGAAUCUCUAUAAAGAGAGAUCCCAACCCGACAACACCAAUAAGACUAGCCAAAGAAAACAAUAAGAGCAAAACAAAAAAAAGAUGAAGUGUUUGAUCUGUCUCUCUCUUAUCCUCCUCCCUCUCAUCUCCGUCGUGGAAGGUAAUCUCGGUGGCUGGAAGCCGAUCAAGGAUUUAUCUGAUCCCAACAUCCAAGCGGUAGCCAAGUAUGCGGUCGAUGAGCAUAACAAGCAAAUUACGGGGAAUCUUGUGUUCGUGAAGAUCGUCGAGGGAAAGGAGCAAGUGGUUUCCGGGAAGACGUACAGUCUGACCAUCGCGGCAAAGAAUGGGGGUGCUGGGACAAAGAACUACGAGGCUGUCGUGGUUGAAACGAUGAGGAGUCAUCACUUCGGCCUGCAGUCAUUCAAGGCCUUAUAGAUCUAAGUUCUAUAUAUUUUUGUAAAAAAAAUCGACAUGGAUCGGAUAUAUUAUAAUAUUAAAUAUUUAUAGGUUUCCAUGAUUUGAGAUUUUGAAAUUGUGUGUCCGUUGUUUGUCUUUUGAAUAAAAACUAAAUUAUAGAUAUGUUCCUUUCUAAGAUUCAAUAAGAGAAUCAAGAGAUCUGUUGUGUUACUUUGAACUUCUAUCUAAUUUCGAAAAUUUGGGUUUGAAUCGGUCGAGACGACAAUGUGUCAAUGUGAUGAACGGCGUGCGUCGCGUUCCUGACUUUUGGCUUAUUUGUAUCUGUCUGUCCUUAACUCGAUCGUUAUUAACUGUAAUUAGACCGGAGAGAUCGACACGUUCGUAUUUUUGAGGAAUGACCGGUAAACAUUCACAUUUAAAACGCAACCGGUUAUUAAUUUGACAUGUUUGAUUUAGAUUUAGGUGAUGUUGAUAUGGAUACAGUUUUGAAGGUUUCGCCAACCUUGAUGAUGAGUUUGUGGCUUCUUUGAGGAGAGUCCGGUUUGAUCACGGAUCAGCUAAGCUUCUUCGGUAAUGAUAAGAGUUUGAGUUGUAUUAUUCUAGUAUUCAGUUUUGUAUUUUGUAGUUCGUAUAUAAUUUGAGAGAGUACAGUUUGGAUCAGUUUAUUUCUCUGAUGAGACAAACCUGGUCCAACUCAAUCGGUAAUGAUAUAGUUUGACUUGUAUUAUUCUUAGUUCAAUUUUUUAGUAUCGGUUCCAGAAUCGUGAAAUCUUUCUUUAAUCAUUAUAUGUCUUUUACACUUUUCACUAUCGUGUUUGUCUAUUUCUUUUGGUUAUUGUGUUUGGACAAGUCCUAUCUUCAUCUUCAGUUGCUAAGCAGUGAACUUCCCCUUACUAAGUCUUUACAGACCUGAUGCCCUAUGAACAAAACAGUCAUUACAGACACUGAGCUUAAUGCCUAUUCCCUUUUGUCUCUCUGUCUAGGUGAUUAUGAACUUAUCAAAUCUUUGCCUAUAGUUUUGUAGAUAGCAUCUGGGCUAUAAAUGUACACUCGACUAAACAGUUGGUUAUCAAGAUAUUAACAUCUGAUUAGCUUCAUGCUUGUGAUAUAUAUAUAUAUACACUUUAUCAACUACUGCAUGGACUUGGCUGAAUUCUAGUGUCAAUAACGACAGUAAGACUUACGAACGUGUUUGUUCUUUUUUGAAAUGUAGCUUUCGAAAACUAUAGCUUACUCACUCCAUUAACUUUUUUUUCGCACUACAAAUAUUCCUUCCCUCUUCUCUUCUCUUACAUCUCAGAAACAUUUCAAACUAUAUUCAUCUUGCCCUCAUCUCUCCACAUAUAGACACAGUAUAAAUAGAAGUAUUUUGAGAAAUAUAGAGGUCAUGUCUUGCUAAUGUGAGGAGAGGAUUUGCGUUGGUGUUCUGUUUCUUUCUUCUGCUUUUGUCAUCCAAUAUUGGUUGUUCCAAUGCUAGUCGUCUAGGGUUUCACAAGCAACUGUUGGGCUUAAUAUUAUAGUCUAAUGGCUGAAUUAAUAAAAGGCAUAAGGUGAAUACAAAUGGGCCUACGGGUCACAUGGAAAAACCCUGGUUGGGUUAAAUGAAUGAAAUUUAAAAACAUCCCACAUCGGGGAAGUAGAGAGGAGAUGAGCAAUAUAUAUAUGCUCAUGUGUUAUGAGUUACGAAACGGCUCAUGGAGAGAGGAAGUCUCCCCAUGCGCGCGCCGUCCAGUUCGGCGUGGGUUUGGAUCUUGGGUCUCCGGCUCAAUAACAAUAUUUUUUUUGGACCAAGUUAAGCACUACAUUUUUGCCAUUUCAUUUCUAAAAAACAGAAUGACGUUCGUGAAUAAACGACACGUAGUUUGUCUAAAAACGACAUGAAGUUUGUCUGUUCGAAAUGGAUCAGAACGAGUCAACAGAAGAGAGAUCUUGCGGAGAAAGUUUCUCAACUCUCCACUCCCGAGAUUUCAGAGAUAUUUUCGCUAAACGUGUGCAACAGUUUUGAAAAUCAAAUCUGGUUCUCUUCUUUAAAUACUCGCCUCCUCUUCAUUCAUUUCUCAACUUUUUCACAUCGAAACCAACAGCAAAAAUUCCUUUAGCGUAAGUCUUAAAUAUGAGAGUGUUUCGUAGAGUUUAUAGUUCGAUAGGGCCAUCACGAGUGAAGCAUGAUGUGUCUGCCAUGGUUGUAUCAUGGGACUCGUUAUUCGUACAGUUCUGUCUCACUAACGGAGCGAAUAUUUAGAGUUAAGGAAAGAGAUUAUAUAUCGACUCCAUGUUCAUUAGCGAAUAAGAUUUCUUAUCGUUCUUGUAUUCGCUCUUCACAAUCGUUUAUUUCCUUAACAUAUCGCAUUUAUUAUAUCGUUUAUUUCAGUCCGGUUAUCCGGCUUCUACAAUCUUAACUCUUAUUUCGCUUUCUAUCUAAAGCGUUUGAUCGGAUUGAAGAACGAUCUUUAAAAACGGGUUUUGGAACCGUGUUUGCGAUUUGCUUUCUAGCACUUCCGCGAAACGUUUGUAAUUUAUCUCAUAAACGGUUUGCGUUUUGCUCUGCAGCACUACCGAAAAACGUUUAUUCAUAUACGAUUCAUACAAACCUGUUAUGGUUUCAUUCAAACGAUGUUUGCAAUUUGUUAUAUGCUUAUCCGCGAAACGUUUCUAUGUUCUUUUGAAAACAAGUUUGCGAUUUGCUUUAUAGCCCUUCCGCGAAACGUUUCUUUAUUUGUUUCAUAACGCUUUGCGGAUUGCUUUCUAGCAUUAUCGCGAAACGUUUUUGAUACAUUAUCAAAAUGUUAUUUACAUGAAUCGUUUCAAUAACCGCUUUCUUAAGCGAGUUUGUGAAACAUUCUAAGUCUAUACAAAACGAUUUCUGCGAACGCUUUUAAGCGAGUUUGCAAAACAUUUUUUCUCAAGACUUAUAUCGAUAUGAUUUGGUUCAAACACCAAAAAUGAAAAUCGAUUUUAGACUAUUAUUUUUUGCUUAAAAAUAAUAUGUUAUUUGUUGAUUGGAGUACUAAUCCGUCUUCAUGUUUUCUCUACUGAAAAAUGACAAACGAUAACAACACCCUCAUUGAUGUCACAACAACUCCACUCAACGUUGCAGCCACUGAUGCAACCGUGACAACCGUUGCAAAUAUCACAGCGUCAACCGCUGCAGCAACAACAAGCACUAUCCUCCCUGCGGGAAAUGCUGCUGAUGAAACCACUCGCCGGAGUCUAUUCGGUGCUGGUCUUUAUCAGACGGGUUCAGUUUCAGCAAUUGCAAGUGGUCCGGUGGCAGUUAAAACUCCUCCGGCUGUCCCUAGUGUGUUCACUCAAGGACUGAUGCCAGACAAGUUUGAUGGCAAAGGCUUCAAAACGUGGCAGAAGAAGAUGAUGUUCUUCCUGAUAACGAUGAAGUUGGACAACUUCAUCCAGGAGGACAAGCCUAUUUGCUUUAUAGCCCUUCUGCGAAACGUUUCUUAUUUGUUUCAUAACGCUUUGCGGAUUGCUUUCUAGCUUUAUCGCGAAACGUUUUUUGAUACAUUAUCAAAAUGUUAUGAAUCAUUUCGAUAACCGCUGUCUUAAGCGAGUUUGUGAAACAUUCUAAGUCUAUAAAAAUGGUUUCUGCGAACGCUUCUAAGCGAGAUUGCAAAACAUUUUUUCUCAAGACUUAUAUCGAUAUGAUUUGGUUCAAACACCAAAAAUGAAAAUCGAUUUUAGACUAUUAUUUUUUGCUUAAAAAUAAUAUGUUAUUUGUUGAUUGGAGUACUAAUCCGUCUUCAUGUUUUCUCUACUGAAAAAUGACAAACGAUAACAACACCCUCAUUGAUGUCACAACAACUCCACUCAACGUUGCAGCCACUGAUGCAACCGUGACAACCGUUGCAAAUAUCACAGCGUCAACCGCUGCAGCAACAACAAGCACUAUCCUCCCUGCGGGAAAUGCUGCUGAUGAAACCACUCGCCGGAGUCUAUUCGGUGCUGGUCUUUAUCAGACGGGUUCAGUUUCAGCAAUUGCAAGUGGUCCGGUGGCAGUUAAAACUCCUCCGGCUGUCCCUAGUGUGUUCACUCAAGGACUGAUGCCAGACAAGUUUGAUGGCAAAGGCUUCAAAACGUGGCAGAAGAAGAUGAUGUUCUUCCUGAUAACGAUGAAGUUGGACAACUUCAUCCAGGAGGACAAGCCUCUUAUUCCUUACGGGAUUGAUGAUGUUCACAGUCUCGCAACUGUUGACAUAUGGGUGCCUUCCGACUACAUCUGCAAAGGUUACGUUUUGGGUCGUCUCAUUGACCCAUUGUACCGUGUCUACUGUGAGAUCCCCACGGCGAAAGAACUAUGGAGAUCACUGGACAAGAAGUACAGAGGUGAGGACGCUGGCUGCCAGAAGUAUGUGGUCUCAAAAUUCCACGACUUCAAAAUGGUGGAUUCAAAACCCAUCAUGGAUCAGGUGGAAGCGCUUCAGCUCAUUUGCCAUGAAAUCGCUGCUGAAGGAAUGUCCAUCUGCGAGACAUUCACAACUCUCAGCUUCAUUGAAAAGCUUCCUCCAAGCUAUGCGGAUUUCAAGAACUACUUGAAGCACAAGAAGAAGAAGAUGGGGCUCGAGGAGCUCAUCAUGACGCUUCAAAUGGAAUCCAGAAACCGAACUGCUGACAAGGUCACUGCUAAGGAGCACAGUGUCAACAUGGUUGAGCACAAAGGAAAAGGAAAGGCACAUGCUAAUACUCCUGCCAAGCCUUCCAAAACUUCUGCAGCCUUGAAGGCUUCUGGAAAAAACUUCAAGAACAAAGGUAUUGAGAUCAAUGCGAAUGUGGAGAAGUUCAAGGGGAAAUGUCACUACUGCCAGAAAGUGGGGCACAAGACUGUUGAGUGUCGCAAAAAGAUCAAGGAUGAGAAGGCUCAGGCAAAUCUCACUGAGGAGGAUCUCGUUGCUGUGGUGACUGAGGCCAACAUGGUUGAAAGCAACAACCCCAAGGAAUGGUGGUAUGACACUGGUGCAACCACCCACAUUUGCACCGAUAGGGCGAUGUUCAGCACCUAUCAGAAAAGCGAGACUCAUGAGAAGCUCAGGAUGGGAAACACUGCAGUCUCCAAGAUUGAAGGACGCGGCAAUGUGAUUUUGAAGAUGACAUCUGGACGUGAGGUCACUCUGACGAAUGUGAAGCAUGUGCCUGACAUGAGGAAGAACCUGGUCUCGGGAACCUUGUUCAGCAAGAAUGGAUUCGCCAUAAGUUUGGAGGCGGACAAGCUCGUGAUUAGGAAGAAUGAGAUGUAUUUGGGAAAGGGGUAUGUUAAGGGUGGACUUGUCAAGUUGAAUGUAAUGACAGUCCUUCCGAAAGUUGUAGCUCCAAAAGUUUCAAUGAAAAAGAAAGAGUCAGUUGCUUAUUUGGUUGAGUCUUUUAAUAUAUGGUAUGAAAGAUUAGGUCAUGUAAACUACAAAUCUAUACAAAGAUUAAUGAAUUUAAAUCUAAUUCCUAAAUACAAAACAAGUAAACAAAAAUGUGAAGUAUGCGUACAGGCUAAGCUCACAAAAACGCCAUCACCUCGUGUUGAAAGAACUAAUAAACCUCUAGAUUUAAUUCACACCGAUUUAUGUGAUUUAAAAUACAUACAAACUAGAGGUGGAAAAAAGUACUUUGUGACCUUCAUAGAUGACUGCACAAAAUAUUGUUAUGUAUAUUUAUUACAUAGCAAAGACGAAACCUUAGAAAAAUUUAAAGAAUUUAAACUCGAGGUCGAAAAUCAGCUUAAAACAACUAUUAAAGUAGUUAGAAGCGACAGAGGAGGCGAGUAUGAUGGUCCAUUCAAUGCAUUCUGUAAAGAACAUGGAAUAAUCCAUCAAACUACAGCUCCUUACUCACCAGAAUCUAAUGGAGUUGCUGAACGCAAGAAUCGAACUCUAAAAGAGAUGAUGAAUGCAAUGUUGCAGGAAUCUGGGUUACCCCAGAACAUGUGGGGGGAAGCAUUGCUUACCACUAAUUAUAUCCUCAACAAAAUUCCACACAAAGUAACUGGCAAAACUCCAUAUGAAUUAUGGAAAGGUAAUUUACCUUCGUAUAAAUACCUCAAAGUGUGGGGGUGCCUGGCAAAAGUUGCAGUACCGCCACCAAAGAAGGUCACUAUUGGACCUAAAACAGUGGAUUGCAUCUUCAUCGGAUAUGCACAUAACAGUAAUGCUUAUCGAUUUCUGGUACAUAAAUCUGAAAUAUCAGACAUUCAUGAAAAUACAGUCAUGGAAUCAAGAAAUGCAUCUUUCUUCGAAAAUAUUUUUCCAUAUAAGGAAAAACAAGGUUCAAAACGAACUCGAGAAGAAAGAGACAAUGACAAAAACUCAGAAACUGAGACAAACGUCGAGAUUUCUAUAAAUGAUAUUUCAGAAAAUGAAGAAAAAGAUGAACCUCGAAGGAGCAAAAGAGCUCGAAAAGAAAAAUCUUUUGGAGAAGAUUUCCUAAUGGCAUUUUUAGUAGAAAAUGUUCCAAAAACUUUGGCAGAAGCCAUGGCUUCACCAGAAGCUCCAUUCUGGAACGAAGCGGUCAGGAGUGAAUUUGAUUCGAUCAUGCAAAAUUAUACUUAUUACAUAACGGAUUUACCACCUGGCUGCAAAGCAUUAGGGAAUAAAUGGAUAAUGACACGAAAACCUGGUGGAAAAUACAAAUCUAGGCUUGUAGUUCAAGGAUUCCGACAAAAGGAAGGUUUGGACUAUUUUGAUACAUAUUCUCCAGUAACGAGAAUAACAUCAAUAAGACUGAUGAUAGCAAUCGCAGCCUUAAGAGACCUAGAAAUCCAUCAAAUGGAUGUAAAAAUCGCUUUUCUAAAUGGUGAUUUAAAAGAGGAAAUUUACAUGAAACAACCUGAAGGUUUUGUCGUUCCCGGACAGGAAGACAAAGUAUGCCUACUUGUAAAGUCAUUUUAUGGACUUAAGCAAUCUCCUAAACAAUGGCACCAGAAAUUUGACAAUAAAAUGAUGUCAAAUGGUUUCAAAAUAAAUGAAUGUGACAAAUGCAUAUACUACAAAACUACCAAAAAGGCGUUUGUUUUGCUAUGUCUAUAUGUAGAUGAUAUGCUCAUUAUUGAAAGCAGUAAAGACAUUAUCAAUCAAACAAAAAACAUGCUCAAAGGGACAUUUGAGAUGAAAGACUUGGGAUUAGCAGAUGUAAUUCUCGAGGUUAAAGUCACAAGAAAUUCAAACGGAAUUAUCUUAACCCAAUCUCAUUAUGCUCAAACAAUAUUAGAGAGAUUUAAAAAUUACUCUAAUAGUACGGCAAAAACUCCGUUAGAUCCCCAAAUGCACUUGACAAAGAAUUCAGGUGAAGCGGUUUCACAAAACGAGUAUGCACGUGUGAUCGGAAGUCUCAUGUACUUGACCAAUUGUACUAGACCGGAUCUGGCGCAUGCAGUAAACGUACUUAGUCGAUAUACAAGUAAUCCAGGUCAUACACACUGGAAAGCUAUAACGAGGGUACUCAAUUACUUGCGCUACACCAAAGAUUUUGGGCUUCACUAUGGUAAAGAACCAGCAGUUUUAGAAGGAUACAGUGAUGCUAACUGGAUAUCAGAUUCUAAAAACUCAAAAUCCACGAGUGGAUAUGUCUUUACACUAGGAGGAGCAGCAAUAUCAUGGAAAUCUACCAAACAAACAGUGUUAGCCAGAUCUACCAUGGAAUCUGAGUUCAUAGCCUUAGACAAAGCAGCAGAAGAAGCUGAAUGGCUUAGAAAUUUUUUGGAAGAUAUUCCUAUGUGGGAGAAACCUGUGCCAGCUAUACGCAUACAUUGUGAUAGUCAAUCAGCAAUAGCUCGGGCUCAGAAUAAUCUCUACAAUGGAAAAUCUCGUCACAUCAGAAGACGACAUAAAACCAUUAGACAACUUAUCUCAACUGGUGUAAUCACAAUAUACUACAUCAAAUCGGCUGACAACCUAGCGGAUCCAUUUACAAAAGGUUUGUCACGAGAUGUUGUUGCUAAAUCAUCAAAAGGAAUGAGUUUAAAGCCUAUUACAAAUGAGGAUGCUUGACUAUAGAAUAAGUUUAAUUUUUUUUUUAGAGUCUAUCGAGUCUGCAUUUAGUCUGCAUAUGUUUAGAGUCAUUUCUAUUCAUGUGAGGGAGUGUUGGGCCUAAUAUUAUAGCCUAAUGGCUGAAUUAAUAAAAGGCAUAAGGUGAAUACAAAUGGGCCUACGGGUCACAUGGAAAAAGCAUGGUUGGGUUAAAUGAAUGAAACUUAAGAACAUCCCACAUCGGGGAAGUAGAGAGGAGAUGAGCAAUAUAUAUAUGCUCAUGUGUUAUGAGUUGUUAAACGGCUCAAGGAGAGAGGAAGUCUCUCCACGCGCGCGCCGCCGCCGCUGUCCAGCUCGGCUCGGCUCGGCUUGGGCUUGGGUCUUGGGUCUUGGUGGAGGGUCUCCUGCCCAAUAAGAAUAUUCUCUUUGGACCAAGUUAAGCACUACAUUUUUGCCAUUUCAUUUCUAAAAAACAGAAUGACGUUUGUGAAUAAACGACACGUAGUUUGUCUAAAAAUGACACGAAGUUUGUCUGUUCGAAAUGGAUUAGAACGAGUCAACAGAAGAGAGAUCUUGCGGAGAAAGUUUCUCAACUCUCCACUCCCGAGAUUUCAGAGAUAUUUUCGCUAAAUGUGUGCAACAGUUUCAAAAAUCAAAUCCGGCUCUCUUCUUUAAAUACUCGCCUCCUCUUCAUUCAUUUCUCAACUUUUUCACAUCGAAACCAACAGAAAAAAUUCCCUUAGCGUAAGUCUUAAUUACGAGAGUGUUUAGAGUUUAUAGUUCGAUAGGGCCAUCACGAGUGAAGCAUGAUGUGUCUACCAUGGUUGUAUCCUGGGACUCGGUAUUCGUACAGUUUUGUCUCACUAACGGAGCGAAUAUUUAGAGUUAAAGAAAGAUAUUAUAUCUCGACUCCAUGUUCAUUAGCGAAUACGAUUUCUUAUCGUUCUUGUAUUCGCUCUUCACAAUCGUUUAUUUUCCUUAACAUAUCGCUUUUAUUAUAUCGUUUAUUUCAGUCCGGUUAUCCGGCUUCUACAGCAACAUCACAAGGUUGCUUCUUCAGCACAAGAUGUUGUCAAUGGUGGAGGAAGGAAAAGGGUAUUGGGUGGAGUGGAGACAGGGGGAGUGAUAAACCUCUAUUAAAGGCUAUAAUUGUUGAUCACAAACACUUGCAAAAUAAUUGAACAAAAAAAAAACUUGCAAAUAGAACUUAGAACACAAGUAACUUUCAGGCAAAUUUCUCUGCUUUUUCUUUUUGGCUUUUUGAUUUAUAUAGAAAACAAAUUGGAACUACACUUUCCUACAAACUUGGAAGCAAAUGCAUAAUGGAAAAGAUAAUGGGAAAGUGAUUCACGUUACUUUGUUCCUAUCAAAUAGGAAGUGAAGUAGUGAUCUAAUUAUUUGCAUAAAACAUAAAUAAAAAGAGAAGACUAAGGCUCCGAUUGUUUGCAACUGUGACGGCUGUGACUUUACAGAUAAGUUUGGGUUACAAAUUUUAGGUUUUAAAAAACUGACUGUUUCUUUAGAAAAAAACCUAAAGCCAUAAAUUGUUGUUUUUGAAUACCACUGACGUAACAAAUUAUUAGAAGAGUAAAUUCAGUUAUUGUGACUUUGAGAAUUUUAAGGAAGGCUUUAAAGACUUUAGAAACUUAAGUCUGAUUGGUAAUAAUUAGACUUUAAAGGCUUUAGAUUUAAUUAACAGUCUCAACAGCCAAAUCCCAAUCGGAUCCCAAGUCUCAAGACUUAGCCGUUGAACUUAAUUUUGAAUUUCUUGUGCAGAUGAGUCUUCCAUAGUUAGCUUUAUUUGCUGACUCAUCAAGGAGAAGUAGUGGUCAUGGAUUAUCCUCAGCCUCAUCAUAAGCCUCCCGUCCACAACGAGAAUGCUUAAAAUUUACUCCAUCUCUCUAUACAUCAGAUGAUCACCACAGGCCGACUCAAAGACAUCAUGGACCCUUGGAAAAAAUAAAUUUAAAUAUUUUUUCACAUGUAUUUAUAGAUAAUUUAAAAAAAUUUGGGCCCAUAUUCCUAAUUUUAUUUUAAAACUGAACCCUUUUUCCAAUACUUUUUUUGCAAAAAAAAAUUGGGCCCGGGACCCACGCUCCUUUGCCCCUACCUUAAAGUCGGCCUUGACACUGUUAUAUGCAUAUAUGCAUUCACCAUGCUGGUGGCUCUAAUGACACUCUUGUGCUAUAAUCACUACCAACUUCUUUUGUUCUCUUUUCUUCGUUCCCUAAAACAAACAAGCUGUACCUCUUCCUUAAUAGUAUACUUGUAUUUCAUGUGGAAUGUUGCUUACUUUUAGAACGAACUCUUCACCAUCAUUUUAGCUCUAAGAGCAUGAUUAACCCGGGGUUCUUAGGAUGAGGUUCUUAGCGGAAGUUAAGAAACUGUUUCUUAACUUUUAACUAAAAAGACUAAGAACCGGUUCUUAGUCUUUUUAGUUAAAAGUUAAGAAACAGUUUCUUAACUUCCGCUAAGAAGCUCACUCUAAGAACCCCGGGUUAACCAUGGUCUAAGUAGCUUUAGAAAAAACUUUACACACUUCUGUAUAAGGAAAAGAGGAUAACAUGAUCAAUGCACUUGGGUACGAGCCUAAGAUUAUAUAUGCACACUCAACGCCAUUUAAGUCUCUCUCUGCCUGACGCCCAUUACUAACUCUAGUAUUAGCAGUUCAAAGAAGUAUCAUCAAACUGUGAAAAAAAAUAAAGGUUCUAGUUUUUCACAAUCAACGGGGAAAAUACUGAAGACAAAUGUAGGCCUGGGCUUAAUAUACUGAAGCCGAAGUCCAUAGUGUAACCCGCACCGAAGUAUCGGUUUUGGAUCGGUAGCGGACCCAAAGAAAAUACCGAUUGGACUUUAAAGCCCACAAAUUUCGGCUAUGGUCCGGUCCGGUUUCAAACCGAGAUCAAGACAAGGUAACCGAAACAUACCGAGCAUUUAUAUAUUUCUCUUACAUAUACAUACAUUCAUUUAUACCAAUACAGAAAACUCAUCGGUCUCUUCUCUUUCAUGCGUGAGGCGAGCGGCGUGAGGCGUGAUUCACGAACCCUAGUUCCAAAAAAAAAACUCUUCGGUUAUUGAUCAUCGUCAUUAAGAACCCCAAACUGGCCUAUAUAAAUGUCUUACCGUCUCCAUCUUCUUCUUCUUCACACGAGCAAUCGAGAAUCCAAUCAGAGGUUAUUUUUUUCUGUUUCUUCAGUUCUUCUUUGUGUUCUUAUUUUUUUUUUAAGUUGAAUUGAAUAGGUUAUGUCGUUAUGAUUUAAAUGGAAUCGGUUAUGAUCAGGGGUUUGCAUGUUAAUUUUUUUUUCAGAUGGACUCAACAUCAUCAUUUGGCCGAGACAAAGAUGAUGCUGGAAACAUUCAAGCUCCCAAUACUACCCAGACAAGGAAAGAGUCAGAGAGAGCUAGUGGAGCGACAAGCAAAGUGAAGCGUAUUCUCCCUCCAAGAUCCGACGUUUGGCAGCACUACACAAGGACUACAGAAGACCGAAACAAGUGUGUUUGCAACUACUGUCAGAACACAUUUUCGUGUCUCACAACCUCAGGGACGUCCAAUCUAAGGAGCCAUCUUGAGAAAUGUAAGAGCCAUCUUGCUUGGUCGGCUGGACAAAAAGAUCAGCAAGCAAACAUUGAUGAUGAAGGGAGACUUAAGAAGGCAAAGUUGACUGAAGGUCAGUUGAGAGAAGCCACAAAUCAGAUGGUUGUCUUAGGACAAUUGCCGUUAUCAUUCGUUGAAAGCGUAGCAUGGAAACAAUUUUGUCACAAGGUUAGUAAUGUCUAAUGUUCUUGUAACUUAUGAUAAUCUUCAAGUAUCAUGUUUCAUUGUAACUAAUGUCUUCUCUUUUCUAUGUUUGUAGGUAAACUUUGGGUACACUCCUCAUUCAAGAAAAACUGCGAGAAAAGACAUUAACAAGAUGUAUGUGGAAAAGAAAGAUGCACUCAAGAAAUGGUUCUUGAGAAGCAAUCAAAGAGUGUCUUUGACAACAGAUAUUUGGGUCUCUCAAACAACCGGUAAACUUUAUACUUUUGACAUCUCUCAAUUCUUUUAUACAUAUUAGAAAGCUGAUCAUGGUUUUUUUUUAUUGAACAAUGUAUACAGGUGCGAGCUAUAUGGUCAUCACAGUGCACUACAUUGACCCUUUGUGGCAGUUAAAGAAGCUGAUCAUAGGGUUCAAACACAUCACGGAUCACAAAGGUCAGACUAUUGCCAAUGUCUUACUAGAGUGCUUGUCUGAAUGGGGAAUCAUAAAUGUUUUCUGCAUAACUGUCGAUAAUGCUACUGCCAAUAGUUCAGCUUUGAGGAAGUUUCAGAGUAGUUUUGUCCUUGGUUCAGAUCAGGCUUUUGUGUUAGAUGGGGAGUUUUUACACCUGAGAUGUAGUGCCCAUAUAAUUAAUCUGAUAGUUAAGGAUGGAAUGGCUGAAAUAGAUCACAAUGUCGUUGCUAUCCGCAAUGCUGUCUCCUAUGUUAGAUCGCAUGCUAACAGGUUGAGCUCUUUUGAGUUGAAAGUUGACUCUGGUAAGAUCACAAGGGGGAGUCUACCGUUGGAUGUCAAGACAAGGUGGAAUUCUACCUACCUAAUGUUGUCAACAGCUCUGAAGUUCAAGGUGGCUUUCAGUAAGAUGGAAGUAGAAGACAAGCUGUACAAUGAUCAUUUUAGCGAGUUGGAAAAUGGAGAAAAAAGGGUAGGACCUCCUCAGCUAAGGGAUUGGAAUGCUAUUGAGAAGCUGUGUCGAUUUCUGGUCAUCUUCUACAAUUCGACACUGGUGGUCUCGGCCUCAACUUCACUCAAUUCCUAUAGGUGCUACGGUGAGAUUGUAACCAUUGCGACUAAUCUGAUAGGUCUUUCCACAAGCUCUGAUUCUGAAAUGAAGUCUAAAGCCACAGAGAUGCUGAAGAAGUUUGAGAAGUAUUGGAAUGGCAUGAAGAAUAUUAACAUGAUGUUAAUUGUUGCCACUGUUUUCGACCCCAGCAAUAAGUUGGAGCUUGCAAAGCUGUGUUUCGAAGAGUUGUAUGGGCUGGAUACAGUUGACUAUAAGGAGAUGUAUGAUUCCUUGAUGUGUCUCUUGAGGAGCUUGUUCAAAGAGUACAGUUCACGACAUGGACCCAGGGUUGAUCCAAGUGACCAAUCAUCUCAGUCUGACCAAUCUACUCAGCCGAGAGACCAAAGCAUUGAAAGGAUGGAGGUUGUGGAUGACUUUGUGGGUUACAAGAGGAUGGAUGUUAGAUACAAGCAGAAGCUAAACGAAAUAGGGGUUAGAGAAAAGAAGGAUGAGCUGGAAACAUACCUUAAGGAGUCCGUGGAACAGCCUGACUUGAUGAUUGGAAUGGAGUAUGAUGUACUCUCGUGGUGGAGAAAGAACUCAGUUAAGUUUCCUAUCUUGUCUGAGAUUGCGCGGGAUGUUCUAGCUAUACAAGUCUCCUCAGUUGCUUCAGAGAGUGCCUUUAGUACAUCCGGUCGGCUUCUAGAACCUCACAGGAGCUGUUUGACGCAUUAUAUGGUGGAGGUUUUGAUGUGCACAGAGCAGUGGAUGAAGCAAGACAUAAAAAUGGAGUCAAGAGUGCUUACAAAUCCUCAGAUACUAGAUGACCUUGAAGAAAUGGACAAGCUUGAAAGAGGUAAAUUCUUACACACCUCAUCUUCUUUACUUAUAACAUGAAUGUUUGGUUUUAGUAAUUGAUUUGAACUUUGUAUGAAACAGAGUAUGAAGAAAAAAAGAGUUCCAGUUGCAGAAGAAGAGUAGAAGACUAAGGCUUUGUGGUAGCUUAAGAAGAUCAUGGCAAUCUUUUUUUAUCUCGGUCUCAAGUUAUCUUUUUUUUUUUUGCAAUUUGAAGACUUGUUCUUGGUUUGAAUGUUGGUUUUAAGUUUAGACACAAAUUUUCUUGUCUUGUUGUGUCUAAAACUUGUGUUUCCAUUGUGUUUUGGUGUGUUUGAACUCAGAUUGUUUCAAUGGAAUUUUCGGAUGUUUGGUUAAGUUUGGUAUAUUUCGGUUUGUUUGGUUAUUUUUGAUUGACUAUGGUUGUUAAAACCGAAACCACACCGGAACCGUAAUGUUAUCGGUUGGUAGUGGAUUUUGUUUACUUCAACCGCACCGAUCCGAAACCGAUUGAUUCCGAACCGAAACCAUUCUUCAUUAUAGAAAAUACCGAUUGGUACUUGUGCUCUAUGAACCGAUAGUCCGAACAACCGAUUCAACCGAACCGAAACCGAACGGUGGACCGAACGCCCAGGCCUAGACAAAUGAGUGGAACAAACAGUAACUAAAUUUGGGUCCGUAAUCAAAUGCAAACUGUUUUAAAAUGUACCACAACUCCACUACAGACUUAAAGAAACAACCAAGACCAAAAAAAAACUAGCUGUGACACAUUCGGGGCCUCUGUGAAAAUUAGGACAGGCAAAUAGACUGUAAUGUCUUGGAAACGCUUGGCAAGCACAUGUGUGUGAAAGGGAAAACUCUCUGUAACUAUUUUAUGAACACAGAAGACAACACAAAACUGUUUGCCUAGGAGAAGAAAACACAAGUGGGUAGAUGUUACUCUUAUGCUACGUACUCUCCAUGUCUUACACAUGUCUAAUUUGUAAUUAAUUGUGUAGAGACUAUAGUAGUAGCAAUGAGAAAGCACCAAGAGAUGAUCACCAGAGCAUGGCAAAGUCGGUCACCUUCGAAAUAUGUAAUUCUACAACGGUUUGAAAACAAAAAAAAGUACCGGUAUGCUUGUCUUAAUACCCUUAUACAUGUAAGUGGUAACAGCACUGUGCUUCAAACCCAGUCAGUUAUAAUUGACGUUUCCUCAGAAGCAAGUCUCACUACAACAAAAAGAUUGGAGAAAGCCUCAGCAGAGAGAAACAACAUUUAUAGACUUUCAUAUGAAGAUCAUAUAAAUAAGGAGGAGCACUGACAAUUAAAUCGUUUCUUUGGGAUCUUGCCCUCGUUUACUGAAUAAAGAAAGCUCUUCACAGCGUCGGCAAUGAAUCUGGCAGAGUACUGCCAUAGAAAAAAUAUUGUACGUAUGGAUACAGUAAAGAAAAAAACAAUAUAAAUAUGCUAGGAACCAUUAGGAGCACCUGAACCAUAACCACAUUGUAUUUUCAGUUGGUGCGAUCACUGCAAUCCAAAAUAUCUGAUGAAGCUUGAGUAUUUACCUGUGUUGUUAACUUCGUAAUUUGGAGUCUCUCCAUGCCUCCGCAGCUGCAGUCUCCUCCAUGCGGUCGUGUCUACUGUAAAUAAGAAAAGGUCAGGGUUGAAAGCAAGAAGAAGUUCAAGUGAUCUGGAACAGAGACAAAGAUAAACUGAAUGUUUUCAUUAUAUUUCUUGCAUAAAGAUUAUUACAAUAGCUUAAGCUGUAUUUAUACUAAAGAGAGAAAACCCUAGUCUAUCUCCUUGCUGUCAAUUAGGGAAACAUCUCUUCAUUGGAUUCCAGCUGUUGGAAACGUUUCUUCAACACUAUUGGUUCUUCUAGUUCGUACUUUCCAGGACCACAAGACUUGUCCUUUUCUCUGUUUUUCCUUUCAUGACUUGUAGUAGCCGUUGCUGUUUUCUGAUUCUGAAUGGGCUUUGAUUCUUCUUCUUGCAAGCCCAUUCCGUGUCUAGUAAAACUUGUUUCAGCCCUUGGAGUCUUGUCUCUCAAAUCUAUUAUCUCAUUCUUCUUCUCUGUUUCAGAAACAGAACACGUUUCUGAAGUUAAUGUUCCUUUUGGUUUCCAGAUCUUCUUCUCCUUGUCACCUUUGUCUACAUGCCCCCUCAAACUUUGUGUGGGAGAGCUGACCACACCAAGUUUGAACCUAAGCUCAUGAUAUGUCUGUGACGCCAAGGAUUUCGUAAAUAUAUCGGCCAGUUGAAGUAAACCAGGUAUAUGAUGCACAAUUAACUUCCCCAUAGCUACCUUCUCACGCACGAAAUGAAAAUUCACUUCAAAAUGUUUCGAUUUCUUGUGCAUUGCUGGAGUUGCAGAGAGAUAAACCGCCGAUAAGUUAUCACAGAACAGUUCCGGAGGUGAAGAAAGAGGGAUGCCGAUUUCACUCAUUAGAUUUGUAAGCCAAACCACUUCCGCAGCAGUAUCAGAUAGUGUGCGGUAUUCAGCUUCAGUGGAGCUUCUGGAGACUGAUUCCUGUUUUUGAGCUGACCAAGAGAUGAUAUUUGAGCCUAAGAAAGUGCAAAAACCACCAGUGGAUCUUCUUGUAUUAGGACAUCCACCCCAAUCACUGUCACUAUAAGCUCUUACCUUUGAAUCAGUCUGAGAAUUAAAGGAGAUACCGUUGUUGGUUGUGCCACGAAGAUACCUCAGAACACGCUUAAGAAGAAGAAAGUCAUUCUCAGUUGGAGCGUGCAUCUUUUGACAUAUGUAGUUCACAGCAAAAUGUAGAUCCGGUCUUGUUAAGGUCAGAUACUGUAACUUUCCUGCCAAGCUUCGGAAGUAUGUUGGCUGAGGGAACAAUGUUGAAGUAUCUGGAACUCGGUUGAGCUGAAGAGGUAGUGGUGUAGCUACAGGAGUGCAACCAGACAUACCAGAGAUAUGAAGAAGGUCCUCAGCAUACUUUUCCUGAUUCAAAAACAUUCCAUUUGCAGUGAAGCUAGCUUGCAGACCCAAGAAAUAGUGAAACUGACCCAAAUCUUUCAUCUUGAAUUCUCGAUUGAGAGCAUCUAGUAGUGUACCAAUGAGAACUAUGUUACUCCCAGUCAAAGCAAUAUCAUCUACAUACAGCAAAAGGAGAAUGAUGUCUCCAUUUUUCUUGUAUAUAAAGAGAGAAGGGUCUCUUAGACUGCAAAUGAAGCCAAAAGCCAGCAGAAAAUCACUAAAUUUGUUGAACCAGGCUCGUGGAGCUUGUUUUAAUCCAUAUAUCGCCUUGUUUAGUUUGCAAACAUGAGCUGGCUUCUCAGAGUUAAUAAAAUCGGGAGGUUGAUGCAUAUAGACCGUUUCUGUCAAAUAUCCAUAGAGGAAAGCAUGUUUGACAUCAAGUUGUCUUAUAUCCCACUUAUUAACUGUGGCAAUGUUUAGUAUGGCUCUGAUUGUAGGAGAUUUAACAACUGGGCUGUAUGUAUCCAUGUAGUCAAUCCCUUCUUCCUGAUCAUAGCCCUUCACUACCAGUCGUGAUCUCAGACAUUUAACAGUUCCAUCAGCAUUUAACUUAACCCGAAAGAUCCAUCUACAGCCAAGAAUAUGCAUAUCAGGCUGAUAAGGAACAAGAGUAUAAGUAUCAGUCUCGUCAAAAGAGACCAUCUCUUCAGUCAUGGCUCUGUUCCAUCCAGGAUGUUUCAAAGCUUCUUUCACUGUUCUUGGUUCUUGCAAUGUAGAGGUUACUGUAAAGAGGACAUAUCUCGGAUUUGGUUUUGUAAUUCCCACCUUUGAACGAGUGACCAUUGGAUGUGUAGAUUGACUAGGAACAUCAGUGGACAACGGUUGAGAAGGAGAUGUUUGAUGUAUUGAAUCAGCUGAUGUUGAGGACGGUUGCUGAUUUGUACCAGUGGUAAAGGGUAUCGAUUUGUCUGUGACUGGCGAGCUUUGAAGUUGUACUGAGGGCAGAGUACCAAACUGAACCGACUGUCUUUGUGUUGAACUGAUACUUGAACCAGAGGCGAGUGAGUUGUUUGUCUGAACUUACAGGAGUAUACCCGGGUAGAUCAUCAUCUGAAGCAGAACCAGAGGAAUGUGAGUUGUCUAUCAGAGCUGCAGGGGAGACUGUAGAAGACCGCAGCAAACUGACAGGAGGAACAAACAAUAAAGAUGAAGUACUUAUGUAAUGAGGAGAUCCUGUCUGAGGCACUGAAAACUUUUGAGGACCAGUAGAUCUAUCUUCAGAUUCAGCUGAUGUAGUAGAGUAAAGAAAACUUUGUUGCCACGCUGAGAGAAGAGGAGAGGAGUUUUGUUGAUGAAGGUGAGAGUAAGUAGAGGCAAAAGGGAGACACAGUUCAUCAAACAAAACAUGUCUAUUGAUGUAGACUUUCCCAGUGGGAGGAUGAAGGCAUCUAUAACCCUUAUACUUCUCAUUGUAGCCAAGAAACACACACUGCAAGGACUUAGGAUCAAGCUUGUUUGUAGGCAUAAGGUCGCAGUGAAGGAUAACAAGCGCUGCCAAACACUCUAAGAGCAGAAUAUUCUGGUUUUCUGUUGAAUAAGACCUCAUAUGGACUCUUGUGAUUUGACAGAGAAGAGGAAGGCAAGAGAUUCCCAAGAAAACUUGAAGUAAAGAAAGCUUCUACCCAAUAUAUCUGUGGAACCUUACCUUCAAACAUCAUAGAAAGUCCAAGUUCAGUGAUGUGUUUGUGCUUUCUCUCAGCUAUCCCAUUUUGUUGGGGAGUAUGAGGACAAGAGAUCAAAUGUUUGAUACCACAGGUUGAGAGAUGAUUCACAAACUUGUUGCCAAUGAACUCACUUCCUCCAUCACACUGAAACAUUGAUAUCUUCUGGUUUAAUUGGUUCUCUACCAAGGAUUGCCACAUGAUAAAUAUUUGAUGAAAAUCAGACUUUUGUCUCAUGGGAUAAAACCAACAAUACCGAGAGAAAUUAUCCACAAAGAUGACAUAGUAUUUAAAACCUUGGACAGAACACACUGGUGAGGGACCCCAUAGAUCACAAUGAACCCUCUCAAGAGGUCUAGUAGAUACAUAAACAGAACUAGAGAAAGGUAGUUUAGCACUUUUGCCAAGUUGACAUGAAUCACAAAUCUUGGACAUGCUUUUAUUUAUACUAAUAGCUAGACUUCUGGAUAGAAUUUGCAGGAUCUCAGCACUUGGAUGACCCAAUCUUCUAUGCCAAACCUCAGCACUAGCUGCCACCUGACGAGCAGAAUAGAAGGCAGUGAAGGCUGAGUUCUCCAGGACAUAAAGAUCUUUACGUCUGCUUCCUUGAGUCAGGAUUUGCUUGGUGAGCUUGUCCUUAACAUACACACCAUCACAAUCAAAUGUGAACUCACAAGGAUAAUCAACUGUCAUCUUAGACACUGAAAGUAAAGAUUUCGCAAUGUUUGGACAUACUAAUACAUCCUUCAGUGACAUUAUACCUGAACUACCUGGAGUUGACUGCAGAGGCACUGAACCUACGUGAGUAAUGGGCAGGAAGUUGCCAUCAGCCACCAUAACCGAGUCAUUGCCUGUGUACUGCUGAGAAUACUGAAGAUUAUGUCGGGAGUCAGUGACAUGUGUCGUUGCAGCAGUAUCAGGAAACCACUCUGUUCCAUUGUAGGUUUGAUCAGUAGCUGGAGGAUCAUUAGAGAUGUGCAGAGCCGCCAUUGCAGAGGGUAUAUCAUCACUCUGAUAAGAUAUGUCAAAACGUCUGUAGCAUUUAAGAGCAUUGUGUCCAAAUCUACCACAAAUCUGGCAAGAAGGUCUGUUUGAAGCCUCUCCCUGAGGUGAUGAAUUUCUAGGAGGAACUUGUUGAUGGAAGCCUCGACCUCUAGUGGAAUAACCUCUGCCUCUAUUAUACCCAAAGCGACCAUUACUGCCCCCUCUGCCACGGUACUGAUUGAAAUGUGGAGCUUGUUGAGCAUAAUGGUUGUUUUGAGAGUAGUUAGGCUCUUCAGAAGAUACAUGAAACGCCAGGUGUGGAGACACUGAACUUUGAGUUGUUUCAUAGGAUUUGAGACGAUCUUCGAAUCCAGUGAGGCGAAGGGAGAUAUCUUCAAAUGAAGGCGGCAAAGCAGAAUCCAUCGUUCCUUCAAUACUGGUCUUGAUAGGCUCAUACUCUCUUCCCAAGCCUUGUAAAGCAGCAAAGACCUUCAUCUUCUCGGAUACAGGAGAUCCCACAGAGUUUAAUUGAUCGCAUAACCCCUUUAUCUCCUUAAGAUAAUCAGCCAUGGUCUUGUUGGACUUCGAAACUGUUUGAAGACGACGCUGGAGCUCAAAGAGACGAGAGGAAGACACUCUGUUAAAGUGGUUACCAAGCGAAGUCCAUAUUUCUUGAGCAGUGUUAGCACCAAGAGCAACACUAAGGAUGUCUUCAGAGAGCGAUCCUACUAACCAGGCUUGAACUAUUUGAUGAGAUCUGACCCACAACUGAUAAUCAGGGUUUGGAACGUCUCUGUAGCCACCUCCUAUAUUUGGGACGUGAAUCAGAGCCACAUGCGCAGGAGAAGCUCCAUUAACGAAGCUCAGAAGACCAACACCUGAGAGGAAAGAUUCAAACUGUCGUUUCCAGUGGAUAUAGUUUCUUUCAGUGAGCUUGAGAGUUGCGCAGUUGGUGAUGUCAAGUUGAGGUUGAGAGUAUAGAUCUAAAGUGUUUUCCAUGGCUCAGGAUUGCUCACUGAGCUCUGAUACCAACUGCUGAGAAUACUGAAGAUUAUGUCGGGAGUCAGUGACAUGUGCCGUUGCAGCAGUAUCAGGAAACCACUCUGUUCCAUUGUAGGUUUGAUCAGUAGCUGGAGGAUCAUUAGAGAUGUGCAGAGCCGCCAUUGCAGAGGGUAUAUCAUCACUCUGAUAAGAUAUGUCAAAACGUCUGUAGCAUUUAAGAGCAUUGUGUCCAAAUCUACCACAAAUCUGGCAAGAAGGUCUGUUUGAAGCCUCUCCCUGAGGUGAUGAAUUUCUAGGAGGAACUUGUUGAUGGAAGCCUCGACCUCUAGUGGAAUAACCUCUGCCUCUAUUAUACCCAAAGCGACAAUUACUGCCCCCUCUGCCACGGUACUGAUUGAAAUGUGGAGCUUGUUGAGCAUAAUGGUUGUUUUGAGAGUAGUUAGGCUCUUCAGAAGAUACAUGAAACGCCAGGUGUGGAGACACUGAACUUUGAGUUGUUUCAUAGGAUUUGAGACGAUCUUCGAACCCAGUGAGGCGAGGAGAGAUAUCUUCAAAUGAAGGCGGCAAAGCAGAAUCCAUAUGUUAACUUCGUAAUUUGGAGUCUCUCCAUGCCUCCGCAGCUGCAGUCUCCUCCAUGCGGUCGUGUCUACUGUAAAUAAGAAAAGGUCAGGGUUGAAAGCAAGAAGAAGUUCAAGUGAUCUGGAACAGAGACAAAGAUAAACUGAAUGUUUUCAUUAUAUUUCUUGCAUAAAGAUUAUUACAAUAGCUUAAGCUGUAUUUAUACUAAAGAGAGAAAACCCUAGUCUAUCUCCUUGCUGUCAAUUAGGGAAACAUCUCUUCAUUGGAUUCCAGCUGUUGGAAACGUUUCUUCAACACUAUUGGUUCUUCUAGUUCGUACUUUCCAGGACCACAAGACUUGUCCUUUUCUCUGUUUUUCCUUUCAUGACUUGUAGUAGCCGUUGCUGUUUUCUGAUUCUGAAUGGGCUUUGAUUCUUCUUCUUGCAAGCCCAUUCCGUGUCUAGUAAAACUUGUUUCAGCCCUUGGAGUCUUGUCUCUCAAAUCUAUUAUCUCAUUCUUCUUCUCUGUUUCAGAAACAGAACACGUUUCUGAAGUUAAUGUUCCUUUUGGUUUCCAGAUCUUCUUCUCCUUGUCACCUUUGUCUACAAGGGUAAUCUGAGCCGUUCGAUUUGAGUUUUGAUUAUGAUAUUAAAUCUAGAACCUUGGAUCAGGCUUUGGGCAUACAAAUAUUUUCAGGAGGUGGCAAUAACAUACAUUUGAGCCUCAAUCAAUUCCAUUAGUCUUUCUGUGAUUGUAGAUUUUCUCAAGUAAGUUGGCUGAGCUCAAGGCCAACCAUCCACAUAUACUUCACCUCGGUCUAAAAAAUAUUCUGUGACUCUGUGUUUAAUUAGAACUAGGAUUUUGAACUGUUCAUAAGUUUGCUCCCGAGAUUAUGAAGCAAACGACGUCGUAGGAUCUCAUAGGACUACUUCGAUCUGGGCCCAUUUAGUGCUCACUCCAUUACUUAACAAUGACGCUUCUACACUACACGUGUGGGGACAGCCACAGUUGACUCUAUCACGUGUACUUGUCGUACGCCACGUGGAUGGAUCCAUUUGUCUGUGUCAAAGACAAUAGACUUGUCACCACGUAAGACCUAUUGGGCUCUCCGUAAAUUUCUUGACUCAUCUAUAAAAGGGACGACACCAUUAAGACUCGAGAAAGAAAAAAAGAUAAGAACAAAAACAAAAAAUGGUGAAGUGUUUGAUCUGAUCUCUCUUAUCCUCCUCCCUCUCAUCUCCGUCGUGGAAGGUAAUCUCGGUGGCUGGAAGCCGAUUGAUUUAUCUGAUCUGAACAUCCAAUCGCUCGCCAACUAUGCGAUUAUUGAGCAUAACAUGCAAUCUAAGGCGAACCUUGUGUUCGUGAAGAUCGUCGAGGGGAAGGAGCAAGUGGUUACCGGGAAGAGGUACGGUCUGACCAUCGCGGCGAAGGAUGGCGGUGGCGCCACAAAGAACUACGAGGCCAUCGUGGUGGAAAGGCCGUGGGAUCAUUACAGGAGCCUUGAGUCAUUCAAGGCCUUAUAGAUUAGAAUCGAUAUAUUAGUAAUUUGAAGGUUUGAUAAUUUGAUAAUUUGAGAUUUUGAUAUUAUGUUUAUUGUUUUUUGGAAUAAAAUCUAAAGCAUAGAUAUGUCUCUUAUUUGAGAUUCAGGAUAUGUGCGCGUUACUUUGAGCUUCUAUCUAAUUUAAUUAUUUUGGGUUAAAUCAAUCGAGAUGACAAGGUGAUGAACGGGUGCAUUGAUUCGUGACUUUUGGCUAGACUGAACCCGAAAAUCCGACCAAUAAAAUAAAUCGGUUAUCCGAACCGAUUUAAAGAUCCACAGGUUAUGGGUUUUUUUUUUCCGGCUAAAAUUUUUAUUAAUUAUUGUGUCACAAAUGUUGUUGUACAAAAAAAACUGGACAUGAUUAGAACAAACUCCAAUCGGUCGGAGAAAUAAUAGAUUUUUUUGCUAAUAAGUCUGCAGAGCCAUUAUUUUGACGAUGACCAUGCACAAAUGAUGUUGAGCGAAAUCGAGAUUUUCAUGCAAUGACUGAGUUGACCAAGUGUUGACAACGGGAAUUGUAAGCUUCCUCUUUGAUGUAUUUAAGGAUACCGAGGUUAUCUCCUUCGAAUAUAACUUUCCUAUAACCUAACGAUGAGCAGGCUUGCUUUCACCAAAUCAGCGCAGACAAUUCCGACUCCAUAACUAUUGAUCGUCCUUCAAAUUUCCCCAUUCCAACUUCUAAAAAAGUGCCCUGGUUAUUACAUAUUAACCAACCCAUUCCAGAGUCUUGAGAGCCUUCACGGUAAGCAGCGCCGUAGUUACAUUUAACCCAACCUGAAGGGGGUGGAGACCAAUGAGACCUAAUGUUUUCAGAUCGGGUUCUUUCCGUAGAAUUAAUUAUUUGCGAUGAAACUGUAGAAUUCAACCAUUUUUUUAAAUCUACUUGGGCUUUGGAGAUAACUUCAUCCGCCGUAUAUUUAAUUUUGUUGAAAAGUAAGUCAUUUCUAUAUUUCCAUAAUCUCCAAACCACCCAAAAUGGUAAUAAUUUUUGCUCAUCGGAAAACCAAACUGGGUAUCGGAAAAACUUAAAAAAAAUUAAAAUGACAAAAAGGUUAUUUAUCUGAACCAAAUUCAGUAUCCGAAAAAAUUUAAAAAUUUUGAAAUGACAAAAAAAAAAUCCAAAUGGAUAUAAAAAACUUUAAAAAAAUUAAAAUGACAAAAAUCUGAUUUCAUUCCAAAUAUGUAUCUAAAAUAUACUAAGAUAUUAUUAAAUAUCUAAAAUAAUUUAUCUAUUGCAUAAAUAAUUUAAUACAUACUUUUGGUAUUUGGUCAAUAUUGAUAUUUGUAGGUCUGGACACAGAUUGGAUAUCCGAGUUUUUGAAUGUAUUUGUGAUUUGUUUCGUAUGCCACAGAUAUCUAGUUUUCCGAUUUGCUUUGUUUCAGAAAAAAACGGAUAUUCGGAAAAACGGAUAUCCAGAAAAUAAAUAGAUAUUUGCGGAUAUUUACGGAUACUUACGGAUAUCUCAUAUGUUUUGAUUAAUGCAAAAAAUCUAAAAAAAUUGAUACAAAUUUGUUUUAUAAAAUAUUUUUUUGCAUGAUAUAUAAGAUAAAAAUUAAAAGAAAAAGUGAAUCUACAUAUUUUAUAAAAAAUUUAAACUUAGUUAACAAUUAUAAUAAGACAAAACUUAAGAAAAAAAUUAUAAUUGUCAUAAAUUUAUUCAUUUCCUUUUUUGUAAUUUUUUUAUAUAAGUAAUAAUGUAAAUACAAUUUGUCAAAUCAUAUGUUAUAAUAGCAAUAAUAUAAUUUUAUACAUUUAAAAAUUUAAAUAUAAUCAAGAUAUACAUGUAUUUAUAUAUUACCGGAUCGGAUCAGAUAUUCUGUUCUCAAAAUUUUAAUAUUUGUGAUUUGCUUCGAUUUUAGCGGAUAUUGAUUUUUAGUAUUUGCUUUGCUUCGAAGGUUUACGAAUAUCCGGAAUUUUUGAAUCAAAUUGAAACGAAUAACGAAUCGAAUCAAAUUUAACUGAUAAAAUGUCCAGCCCUAGAUAUUUGUAUGUUUUAACAAUCGCAUCUGAAAUUUAAAUAAAUUUGUUUAUAAAGUUUUUCCAAUAUUUUUUAGUUAAAUAGUGUUUCUUAGAUUUAUAAAAUCUAACGGUUAAUUUUAAUUUAUUUACAUUUAUUAUGCAUAAUUUUCAUCUUUAUACAAGACUUUAGUUAUUAUGAUGUUUGAUAUUGUCACAGCAUAAGAAAGAGUCUCGUAAGAUUGAUAGUCGAGUCUCCCAAUUUCACAAUAAUAUAGUUAAAUGAACUUAUGUACACAAAUUUAUUGAAAGCUAGUGGUAUUUCGGCACUACGUGCCGGGUGCGUAUUUUUUGUUUGAGUUGAUAACAGAGUUUUUGAUCCAUUUGAUAUUGGUAAGUAGUAGUGUAUUAUUUUGUUUUGUAGUUACUUAUAUCAAAGAGGAAUAGCAUAACUGGUUUCCAUAGAUUAAUGAAAUAAAAAUAGAAUAAAUAACUGAUAGUUGUACAAAAGUAAAUAUAAUUUAACUUAAAACAUAAAGUAAAGUUGAUAUUCCAAAAUGAAACACGUAAAUGCAUGUGUUUGUUUUGUGAUUAUCUUGUUCGAGUGAAGAUAACAAACUUGCAUGCUAUAUCCUCUUAAAGUAGUAAAAAUUCUCGUAUGUUUUGUCCAUCUCAUGAAAGUGGCAAUUUGUUAGAGACUUCAUUGCGGACGAAAUAUUGUCUUCAACAUGAUUUUGAAUCCAGCAAGUGAAUUCUUAAUCAUGAUCCACCAUUGCUCAAAACUGAAUUGAUUAUUUUUUUUCAGGAUAAUUUAUUCAGAUAUUAUUUUCCUCUUCGAAAUUGUUUCUACACAACAUUAAUAAAUCAUAAAGAUAUGUAUCGUUGUCAUAGUUCUUAUUUGUAAUGCAGAUUGGCGAAGAUGAUUGAGUCAUUUGAUAACUUUGUGGUGGAACAAGUAUUGAAUUUUCCUCUCAAUAUAGGGAGCCUAUGAAUUGUCAUUAUCCAAACAUUGAUUCUUUAAAUUAAUGUAACUAUAUAUCAUACUGAGUGGUUUUGCUGCAAAAAAAAAAAAGUUAUAGACUGAGGUUUUUGAAAGCACAACAUAUCGUGAUAUAAGAUAUUUUAUUAGUUAUUAUAGUAAUAAAAAUUUUAUUUGGCAAGUAUAUAAGAAUUAUUCAUGUAUGUGACUUGUAUUAUAGUAUAGAUUUGGCAGCAAUGCGAAUAUAUAAUAUUUAGGUCAAAAAUAAUUAAUGUUGUCACAUAAAUAUAAGAAUAGCACAGGUUGGAAUAUUGAAAACAAAUCAAUGCGGAUACAGAUAUGCUUCUCGAACUUCAACAUCAUUCAUGUUCCACGAGCGCAUAAUCAAAUUUUAAACUUUUUAACUAAGGCUGCCAGAUCUUUUCAUAGGGAGUUACAUUUUAUUGGUUGUUCAAUUCCGGUCUGGUUACCUAGACUACCUCAAGUUUGAGUAAUAGAAUGGCCUUUGACGUCAAAAGAAAAAAAAACAAAUAAAGGGUCAAAUCUUAUGAAGAAUUCCAUUUUAAUAAUAAAAAAAAUCUUAUGAAUCAAAAAUUAAAAUAAUUCUUCUUUUUAGUUUAUUAUAGAGUUAAAAUUAAGUGGAAUUACAUAAAUUUUUCAAAACAAAGUGGAAUAUAAAUUAGAAAUGCUCUCAUUUCCAUUGUGUACUACUUCUUGAGCUCCUUACGGGACAGGUCUAAUUUUGGGGCUGAUGACUAAAUGGGAAUUCUGAGGUUAUAAUUUUGUAAGAUAGAUGCGUCCCCGAUGUUGUAAGUCAGGCUGAAAGCAUGAUUAUUUUUCUUCAAUGUCAAAUAAUAGCAAUGUUUUGUGAAUGUCUAAGGUUGUCUCUAUUAUUGAAACUUGAUUCAUAAGUUACGUUCUCAUAACCACGGGGUGGUGGGCUAGUGGUCUUGAGGCAGUUUCCCCGCCAAUACGGACCCGGCUUCGAAACCCCCUGUGGCCACCCGGGCCCUCCCUGCUAAUUCUUGAGGUGGAAAUUACGUGGCUGCUGCGGGCCUCGUGGGAUUAGUAGGUUGACCUCGGUCGCCGGAUCCCCACGGUUAACAAAAAAAAAAAAAAAAAAAAAAAAUUAUUUUAUAUUUUAUAAAAACUUAAAAAAAAAAAGAGAAGAAAGAUAUUGGAAACACAUAUGACGAGAUACGUAAGUGUAGCCCACAUAAAUCUACAUCAUUUGUAUUCAAAUAUCUUCUUCUCUUUUUUUUUUNNNNNNNNNNNNNNNNNNNNNNNNNNNNNNNNNNNNNNNNNNNNNNNNNNNNNNNNNNNNNNNNNNNNNNNNNNNNNNNNNNNNNNNNNNNNNNNNNNNNNNNNNNNNNNNNNNNNNNNNNNNNNNNNNNNNNNNNNNNNNNNNNNNNNNNNNNNNNNNNNNNNNNNNNNNNNNNNNNNNNNNNNNNNNNNNNNNNNNNNNNNNNNNNNNNNNNNNNNNNNNNNNNNNNNNNNNNNNNNNNNNNNNNNNNNNNNNNNNNNNNNNNNNNNNNNNNNNNNNNNNNNNNNNNNNNNNNNNNNNNNNNNNNNNNNNNNNNNNNNNNNNNNNNNNNNNNNNNNNNNNNNNNNNNNNNNNNNNNNNNNNNNNNNNNNNNNNNNNNNNNNNNNNNNNNNNNNNNNNNNNNNNNNNNNNNNNNNNNNNNNNNNNNNNNNNNNNNNNNNNNNNNNNNNNNNNNNNNNNNNNNNNNNNNNNNNNNNNNNNNNNNNNNNNNNNNNNNNNNNNNNNNNNNNNNNNNNNNNNNNNNNNNNNNNNNNNNNNNNNNNNNNNNNNNNNNNNNNNNNNNNNNNNNNNNNNNNNNNNNNNNNNNNNNNNNNNNNNNNNNNNNNNNNNNNNNNNNNNNNNNNNNNNNNNNNNNNNNNNNNNNNNNNNNNNNNNNNNNNNNNNNNNNNNNNNNNNNNNNNNNNNNNNNNNNNNNNNNNNNNNNNNNNNNNNNNNNNNNNNNNNNNNNNNNNNNNNNNNNNNNNNNNNNNNNNNNNNNNNNNNNNNNNNNNNNNNNNNNNNNNNNNNNNNNNNNNNNNNNNNNNNNNNNNNNNNNNNNNNNNNNNNNNNNNNNNNNNNNNNNNNNNNNNNNNNNNNNNNNNNNNNNNNNNNNNNNNNNNNNNNNNNNNNNNNNNNNNNNNNNNNNNNNNNNNNNNNNNNNNNNNNNNNNNNNNNNNNNNNNNNNNNNNNNNNNNNNNNNNNNNNNNNNNNNNNNNNNNNNNNNNNNNNNNNNNNNNNNNNNNNNNNNNNNNNNNNNNNNNNNNNNNNNNNNNNNNNNNNNNNNNNNNNNNNNNNNNNNNNNNNNNNNNNNNNNNNNNNNNNNNNNNNNNNNNNNNNNNNNNNNNNNNNNNNNNNNNNNNNNNNNNNNNNNNNNNNNNNNNNNNNNNNNNNNNNNNNNNNNNNNNNNNNNNNNNNNNNNNNNNNNNNNNNNNNNNNNNNNNNNNNNNNNNNNNNNNNNNNNNNNNNNNNNNNNNNNNNNNNNNNNNNNNNNNNNNNNNNNNNNNNNNNNNNNNNNNNNNNNNNNNNNNNNNNNNNNNNNNNNNNNNNNNNNNNNNNNNNNNNNNNNNNNNNNNNNNNNNNNNNNNNNNNNNNNNNNNNNNNNNNNNNNNNNNNNNNNNNNNNNNNNNNNNNNNNNNNNNNNNNNNNNNNNNNNNNNNNNNNNNNNNNNNNNNNNNNNNNNNNNNNNNNNNNNNNNNNNNNNNNNNNNNNNNNNNNNNNNNNNNNNNNNNNNNNNNNNNNNNNNNNNNNNNNNNNNNNNNNNNNNNNNNNNNNNNNNNNNNNNNNNNNNNNNNNNNNNNNNNNNNNNNNNNNNNNNNNNNNNNNNNNNNNNNNNNNNNNNNNNNNNNNNNNNNNNNNNNNNNNNNNNNNNNNNNNNNNNNNNNNNNNNNNNNNNNNNNNNNNNNNNNNNNNNNNNNNNNNNNNNNNNNNNNNNNNNNNNNNNNNNNNNNNNNNNNNNNNNNNNNNNNNNNNNNNNNNNNNNNNNNNNNNNNNNNNNNNNNNNNNNNNNNNNNNNNNNNNNNNNNNNNNNNNNNNNNNNNNNNNNNNNNNNNNNNNNNNNNNNNNNNNNNNNNNNNNNNNNNNNNNNNNNNNNNNNNNNNNNNNNNNNNNNNNNNNNNNNNNNNNNNNNNNNNNNNNNNNNNNNNNNNNNNNNNNNNNNNNNNNNNNNNNNNNNNNNNNNNNNNNNNNNNNNNNNNNNNNNNNNNNNNNNNNNNNNNNNNNNNNNNNNNNNNNNNNNNNNNNNNNNNNNNNNNNNNNNNNNNNNNNNNNNNNNNNNNNNNNNNNNNNNNNNNNNNNNNNNNNNNNNNNNNNNNNNNNNNNNNNNNNNNNNNNNNNNNNNNNNNNNNNNNNNNNNNNNNNNNNNNNNNNNNNNNNNNNNNNNNNNNNNNNNNNNNNNNNNNNNNNNNNNNNNNNNNNNNNNNNNNNNNNNNNNNNNNNNNNNNNNNNNNNNNNNNNNNNNNNNNNNNNNNNNNNNNNNNNNNNNNNNNNNNNNNNNNNNNNNNNNNNNNNNNNNNNNNNNNNNNNNNNNNNNNNNNNNNNNNNNNNNNNNNNNNNNNNNNNNNNNNNNNNNNNNNNNNNNNNNNNNNNNNNNNNNNNNNNNNNNNNNNNNNNNNNNNNNNNNNNNNNNNNNNNNNNNNNNNNNNNNNNNNNNNNNNNNNNNNNNNNNNNNNNNNNNNNNNNNNNNNNNNNNNNNNNNNNNNNNNNNNNNNNNNNNNNNNNNNNNNNNNNNNNNNNNNNNNNNNNNNNNNNNNNNNNNNNNNNNNNNNNNNNNNNNNNNNNNNNNNNNNNNNAAAAAAAAAAAAGUUACGUUCUCACCAA
This 158892-nucleotide long non-coding RNA is filed under the name Brassica napus (rape). Its description in RNAcentral is "long non-coding RNA (BNAP_LNC009679)". The stretch from base 140173 to 140270 matches the Rfam family "MIR9563 microRNA precursor family". The record is from RNAcentral. Lineage: Eukaryota; Viridiplantae; Streptophyta; Magnoliopsida; Brassicales; Brassicaceae.